Molecule: long non-coding RNA, 139620 nt
Filed under: Citrus x clementina
Lineage: Eukaryota; Viridiplantae; Streptophyta; Magnoliopsida; Sapindales; Rutaceae
Description: Citrus clementina (C. clementina) long non-coding RNA (CCLE_LNC002768)
Source: RNAcentral
CGCGCCUUACCGCUCCCUCGCCUCACCUCUCUUCUUGUUCCACGGCCAUCAACGGCGGCACGAGUCGGCGACGAUCAACUGCGGCUGUAAAUUGACCACGAUCAUCUCUCUCUCUCGGCUUGCUCAAAUUUGGCCGAUCUGUGCGCUUGAUUAAGCUUGGCCGAUCUAUGCUUGCUCGAUUACUCUUCCUAUCUUCAGUCAGAGUCAACUGUUUGACAAGAGUCGAAGUCCAAGGUUCUUUUUUACAGGAUUUGAGCUACUCCUUUUAUUCUUCUUGCAUGUUCACUGAUAUGAAGCUUUGAUGUGGUGUUCUGAUAGCGGGUGGAAUUUGAGAUUCUCCUUUCUUCUCUAUAUGAAGGUGCUUGUCAUGUGUCAAGAAAAAUAAAAUUAUUUACCAAAGAUUAUUUUAAGGAGAUUUAUUAUUAUUCGUGGAUCGGGAAGCUCAAAAAAUUUUCUUAUGUAGAACAUAAAGUGAUUUAAAUUUUGCCAUGGUAUAUCCUUUUCUUUGAUUGUGUUGUGGUUUUCCAGUUCUUGGAGAUGCAGAAGAAGUUUAUUUUGUUUUUUGGUAUCUUAUUUAUUUAUUGUUUUCACGAGGAAAUUGCUGUGCUUUUGGAAAUUAAUAUGCUGUGUUGUCAAUGUUGUGUGAAAUCCUUUUAUUGGUGUCUAUGUAAAGUGUUUCAGAUUUCAGACCUGAGAGUUAAUCUUCGCGUACCAGUUGGCUUUUGGGUUUAGUAUUGCUGCUUUUAACAUAAUUGACCUAUGGCCCAAAUCAUUUCUAUAGGGCAAAGCAUAUGAAUGAUAAAUAUUAUCUUUUUUUGGCCUUAUGUAUUUUUAUUUGCAGUGUGAUUUGGUCUAGCUUAAGAGCUUAAGCUUGCAGGUUGGAUUUGUCUGACAGGGAACAAUUUAAUUUGUUCAUCGUGAUGUUUAUAUCCAUUUUGUACUACUAUCAAUUUCAGUCAUGCCUAAUUUUUAUAUGUAUUUCUCGUGGACUCUCAGGGUCAGUGCACAAGAGGAUGAAGACGAUGGACACCCAAAUUUAUAGUGUAUUUUUGUCAUCUUUGUAUGACUGGCAGGUCGUCCUGAUUUGGUACAUGACUGGACACAGGAAUUGGACUCAUAUUUUUCAAACCAGAAUGCCAACAAUCAAGCAUUUUCUUUUGAAAGCACUGGCGUCUUCUUCAAUGCCAAAAAGGUUAGAGAUUUUCUGUAUCCUGUUUUGUAUUUGAUCAGUUUAGCAUGUGGGUGGCAAUCAAGAAAAGUUAUUAUAACAUUUUUGUGUUCCCGAAAAACUGCUGAUGAUGUGUAGUGCAGGAAAUGAAUUGUUUGUGACUUCUUUUUAUUUGUAUUCUUUCUUUUUUCUUUUCUCCCCAACAGGAUUAUGCAUUUCUGAAGAGCUUCUUGAAGUUGAUUACCUUGUAUGCCACUUUCUUUACUCUAUGCUCAGGAUGUGAUUUUGCCAAGCAUUAAAAUGGUUUAGGUCAGAACCAUCAUCUAAAGUUUACUUAAUGCAGCCGAGAAGCUGUAGUAGAGCAAUGAAGGCUGUUGGUGUUAUGAAGGCCAGCUGUGAAGAAAUAUUUGAACUUGUAAUGAGCAUGGAUGGGACACGAUACGAGUAUGCUUCUUUUCUAUUUUUUAUUUUUAGUUACUUUAACAUAAUCAAGACUAUAUUGGCUGUCUCUGUAAGCUGAGUAUUAUAUUUCCUCUUGUAUGCUGUGAAAUUCACAUUGUCUCCAGUCCCGAUUCUGUAUGUGCCUUUUUGAAUAUAUUUAGUUAAUCUGCAUGGUGCUUUCUAAAGAUUAUUACAAACUUUUGUUGCUUAGGUAUAUGAAGAAUGUGGAAAUGAAAAUAGCUUUUGAAGUUUGAUGGAUUGCUUCAUUAAUAAAGAAAGACUAGGACUCAUUUUUAUAACUUUUUCUCCACUUAGCUAAUGGUAUUUGAUGAAGACAAAAUAGAUGUAGCUAUCUGUAUUUUUUGUUGCUGAACUAUAGAUCAAUUGACGGUUGAAGUUAGUUAUAUUAAUUUGUUGUACUAGAAUUAAAGCUUGUAUCUUAGCCAUUUCAUGAAGUGUCAAAUACGUUCUUUCCUUUUUUUUUUCAAAACAUGUUACAUUUUUGAUGUCUAUUACAUAAAAGAGUGUUCUAAAACAGGAGAAGGCGUGCUGCCUGAAAUUACCUGUUUCCUAGCAAAUCUAGCUGGUUUGCGAAUUAGAUUUUAACAAGUCUCUUGGCAAUGUUUGCUAGUAAUGUGUUCAAAUUAUUCUAUUUAAUUUUACUGUCUGUACCCUAAUAAUUCUUGGUUUGCACCAUUGCAUUGUUCCAUAAUCUCUGUGCGUUGGCUUAUAAAGGCCAGCAAGGCUGAUCAUUUGUCGAAUAGUUAUUUCCAUGAAAUUCCUAUCAAUUUGACUCAGUAUUUAGAGGUCUUGAAGAGGGCAGUGUACUAGACAUGGAUUUCUACCUCUUUUGGUUGUACAAUUGUUGUAUUCCUUGGCCAUCAGAUCUUUUUUAUGUACCUUUCUCAAAGUUCAUGCUGCAUGUACACCCUUUUUCAUGUUUUGUGCAGGUGGGAUUGUAGUCUUCUGUAUCGCAGCUUAGUUGAAGAGGUAGAUGGGCAUACGGCUAUUCUCUAUCAUAGGCUUCAGCUGGACUGGUUUCCAAUGUAAUAGUCUCUCGAUUCAAUCAUCUCAUUUAUGCUUUGGUCAGAAUAGAACAUUUAUUGUUUUCUUCUUUCCCCUUUCCUCUCUUCUGAUAUAAUAUGUGAGGAAAUUACCUAAAAUUUUUCUGUAUCCCAAUGUAAUUGUUGGAAUUCAGAAAUAAAAUACAUACACCGUCUUGUUUUUCCCUCGGUUCAGUCCUAAGUUCUCUUUGGGCCUUCUGCAAGUUUUUAAACAUACUAUGACAGUAAAAAAUCUAGUGAUUGAGAUCAUUUUGAUGAAUUUAAUUUUAAUUCUUAGCUGAUACUUUUUCUGGAAAUUUUUUUCUUAUGUUUCCUCAAUAUGACUUAAAAAUAGGGCUUAGUUUGGUUUAGAAGUUCAUCUAAAACCUUCUGCUUGAUUCCAAAAAAAUUCUCAAGGAAGGUCUCAGAUGGAUUUUAGGGGAGUUCUGUGGCAAAUUUGAAAAGUUCAGGGGAAGGGUCUAAUGAAUUUCAAAACCACAUGGGUUAUCUGUUUUAUUCAGAGGAUAGUGCAAUUCCCUAAAAUUUAUCAUUUUUAUUUAAAUAAUCUUCCUACUUUCCUCUGCGGAAUUUAUUUAUAUAUAUAUGAAUUUAUUUGGUUGCAGGUUUGUUUGGCCCCAUGGCCUUUGUUAUGUGCGUUAUUGGCGUUGAAAUGACGAUGCGAGUUAUGGUAAGGUUCUUGCUUCCCCACUUCUUGAAAUUAAAUCUAUCUUUUCUGGCACUAGAAGUUUCCAUAAGCUGUGUUUUGUUAUCACGCAGUUGUGUUAUUUCAUUCUAGGGAGCAUGAGAACUGUGGUCCACAACCAGGAUAUGUACGAGCUCACGUGGAGAGUUAGUUUUCUGUCCUUUACUUUGGUUGAUGUAGAGAAUUAACAAGUGACUAAGUCAUGCCAAGUUGCACCACUUGCUUCCUGUAUUCUGAUUUCUCAGGUGGUGGAUUCAACAUUUCCCCACUAUAACCUCAAAAUGGUAGGCCCAGAACACAGGUACAACAUCUUAUGCAGAUUGAUCUAAAAGGGUGGGGUGUUGGUUGUGUGGCAAUGUUUCAGUAACACUGUCUUCGUCAGAUGUUAAAUAGCGUUGCUGGUAAGUUUCUAGUAUUUCACAUUUUAUUUUGCACUGUUAUGGAUUAAUAUGUUUCUGCUGGGUGGCCAUUUUAAGUCAUAUUUUUACGUGUUACUGUAUUUUCUGUCGGUCCUUUUAUAGGGAACACACACAUACACGUAUGUAGAGUCACCUUUUAAUGAGGGAUCAACCAUUUUAAUAAAAUGAGGAAUGAGCUAAAAGAUAGAGAUUCACGAACUCCAAUGCAAUAUGUGUGUGUGCGUGUGUACACCUUUUCUAACUCUUGUUCUUAGUUAGAUAUUUUUUGGGAUUUCAGGCAAAUGAAAAAAGAGAUUAAGAACAGGUGGAUGAUAACUUUUUAUUUUUUUUUUGGAACAAGGUGGAUGUUAACUUAAAUAUUCAUUUUUAUAUAUUUUGUUAAUGUCCUCUUUAAUGGAUUUCUAUGGAAUUAAUCUUUUUUUUUUCCAAUUAGUUGCAGCCCUAGAGGAAAAGCAGGGUGAUCAAAUUGAUUUAUCUCGUUUUUUUGGAGCAAUCUGCAACACAAUGACCGUGAUAAUGCUUGUGACUGCUGGAAACUUUCUGAUGGAAAUAACUUCAGAGUUCGUAGCAAGCAUUUUGUUAUGACAAAACAAAGGUUCCCGCCAAUUUUGGUUGUUUCUUAUGGUAUUUAUAUAUCUGACAUAUUCUAGUUCGACAUGUAACGAUGUAGUUUGGUUGGUUCUUCUUGUUCUUUGUGCAAUUUGUAACUGCAGAUACAUGUGGGAAAACAUUUAAUGGAUCUUGUUGCUGUUGAUUGGUUCAAAGACACAAAGAGAAUGGACCAUGUAGCUAGGCGUCAAGGCUGUGCUGCACAAGUAACUAUUCUUUUCUUUUUUAUUUUUCCUUUUCCAUUGACGGAUUAGAAGAAAAUACUGCCUGUGAGAUACUACAAUGUAAAUAACUUCUGGUGGUUCAUUGUAUCUAUAGCACUCUGAGCCCUAUUCUAAAAUAUGUAGGUUGCUUUCGAAAAAGGGCUUUUCUCACUGAUCUUUAAUCUUCAAGUAAGCUUGUUUAAUUUCAGAAGGUAUUAGGUUUCAAACUUAUCGUUUUGGGAGGUUGUAUGGUUGUAACGUAAGCAUCUGCAGGUUCCUGGUUCAACACAUUAUAGUAUGGUAUUUUAUUUUGUCACAAGGGAAUUAGUUACAGGAUCCCUUUUGCAAUGGUUUGUUGACAGCGAUGAUGAAUUUCGCAAUAGUAGGCUGAAACUUAUCCCGUCCGUUCCUAAGGUAUCCGUCUUGGUCUUCAUGUAUUAGGACUAUGUUAACGUAUACGUACCCUUCGCUGCAUAGUACACUUCAAUUUGUACAAAGAAGGCAUGCAUUUAGGUGUAAAUGUAUUGAUGGGUUGUACCUUCAAACUUCAUUUCCUUUUUCUACCGAUUUGAAUUUGUUUUGCAUUUGUUCUUGAUUUUAAGCACUGAAUCACGCGGGGGUCAUGGAUCGUGCGCCAGAGUGAUGGAAGCACCCCUUGUUUAUUAGGAAAAGCAGUUGAUUGUAACUAUAUCCACGGUCCUAAGUACUUGGAAGUAAAUGCUCUUCGAAUUCCUAUAGUACAUGGGAUGUGUUCCCUUUCAAAUAGCUUGUUCAAUAUGAUUAACAUGGUUUAACAUUGUUAAUCUUUCUGUAGAUUGAUGUUGACAUGUUCUUGUAAUUGGUGUAAUUACGGCAUUGGUGGUUGACAUGGCUUUCCUUGUGCAGGUAUGUAUGAUUGUUUUUUUCCCCCAGUUCUAAAUGACACAAGGGAAAAGACAUGAUUUUGAGAUAUUGUACUGCAAUUUGCAUAUUUGCAUACUUGAAUGUUCUCAGAAUGGUAUAAUGCUUUGUGUAUGCAGGCAAAUACUACAGAUGAAUUACCGGAGCGGCUGAUUGGAGCUGUACGUGUUUCUUAUAUAGAACUCAAGUCUGCUAUUGUCCCAAAGUUGGAACCAGAGACAUCAUGACUCUGGUUUCAUUUCACCUCAACUGUUUUUUUUUUUUUUAAUUGAAAAAAAAAUCAUUUGUUUUAGGUAUACAUACAUGUAUUUUGAUCCCGUUUUCAUUGUAAUUUCUCAUUUACUUUGAAAGAAAGUCAUUGGUGUUUUCGAAUGGGAAUUUUGCAUUAAAAAAUAAAGAAUACUUAAUAGGAAAUUUCAUGAUUCUUUAGUUACUAUUUUUGGAAUGAGUGUAAUAGUAUUAAAGUUGGUUUCUACUCGCAAACAAGUGAACUACUCGAUCCCCAACUGCGACCACUACUUUUAAAACUCAACAACUAACAAAAAUACUAAUAAAAAAAUGAUUUUCUUAUGAUGCUGUGAAAACAUUUAUGGGUUCACUUAUUUCCACAAGAUCUAUAAAAUGGUAUUGACUUCACGAAAUUCUUUUAAUUUAAAGGGUGUUGGUCUGAGAAAGUCAGUGUGACGGAUUAAUUUCUUCUAAUAAUGGUCGAUUUAAUUUUACUAUGCUCAUAAAACUAUUCUUAUUCUGAUAAUGUCAUAAAUGUUAUGAUGUUUUCUUCGGCUAAUGAUCUUCUAUCAGGACUAGUUAGAAAUCAAAUGCUUAAAACACCAAUUGAAUGAAUAAUGCAGAAGUUUAAACAGUAUCUAAUUGAAAAUUGCAUGAAACAUGAAACAUCAAUUCAAGUCCUUCCUUAAACAGAGAAUGCAUCAAACAAAUCCAAAGUGUCUUGCAAGUCUGUAGCAUGACUAAAAAAUUGUAAAUGCGUUUAGAACCAAAUUAUUCAAGUACAGGAGAACGAGCAAGUUGAAUCAUGUACAAGAGAUUGGCCUGGUUCGAGAUAGCUUCUUCACUGUACCUGAAGGGUUGGCUCAAUCUUUUCUCUAGAAUUCUGCACAUUUUGUAAUUACUCGUGUAAGCAAGCAUACAUUACAACCAUAAUAAUAAUAAAGCAAGAGUAAUGAUACGACCACAACCUCUUGUGCACAAAUAAUAUUGUACAAACUAAUAUGACAUAAUAUGAUUGAUUAAACAAAAACAUAACAUGACCCUCAUUUUUUUUUUUUAUUUUAUGUUUUCAGUCAAGCAACCAUAUUAUGCCACGUUAAUAGCUAUAGAAAUAAUUUGCUAGAUAGUGCCAACACUUCAUUGAUACUCACCAUUUCAUUGAACAAUUUUUUUAUGGUGUCAUUGAGGUUUCCUUCCCAACAUCCUUCAUCAUCACCAUCUUCUUCUUCGGUGGGUUUCACUUUGUUUAGCUUUGGUGCGUCUACGACUCCUUGAGAGAAAAUCUUCAUUGUUGGGCACUGUCUCACAACUACGUGUUCCAAGGACGGGAACUCAAGAGCGUAAUUACCCAAACAAAAGCUUGUUAGGCUUGGCAAGCAAUCAAGUCCCAAGUACUCCAAUUUCCUGAAAACAAUGCAAUCUUCCGCUUCUUCUCCAACCUGCAACUGUAUGAUUUCUUCUAUCAUUUUGCAAUCAGUUAUCUUCAUUAUUCCGAGAUUCAUUAGACUUUCAGAUGUUGAGAGCAUCAAUAAAUUUAUCAACCCAUGACACUCGAAUACUUCCAGAGUCGCAAGAUUUUCCAAAUGCCACGAAGCUGGUACUAAUUUCUGCAACUUACUACAUUCAAAUAUUUCUAGACUUUUCAAGUUUGCAAACACUUUGUUGGAUUUGGCAUUUUCCUUCCAGAGAUGCUGCACUUUGUGUAAUCCAGAUAGCUUUAACUUCAUCAAUUGAGGGAAUGCAACCUGAAAAUCAACAAAAUUAAGUUGUAAAUAAAAAUAUGUAUCCAAGCUCUGCAGUCUUCCCCUGCAUAUUUUAUGGACAAGAUUAAUCACGACAUUUUAUAUUUUUUUCCAAAUUAGUAUGCUUUGCAGUAGGAUCCCAAAUAUAAGUAUCAAAUCGAUUACCCUUUGAAACACAUAAAUGAAAUCUGAUCUUAAAUCCAAUAUGAAUUAGCUAGGAAAACAGAGAUGUAACAUGCAUAAUCGAUAUAGUUCAUCACCUCCUGUCACUAGGGAUCUAAUUAAUUUGAGACAUUUUUAUAAUUCAUACUAUAAAGUUAGUUAAUAACUACGGUUAUAUUGUUAAAUCAGAUAUAAAUUAAGACGACGUGCAAAAAGAUGAGUCAUUAAAUUUGAUUUGAUUCUAAUGAAAUUACAUUUGUGCGAACGAAAGUGAAGGGAAAAAUAAUAAUAAUGAUUACCUUUUCAUCGAAGAGAUGUUGUAUGUGAUUAGCUACCAAGAGGUUCUCUUCUGAUUUUAAUUUUUGAGGUUCCUUAUUAUCGGCUGUCAUGUGCGGUAGAGGUGUAGAAUUGGAUACAAAUGUUUCCAUAUCAGGGCAAUUCUCAAUAAUUAGAUAUUCCAACUUAGGCAUUUCAAUUAUAUUCCCAGUGAGGUUGCAGAAUCUUUUGAGUUUUGGAAGAUCAAUGAGCCUUAGCUCAAAAAGCAUAGGAAACAGGGGGCCUAUAUGUACUUUUUCAGCAUUUAGCUCUUCCAAAUGAAGCACCUCUUCUAGUGAAUCACAAUUGCUCACUUCCAGCCGUAGCAAAUUGUUAAAGCACCGUAGCAGAUUGGCAGGAAUAGCACUCGAAUAUUCGUGCAGUCAUCCACCACCAGCACUACUAAAUUGUUGAAGAAGCUGACAGGCAGUGCUUGGCCAUGCCAUGUUUCUUUCAAACGUGGAAAAGGUGAGAGUUGCAAAUACCAUAUGUCACGGAAUCCAAUCUGCACAAACCAAAACAAUUGCACUGGAUAUAUAUAAACUAUUUUUUUGAAAGGCAUUAGAUAUAUAUAAAAUAUAUAUACAAGGCAGGUGUAUAUGUUCAACGAAUCGAUUUAACACAUACCAUUUCUUUGUAACACUUUUGUAUAGUGGAAUUAAGGUUGCCUUCCCAAUGGCGCAAUUCAUCCUCUUUCUUUUCAGUCACCUGCACUUCGUGCAGCUUUGGUGUGGAUACGAUUCCCUGAGAAAAAGUCUUCAUGUUCUGACAAUGUGUCAUAGAAACUCGUUCCAAUAAUGGGAAUUCAAGAGUGUAAUUCUCCAAACAAAAGCUAGUAAACCUUGGUAAAUAAUCGAGUAUCAAAAGUUUUAAUUCCCUGAAAGCAAUACGAUUCUCCUUCACUUCUUCUCCAACAUGUCCUAUGAUUUCUUCUAUUUUUUCGCAGUGUGAGACAUUAAGAUUCACCAGACUACUAGGAAUUCCAACCUGAAAAUAAAGAGUAGCAUUCAACUAUAUUCAAAAUAUGUCUAAAUCAUACAAUUGUUUUAUGAAAAUAACAAACCAUGAAUGUCUACUAGAUAUUUUUUGUUAAAGAAAAAAAGGAAAACAAUAAAACAAAAAUAAAUAAAUAAAUAGAAAUCCAAAAAAACAAAGAUAAUGAAAAUGCAUUUAUGCUAUUUAGUGUUAGGAAUGUAGAAAGAAUUUCAGGUAAUUUUUAAAUAUUCUAAAUUCAUUUUUCAUCUUGAUGCUAGUUUUUAAAAAUUUUUAAUUUUCAAACAUGCCUAUUUUUAAAAUAACUAAACUAAAACGCUGUAUUUCCCAUUUUUUUUCCUGAUGUUUCCUGCUUUUAAAAAUGGAAAACAUUUCUGGAAAACACUUCCCAACGCCAUCAACAUGGGACUGUUAUAGAGUGAAUAUUUGAGGAAAUUUUUUAAUCAACGGUCGAUUCAAAAUGACCAUCAUGAAUUUGUGCUUAAUCAAUGGCGUAAUCAAUUCAUAACUAAACUAGAGAUAUUAACUACAUUUGAACACUUUUCUUUUUUUUUUUUAAAUCGAAAUCUAAAGACCCAAGGAAAAGAGAAAUAUAUAUGAAUUUGUGAACUUAAAAGCUGAGUAACUAAGUAUCUUUUAAUUUCUGAAAAUCUUAUUUAUUAGGAUUUAAGAAAAAAAACAAUUAAAUUGAAUUAUAUUAUGCUGUUAAAUCGUGUUUAAAACAAUUAUAUUGUUGACUUUAAUGCAGGUGAACCUAUAAAUUAGAUUGAAAAUGCAGAGUUCAGAAUGGUGAUUUGAAGUACACUACUUUUUUUCCCUCCACAAGUUUGAAGUACAAUAGUUGCAAUAAAUAAUUUGUGAAUGAAAAUUAUUUGUAAACACAAAAAUGAUUAAAAUAAUUGUUGAAUGUUAUUUGAAAUAAAAAUUCAAAAUGAAUAUAGCAAUCUUACCAAUGGAGGAAAAAUAUUCAGUAGAUUAUUACACCCAGAUAUCUCCAAACUUUUCAAUUUGCUAAAAGAGUCUAAAGCAAGCUGGUGGUGCCAUAUUUUUCUCAACUGAUCCAUCGAGCUAAUAUGCAAUACCUCCAGACUUGGGAGUCGUACCUGAAUUUAAAAAUUCAAUGCAAUUAGAGAUGGAUAUUAAUUAAAUUUGAAGACUCAACGAUAGAAGAAAUUAACUAUUAAGAAUAAAAUUAAUUAAAAAAAAAAACCUUUUCAUCAAAGAGAGGUUGAGGUUGCAUUUCAGAAUGAAUGGUGUCUUCUGGUGAGGCAAAGCUACUUAGUUUUGGAAGACCAUCGAGCUGCAGGGAGUGUAGUUUAGGAAAAACCUUUAAUUCAUCUCUUCCUCCUAACCCCGUGGUGUUGACUACCCCUUCAAUUGACCGGCAAUUUCGAAUCUCAAGAUGUUGGAGUUGCAAAAGACUAUUAACCAUAGAAUAUGAAAACGGAUACUUCAGACGAUGACACCUUUCCACGGUCACUUUUGUCAAGUUUUGACAACAAUACAUUCCCUGAAAUUGAUCGGGCCAUAAUUUUUUGAUGCUUAUUAAACGGUCAAGUUUCAGUUCCUCCAAGCGUGGAAAAGUAACCUGCAAAGCAAAACCGUACAUUCUUGUUAAUUAAUUAAUUAUUCUUUCGAUGAUUGAAGAUCAAUCGUGAUAAUAUAUUAAUUAAUUAAUUAUUAAAUAGAAAAUUAUUACCUGGUGAACAGGAUCAUCCUCUGCAUUGAUUUCUGUGAAUCCCUCAGUAGUUGUUGGUUUCUCCAUGUCGGGCCCUAUAAAUGAACAAAAACAAUAUAUAAUAAACAUCCGUUGUUUUAUUCACCAAAAAAAAAAAGAAAAAAAGAAAGAGUCAAUGUCAAUAAUCCUACCAAUAAUUAAUUUCAACACUUACCAAUAAUCAUUUUCAAAUCAUCGCAGUCUUCCACUUUUACUUUUUGAAGCCGCAAUAGGUUUUUGGCCAUAGAGAAUGAGAAGAGAUGCUUCAAUUUGUCACAAAAAGCUACUCUUAUAAUCCUUAAGUUGCUGAAAGAUUGAUCUUCUCUGAGUUGGCUGUAGCAUAUCGUCUCCAAAUUAGUUAAAUCAAUAAGAUCCAAUGACUCCAGCAAGGGAAAGACUUCGCAACGAACCCGUCUAACUGAACCGACAAUAUGUACAAUCUCAUAACAACUUUCUACAUGAAGAUGCUUCAAUCGUGGAAAACCUUCCCCAUCGUCUAAUUCAUGAACAACAUUCUGAACACCCUCCAAUUUUACUAGCCAGAGAUCUUCAGUUCUCUGCAGCAACAUUUUCGUCCCAUCAUUCUCCUGGAGAAUGCUAACUUUUUCUAGCCCCUUGAGCAUCAUCAAUCUUAAUGCUUCAGAUUUGACGAGCAAUUGGUCAAUCUCAUAUUCGAGCUUAUCUCCUAUACGUAUCCUAUAUCUUUGCAAUUCCACAGAGACAAAAUCCGGCAACAGAAUUUCGGCAUCCCGAACUUCUAUCUCCAAAGUAGUUAGCUUUGUCAACCUCUUCAACUCGACAAGACUGGCAUUACUUCCUCCUUCAACCUUCUCCCACCCUGAAAAGCUGUUAUCCAUAUACAAUUCUUCUAAUCGAGAUAAUUUUGAAAUGACAUUUGGUGCUAUCACCUGAAGGCUCCAACAAUUGGUCAAAUCUAACAAUCUUAACCCCGUCAAUUGUCCAAUUUCAAGUGGUAACUGCUCGAUAUUGGAAUCUGCAAGGUUGAGAAUCUCUAAUUUCUUUAGCUGUCCAAUUGCCGCUACAUCUUCUAGUUGGCACCAGUCUAAACACAAUGUUUGAAGGUUAAUGAGGCGACCAAGUGAUGAAGGUAAUGAAGAGAAAUGAAUUCCGAUAAGACUUAAAACUUUGAGUUCUUCUGUUCCUUCAAAAAAGAGGUCUGAAAUUUGCACGGGGCCAUAACCCUGUCUAAACAACAAAAAUAACUGGAGAUUGGGACAUUGCAACCUUUCAGGGAGCUCUUGAAUAUUUCUCUGGGGUAAUGAAAUGGCAAUUGGAUCUUUCCGUAUUGUCUCUUCCAUCUUUUUCUCCAAGUCGGCAACAUUUGGGAUAUUAAACAUGCGCGUCUCUGCGGCAACUGAUACGGCAACAACAUGAAUGAUGUCAUGCAUUUUAACUUCAUCUUCAGCAUCACCGUCCAACAAUAAGCAUGAAGAUUUGAGAUUGUCGAUCAACCGAUGCACCCUACUCCUUGCUUCUUCCAAUGUGUAAACAUUUUCAAACAAACCCCAACCCACACCAUAUCUCAAUAAGUAAGGAACUGGUAUAGCAUGACCUUCACUGUAUAGACCACAAAGACGGAACAUAGAUUUUGCUUCCUCACUUCUCAAGAAGUCGUAACUCAAUUUUAUGGAGAGGUACACAUUUUUUUCCAUUCCAUCAAUUUCUUUUGCAUAGGAACUUCUUAGCUGACGCAGCACAUCUUUCCAAGUGUCAAGGCUCUCAUUUUUCAAAGCUUUUGCAAGUGUAAUCAGUGCAACCGGCAGUUCUCCGCAUCUUCCGACGAUCUCAUGUGCUAUAGGUUGAAAAGCAGAUGUUUUCAUUGAAUCACCCACUAUCUUCUGAAAUAAAUGCAAUGCUUCUUCUUUUGAUAAAGCAUCGAUCUGGAUCUCUUUCUGAGAAUUCAUAACAUUGCGCAAUAAAUCUUGACGUCUAGACGUCAGUAUUAUUGUGCAUCGUCGCUGAUCAUCCAUUCUUUCUUUCUUAACAUCCCCGGAAGGAAUUCCAACUUCAUCGAACUUCAGUUCUCCCCAAAUAUUAUCCAAUAUAAUGAGAUGCCGCUCCUCGUUCUUCAAAACUCGACAUAGUCGAUUUGCUCUGUCGAAUAUACUCUCAUUCAACUCAAACUUUAUGCCUAAAUCAGAAGCAAGUUUGUCUUGAAUUUUCUGAUGAUCUGGGUUCUCUGUUACCUCAGCCAUAGCGACCUUAUCGAACAACUUAUCUUUUUCCAUCACUCGCUUUGCAACUUGCUUGACGAGCGUGGUUUUACCCACGCCGCCCAUCCCGUAGACCCCAAUAAUGUUGAGCUUAUCAUCCUUCAACGCCUCCACAACAUCUUGAAAUACUUUCAUUCUUGAAUCAAAGGCCUCGUAAUCUUUCACUUGCAAAUGUUCUGUACUCUCUGGAGCAGGAAGGUAGGAAACUUCCCUGAAGUCGCCUUCUUUUAUGAGACUAUCGGCUGCUUCUUUGUCCAUUGCAGCUUGUUUACUAACCCUGUAACGAGAAAUCAAAUUUGGGCACAAUCCAUCUUCAGUAUCAAUGAUGGGUUUUUCAAUCAAUCCAUCAACUUUUUUAAGCCAGAUUUCGACGUCAUCAAAAAUCUUAUCUCCUUGUCGAGUAGCCUGAUCAACGGCUUUUUCCACCCUUUGUCUUUCUUGUUUCAGCUUCUCCACUUGUUCUUUUAGCCCAUCGAUGUUGCUUUUGUACUCUGGCACAUAAGAUAUUGGUCGUAUAAUAAGUUCGAACAAUGUCUUUGCACCACCGGAUACAAUGCUGGAAAUAGCAUUGAGACACCCUUGUGCAGCCAUUGCGAGACACCCUUCUGCAGCCAUUGCCUGUUGCUAAACAAUAUAUAUAUAUAUAAAUAAAAGUGUCAAAGAAAUGAAUACAAAUAAAUUAAAAUGAACUAGAGGGAAAGACAGAGAAAGGAAAGACCGCAAACAACAUCGCGAUAUUGAUAUUGAACCAACUGAUACCUAAAUAGAGAAUUUCUUUUUCCAUCUUAAGGAUCAGAGGUUUCGCUAUUAACAGAAAGGUAUCCUUCAAGGAAAGUUGAUGGAAAUUAAGAAAGAACCGCUAUCAAUAUCAAGUAUUCUGCUACUAAAAAUAAAUGAUAUGACUUAAGAAAAAUAAAUGAUAUGAUUAAGAAAAACCAGAGAAUUUUUUCCUCGGAAAGUUGAUGGAAAUUAAGAAAAAACCGCUAUGAAGAACAAGUAUCAGAGAUUCUGCUACUAAAAGAAUAUUACAGGUUUUAGAACAAGUGCACCUCUUUACCUGUCUCGGAUCAGAGUUGAUGAGCUGCUGUAUUCACCUUGAAUAUAGAAGAAAAAUUUUAUUGAGCAAAAGGAUCUCUGUUGACUAAAGAGGAAUGCGAGUAACGAGUUGAUGAGAGUAAUAACAAUGAAUUUCCAAAAGAAGACGACUUGAGCAUUAAGCACGCAUCCCUUUUUCAAUCAAAUACUGGUACGUAUGUCCGUAGGGACCAUUAUGCGUAUACGAAGUCUAUUAGUUGCAAUCAGAAGCCCCGGCCCAAUUUAAUUGACACUCGAUUUUUGAUAAGAAGAAGGCAAGGAUAAGGAUAAAGUCAAUCAAUCACCAACAGUAAUUACUUCAAUCUUUGUCAAUAUACUUAAAUUGUCGAUCAACAUGAAAAUUGUUUAAAUUGAUAUUUGUAAAUGAAUCAAUUUUCUAGUUACUAUGAUUAUAACGUUUCACCUUUCAUAUUGGAUUUUAUCUUUUCAAAAGUUUUCAAAUGUGAGUUUCAAUAAUUAUUGAGACUCCAAGCCGUGCUCUCAAGAUUGUGCUGACAAAUCACCAUUAGCUUUAUUUAUGCAUAUUUCAAAGAAAAAAAAAGUUAUGGUUUGUAUUGCCAGCCCUGCUACUUUUUGUUUUUUUUCAUUUGUAUUAUUUACGAAUUAUUUUUUAACAGAAACAUGAGAACUCUUCAUCGUACAAAAUUGCAUGAAAAAACCUUCAAAUUUAUAAAAGUAAAUUUCAUUGACAGAUUGUGGAUAUGUUUGCAAGAAUAAGGAUAAGAAUGAGUUAAGAAAUUAAAAAAAAAAAAAAAGAUAGUGUAAGUAAACAAUGUUUUGGUACAUUUGGUAUUGUUUUCAAAAUAUUUUGAAAAGAAAAAUUUUCAAUCAUCCACCUAAAAAUUAUCUUAUUAUCCAAAAAGUUAUAAAAAUUUAAAUAUACUUAAUUUUAUACCCAUUAUUACAAUGUGUAUAACUGUUUACUAAAAAUUUAAAUAUACUUAACGGAUGUUUAAUACAAAUUGCAUACAUUGGGUGUAAAAUUAAAUAAAUUUAAAUUUUAUAAUAAUUUUAAUAACUGAAUAAACUUUGAGUAAAUGACUGAUAAUUUUUCUUUUAUAAGCUAUAAGAAGUCAAAUAAAAAAUAGGAUGAUAAUUUCUGAUGGGUGUCGAAGCCAACAAAAAUAAAUUCCUACUCUAAAUAAAUUGUGUAUAGUGAUUGAGCAGGGUCGUGUCCACAGAGAUCGGUAAUUAUUUAAAUCCUUUUGAAACGUAAAACGUAAAAUGAGGGAAUUGUUGACAAUAAUAAAAAUCAAACUAAAAUAACGAGAAUGUAAAUUAAAGUUGUGAUUCAAAUUGGAGAAAGCUCUGGUUGAAGGAAUUAACUCAGCUUGAUUCGACUACUGAUCAUUGAUUCAAAUAUAGAUUAUUAUUACUUAUGAAUAGACCGGUUAUAGCUACUGAGACCCUCUAAUAGCCAAUCUCUCCUUAACUAGUCGAUAACCAAAGUACGACCGUUGGUUAUUUCCCUAAUCAAUAGACAACCCUAGAUACGAUCAUAUGAUUUAAUCAAUUGACAGCCUGAAAAACCAGAGAGACCCAAAUCCUAAUCAACACAUAUGAUGAUUCAUUUAAAUUAGAUUGUUUAUUCUCACAACACAACUCUCUGCUAUGUUAUUUGUCACAAACAUUAAAUUCUUCAUACGAUGAAUCCUUUAAUUGACAAUAGAUUAAGUUGAUAAUUAAAUAGUGGCCAAUUACCUAAUUAACAAACAUAAUCAUGAAAAUAAUUCAGAGAAUAAACAAAUACCCAAAAGCAAUAAAACAAUUAAAGCACAAGAAAGAUCUCACAGUACUGAUGAAUCAAAGCUUCAUUAUCCUUCAACCAGAAAAAUGGGUUUAGUUCCUCAUAGAGAGAAGAGAAAAAUUAGAUCUAGGGUUUCUUUUUCUCCAAUCCAAAAAUCCCCUUUUUUCACAAUAGAUUCCUCCCUUAAAUACUCUCUCUCUCUUCUCUUUUAGAGUUCUAUUUAAAAUAAAAUACUAAUAUCUGAAAUAUUAAAUUCGUAAUUACAAAAAUAGCCAAAAAUACAAAACACGUUAAACUCAAAACUGCAGGUUCGCAGUUGACAGCACGCGCCCACGCCUUAUCAACAAAGUUCUUCUGCCGCUCAUAAUUUCUCCAAGAGAACAAUCAUCCUUAAACAUCAUCUUAUAGCUCAAUUUUAUCACCAAUUAAUAGAAUUGCACCUACAAAAGUAAAACACAAGUAAAUCACUAUUAUUAAGUGCAAAACAUCGAUAUUAAGGGAAGUAAACAAUGCAAAACUAGUGCAUAAAUUGCACUCUAACAAUUUCUCUUUUAUAUUGCUCAGAUGAUUUAUUGUUUGGGGACUAAGAUUUUAAGUAUUCAACUUAAAAGAUUAAUAUAUUAUAAAUUGAUUAAUUAAUUAAUCAUUAAGCAACUAAAUUGGGUCCCUGGAUGUCAAUUCCUUUAAUAUUGAUGCAACAACCUUUUUUUGGCAAAUAAUUGUUAAUGCACUUACGGAACUUUUGCGUGUCUACACAGCGAGUUCCAGGACAUUUUCGCAUUGUGCAACAAUUGCUAAUAGCACCUUUUUACGAUUAAUUUAUAAUAUAAUUUCAGUAAAGAUAGAAAUACAAAUUUUAUAUAAAUUGAUAUGAUAUUACUUAAAAACAUUUCAUUGCUCACAUGAGUUACUGCUGAAGCCUAUGAUUUUAGAUACUCAACCCAAAAGAUUAGCCUAUUGAGAGGAGGGAGGUCUAUGAUUUUAGAUACUCAACCCAAAAGAUUAGCUUCUUGAGAGGAGGGACCACUUGUAUUUAUUAGGAAUGGGCAUCAGAUCAGAUUUGGGUUGAUUUGAUCCGAUCCGAUAUGAGCUAAUCUUAUUUGGAUUGGAUUCGAAUUUAGCUCUAAAUCUGAUGGGAUAAGAAUGUUGCAAUCUGAUCAGAUCCGGAUCAAUACGAUCGAUUGCACUUACAAUUAAAAAGAAUACAAAACUUAAAUAUAAAUAAGAAAUAAAAAUUAAAAGACAACCCUAAAUCCCUAAAUCCUUAAAUUUCCCAAAUCAAAACAGAAAGAAUCAAAAAAAGCAACUCAGCCGCAUGCCGACAUUAGCGACGAACCCAGCCAUUCUCUUGAGAAAUAGUUGGCCAGUGUCACGAUCGGUUCCAAUGGCUUGACCACGUCCCCUUCCUCUAGCUCUUCCUCGAGCUAUGUUGUAGUGGCAAAGAAUAACGAUGGAGAAAUAAUGAUAGAACAGCUAACAAAGAAUUUAGUUUGAUUCUCAAUGAUCCUUUUAUUGAAUAAAUUAUGCUCAAUUUAUACACUACUAACUGCAACUUGACAACAAAAGCGCAACUCACAACCAGAAAAUAGCAACAGCAACUAAGAAAUAGCAAGUAAAUCAGAUUCUUGCCUAUUAUUCGGACUAGUGACCCACUACUUUGACUGACUCAACAAAACAAAUAAACUAAAAUGCUGACUCAUGACAGCCAGUUGCAAAGCCGAUGAUGCCCGAGCUGCAUGCCGAUGACGUCCCAGCCGACAGCUGCUGGGCCAGUGACCCGUACAUUGCAAAAGUCCUAAACCUAGUCGUUGCAUUUAUUUGUUUGUUGCAAAGGUUUCAAAUGGAGUCGGAUCCAUUAAAGCUUUUGAGGUGCAGAGGUUAUAAAAAUAGAAUAGAUACUUUGAAAAACUUGCAGAGGUUUGCGUCGUUUGAAUUGCUUGUGAACUUAUUUUUGCAUGCAUGUUAUUCUCUAUGCUUUUUGGUGAUUGUAAAAUUAAUUGUUUGAUUUAGCUUUCCAACUUUUGGGAUGCAAUUGUUACUGGUGUUCUCAACAAAAUAAUUGAUGUGAAAAUGGACGAACUUUCAUUUUUUGUCUUUGUUCUUCCAUUUGCUAGCUUGCUGCAUUUUUUUCUUAAUUUCUAUGAUUUUUCAAUUUUGUAUUUCAACUUGCAAGUGAUUGAGAUUCAUCUGAUUUAUUCGAACACAUCUGAUUCCAAUUUCAGUAUGAUAUUAUCGAUCUGAUCCGAAUCCAAAUUAAUCCGCACUAUUCAUCCAAUUUGAAUGUGAUCCGCACAUAAUCGGAUUGGAUGCAAGUUCAUAUUGCAUUCAUAUGACUUUUUAUCAAUUCGAACAAUCCAAAAUCUGAUCGUAUUAAUCCGAAUAUUAUCUGCAUCCAAUUUUGCCCAUCUCUACUACUUAUAAGCCCAAGUGACUCUCUUUUACUAAUUAACUAGAAAAUAGACCCGCGUUUCACGCGGCUUUGAAAAAAGAAUUUACUAUUAUCUUUUUUUUCUUACUUUACACUUGAUGAAAUAGAUAAAAAAAUAAGAAUUGAUUUUUUUUUAAAGAUGAGGCAGCCUUAUAAAAAAAAAAGUUAUUAGGUAGUAAUAUAAAUAAAGAAGCAACACAAGAUAAAGAAUAAAAUGAGAGAAUAUAUUAUAGAGAGAUUUUAUUCAUUCCAAUUGUGUGUGUACAAAAUAAAAAGAUGAGCUCUCCUUUUAUAGUUACAUAAUCACUCCAUGAAGUUAAUGAAAAAUUAUGGAUCAUAAUUUCUUGUGAGAUAGUGGGAGUUAUAGGGAAGCUAAAGGUUGCUAAUGGGAGAUAGUGGGGAGACUAAGAGAUAUAUGUUAUGAACAUUUAUAUUUAUUUUAAUAAAUUCAUAACACUCCCCCUUGGAUAUUCAUUACAAAAAAUAUGCAUCAUUAAAAUUUUUACAUAAUUGUUAUUGUAUAAUAACAAUCAAAUUAAUUAUGAGAAGAUGAAAAACCAAAUCUAAAAGAAAAUUUCUCUAUUUAUUAGAUAAUAGAGAAUAUACAAAGAAGAGAAAUGGUGAUGCCACAUCACCUCCUCAAGUCCCAACUUUAUAUAGAUAUAUAGAUAUGGGACAUUAUUUAAGAAUUCUUUCUCAAAUGAGGAAAAUUAUCAUACCAUUUUUAUCCAUUAAUUUAGAAUAAAUGCAUUUAUCAUCAUUAUUAUGUUUAAAUCCAUGCAACAUGAUCAUAGAAUCAAAAUUUUCAUGUUGUUGCGUUAGUGCUUAUUUAAGAUCAUAUAAUGACUUUAUUAAUUUACUAAAUUUAUUUUGUAAAUUAGUAAAUUUAUUUUUUCCUUUCUUUGUUGUAAAUCAUUUUGCAUCCAACCACCCUCUAAAGGCUUGGGCCAAUGUUUCAAACAACAAUGCAUCAAGUUCCAAUCUAAGUUAAGAUCCUGCUGAUGCAUCUAGUUGAUUAGAUAAUAAUGAGUCUAUCUCAUUACUUGUUGCCUCUUUCCACAAGGCUGCAUCUGUUGAAGCCAUAGCCUCACUGAGAGUUUAAAGAUCUUCUUCCAUAUUAAAUAGGGAAAUUAUCAUUCUACCAUCUUUCUUUUGACUUAUGUUCAUUUAACCACCACUAAAUUUCAACAUGUUUUCUGCAAUACCUUUCUUUUUAAAUUUGAAUCAAUUAGCCACUUUUACACUAACACUGUUAAAUAAUUUAAACAAAAUGAUAAUUUUACUUCUAAAUAAAUUAAAAUGCCAUUUUAUCUUAUAAAAGCUUUGAAAAAUAAAAAAAUUUUACUUACAAAAUAAUCCAAAAUAGAGGUGCUCAGCUUAUUUUUAUUAAAAAUUUAUAAUUUUGUAAAAUUUUAUUAAAAUAACUAAAUUUAUUUAUUAAAAAUAAAUCCCAAAAUUUUAAUGUUUUAGGGGAUGUUUAUUAAAUCCCAAAAUUUUGCAAUUAUUUUAUAAUUAUAAUUUUUAUUAAAAUAAAAAUUCUAAUUUGGGGAUUUAUUUCUUUAUUAAAUUUAGGGGUAUUUCUAUAAUUAUAAUUAUAAUUUUUUAUUUUUUAUAAAAUAAAAUGAUCUUUUAAUUUAUUUAGGGGUAAAUUUAUCAUUUUGUUUAAAUUAUUUAAUGGUGUUAGUGUAAAAGUGACUAAUUGAUACAAAAUUAAAAAGAAAAGUAGUGCAGAGAACAUGUUAAAAUUUUGUAGUAAUUGAAUGAGCAUAAGGCAAAAGAGUAGUGGUGAAAUGAUAAUUUUCCAAUUAAAUAAAACGGGUGUUCGAUUAAGAACUCUAUCUCUAUCUCCUCGUCCUAUCAAAUAACGUCAACCAUCCAAAAGAAAAAAAUAAAUUGGAAAAGUCCACGGGUAGCAAUAAUUUCUGGUCCGUUCCUGGACCUCCAUUAUCUGGCACUAUGAAUAAUGAAAAUGACAUUGCAAUCGUUAGGUAUCUUGGAAAAAUGACGAAAGUUUUUGGAGGGAGGUGGGGGAAUUGUCAAAAGUUCACACAAUGCGAAACAAGUGUUACAUCCAAUUAAAUUUUAUUUCAUUACCUCUUUUGCCUCAUAAAUAAUAGGAUCACCACGAGAUAAUGAUAAUAUCAAAUAAUGACAACCAUCCAAAUGUAUGAUGGGUCUUCCAAAUUUUGAAAAUGUCGUCAACAUCAAAUCUUCAAUGCCGAAGAAGGUAUAUGCCCAAAAAAUGACACGCAAGACCCACUCCACAGACUAAAUUGUCCUUGAUCAUAUGUAACAAACUUUGGCCUUAUGUGCCUGUGGUGACAUUAGACUGUUCAUUUUCAUUGUUUCUUACCUUCCAUUUACGCCCACUGUAGUAUUAUUUUAUUCACCAUUUUAGCCAUUUAAAUGAAAUUUUAUUUUUGUCAAAAAAUGAACUUUUACUUUUGUCAAAAAUAAAAUGAUACCCUAAAAAUUUAGAAAAAUAGUCACGUAGACCUCAAAUUUUUAAUAUAGGAUACCAAUACCCCUUUUGAUCAUAAUACUACUCUUAGUAGAUGGUAAAAAAAAAAAAAAGACUUCAAAAUUUUUUAUAAAAUUUAAAUAAUUAAUUUCAAUAUUAAAUUUUAAAAUGUGAAUUAAUAUAUUUGUAUCUAUAAAAUACUUGUAAUUAUUACAAAAAAAAUUUAAAUGAAUCCUUAGGUUAAAUAGAUUUUACAAUUAAUAUAAUAUUUCUCAUGUAUUAAUAAUAUUAAAAUUAUUUUAUGUGAUAUUGAAAAUAAUUUAAAUUUUUAUGUAUUUAUUUGAAUAUUAUGUCUCUAUUUAUUAUUAUUUGGUUUAAUAGAAUACGAGAUUUUAAAAUAUUAAAAUAUUUUUAGAUAUUGAAAUUAUUUUAAUAUGUAUACAUUAUUAUAUUCAUUUUAAUAUCCUACUUAUAUUUAUUAUAAAAUAUGAGAAUUAAUUUUUUUAGUUAAUAAAUUUAAAAAAUACUAUAAUAAAAAAAAAGGAUCUUAUUGUCCGGUAUUCACGACAUGAGGUACUACAAAAUUAUUUCCCCGGACGGGUGUGCUUUUCUUAUUUUUAGAAAGAAAAAUAAGUCAAUGGGUUUCAACAAUUUCUAGUCCUAUCUGCCACUAUGACUAAUGGAAACGACAUUGCAAUUGACAUUGCUUUUCGCAAUAUGACUAUUUUUUGGAGAAUCGUCAAAAGUUCACUCCACUAGAGAGUUUUAGGUGGGAGAAUUGUCAAGAGUUCACACCACAUGAAACUAAUGAUAGACUUAAUUUCGCUGUCAGUUCUUUAUUUAUUUAUUUUAUUUAUUUAAUACAUUAUUGUCUUGUUGGUAUUGUGUUGUAAAGAUAUAAAAGUAAAGUAAAAUAUUAAGGGUGCUGUUAAGUUACAACUGAUGUAACUUACAGUUUUUUAAAAAAUAAUGUAAAAAAUUUAAUAGGUGGUGGGACUCAAUUUUUUUUUUUUUGAAGAGAUCAUAAGUUACAGCACUUGUAACUUAACAAAAUCCAAAUAUUAGACAAUAAUACAUAUUAACAAUGCAUAUAAUUUGGGUCUGAUUUUUAAAAAAUUAUUUGAGUACCACCUAUCCUUAAGAUAUUAAUGUGAAUGUAUUUUAAUAGUAAAUAAUAAAUUUUUUUUAACUAUUAUUUGUAUUUCAUACAUUACAUAUUAUAUUUGUUUGAAUUUUAAGUUGUUGCUAAUAAAUAUUUAUGUUGUGAAAGUCGAAUUCAAUAGCUACAAAAGAAGAGAUAAUGGUAUUUUAUAUAGUUUUUAAGAAUACAAGGAUAAGCUGGAUAAUUGACUUAAGUUCUAAUGAUUAAAACAACAACUAUCCCUUAAAUUAUAAUGUCAAUUUCUUUAAUUAGAAUUUUUUUCAACAAUUGCUACAGUUUUUUAAAUAAUAAUGGGAGUUAUAAAUUAUUUAUAUAAAAUUUGUGUAGAAACUAAUGUAACCUAAAAGUGGUUGCUGAAUAACAAUAUUUGAAACUUUAGGUAAUUUUCAUAUCAGCCCUUUUUAUAUUCAGCAACUUUAGAACUUAAACAAACUUGCCCUCGAUCUUAAUUUAUUUACCCCAUUUAAACCCAUGAUGCAUGAUGACAUAAACAGAUUCUUGUGUGAUGAAAACAUCAAGAAAAGACAUCUCAUGUUUUAAUAUAACAGAAAAAAAGCGGUCCAUAAGUCUAUCCAUUAUUUUAUUUAUUCAGUACAAAUGGCCAACUUUAAAAAAUGAUAAAAGUCACACAACGCUUAAGUGAAAAUUAAAAAUGACAUUUUUUAAUACUCUCUGAGUCUCUCUCUCUCCCCCUUUUUUUUCUAAAUAAACCUUAGUUUAAAAUUAGAAGAAUUUUAGAUAUAAAAAUUUGUCAAUCACUUAACAGAAAAGUAGGGGAAUGAAAACAAAGGAGCCCCUGUUAUUAUUGGAAUAUUAAUUAUAGAUGUUAUAAUAUCUAUAACUUGUCGUGGUUCAUUGUAGCAUUCUAAGCCAUAUUCUAAAACUAGGAAAUAGAACCGCACUUCGUCCGGCUUUAAAAAAAAUUAGUAUUAUUUUUUUAUUCCUUUGUAAUUAAUGAAAUUGAUAAAAAAUAUGAAUUAUUUUUUUAAAAGAUGACGCAGUCUUAUAAAACUAAUGUUAUUUAUGAAAGUUAAUUAUUUUUUGUUAACAUUAAAAAUAUAUAUUAAUGUGUAUAGUUAAGUGUACACAACCUUUUCAUCAAUAAAAAUUAUGUUCACACUAAUCAACUCUCCAUUUUUCUUGGUAUAAAUGGCAUUGUUGAGGGAAGAUGAUGAAACCUUCCUUCUUAUAUUAAUUAAUUGAUGUAUUUUAAGCCACUAAAAUUUAAUUGUUGGCAUAAUAAAAUAAAUGAAUGUUUCAAAACUCAUAAUUAAUUAUUAUUAAUGGUUACAUAUUGUUGAAUUUAAAUAGAAAUAGGAAAAGACAUGUAAUCAUUUAUAAUUUAAUAAUUAUUUUAUAUUUUAAUAUUUUGUAAUGUAAUUAUUUUUUAAUUUCAACCAAUUUAUUAAAUAAUAGACAAUAUGAAAUGAUGAGAAAUGGUGAUGCCACAUCACCUCUUGUAGUCCCAACUUUAUAUAUAUGUAUAGAUAGAUAGAUAAAUUAAUUCAUGUAUUUUAUGCCACUAAGGUUUAAUUGCUAGCAUAAUAAAAUAAAUAAAUGUUUCAAAAGACUUAUAAUUAAUUAUUAUUAAUGAUUACAUAUUGUUGAAUUUAAAUAGAAAGAGAAAAAAAAGUACAAAGAAUAUUCACCAAUAUUUUAGAUAUUUUAUAUAAUAGAAAAUAUAAAAAGAUGAGGAAUGAUAUAUAUUAAUAAAGUUACUAUUUAUUAAAUGAGUUAAAUACAAUCAAAUUAAUUAUGAGAAGAUGAAAAGACAAAUUUAAAAAAAAAAAUAUCUAUUUAUUAGAUAAUAGAGAAUAUACAAAGAAGCAAAAUGGUAAUGCCACAUCACCUCCUCAAGUCUUAGCUUUAUAUAUAUAUAUAGAUUAGUAGAUUUGUUAAGAUUUUUAUUAUUGGCAUCAUUGUGUCAAUAUUAUUAUAAUUUAUUCAUUCUAUUGUAAUGAAAAUUUGUCUAUUCUUAGCUACUUAUUAAAUUAUCCUUAAUUUAUUACGAAUAUUUUUGGAGACAAAAGAAACACGUGUAUGUAGGAUUAAUGAUUGGAGAGUUGUAAGUAAAGGUGAUUGCUUCAUUGAGAAGCAUAUUAAAGAAUUAUGGAAAGUUGCACUGUUCCAGAAGCAUAUAUUUAUACUUCCCUAUUUGGACUUGUGAAGUGAUGAUCCGGCCGUAACUAUUGUGAAGCUUUCCUCAAGUAUUCUCAUGCAUACUUGAGGAAAGAUACAAAUUGCAUACAUGUCUAGGAGCCUUAUCAAAGGCGUUAUAUAACUUGUCCAAUUAAUUAAUUCUCUUAAGGGUCAUACCGUGCUCACUCAUUUCAAAAGCAAUUAAGGAUAAGAACUUUCAUCAUUAAUUGAUAUGGCCAGUGUAGAAAAAAUGCCAAGAUCAAAGCACAAGGAUAAGUUUAGAAUUACACUUUUUAAAUUUUGGUUAAUAAAUAAACGUCUAUAUGAAAAUGGAAAAUCUUUUUGGAAUAACUUUUCUUUUCUUUUCUUUUUUUAAUGAAUGUGGAUAUAAAAUUUUAAAAUCGCCAAACCGAAAAGAAAAACAGGGGAAUGAAAAGAGGGCUCUGUUUCUCCUCUGUUUCGAUUUUUUUAUUACUAAACAGGGGAAUGAAGAGAUCAGCUCUUGUCGCAAGUGCAAAUGCAGUUGGUUAUUCUACUUUUGCUAGUGAAGUUUUGGGCCUUGUCGUAAUUGCUGUAAUUGCGACAUCGGUGGUUGACAUGGCUUUCCUUGUACAGGUAUGUAUGAUUGUUUUUUUUUUUUUUGCACUUCUAAAUGGACACUGUUGAAAAGCUUAAAAUUGAACUGAUAAUUUUGUUUGGAAGCUUAGAAAAUUCAUGAGAAAGUGAAAUAGAAUAUUCUGGAUUUCUUACAUAAAAAAAAACAGAAUUAAAGCAAGGUACACAACUAUAACAGAAUCAAAAGCGUGCUUUACUAAUUGGCUGAGCUGGCAUAUACUUCUUUAACUAACAAUGCUGCUGACUGGACUUUAGCUCACACAUGCUUAUUGUGGAGCUACUCUUACUUCACACGUGCUCAGUGUGCUUCCUUAACAGACACAAGGGAAAAGACAUGAUUUUGAGAUUAAUUUAUACCAUAAUAAUAAUAAAGCUAGAGUAAUGAUAUGAAUCAUUAAUUGCUACAAAAUAAUUUGCUAGAUAGCGCCAACACUUAAUUGAUACUCACCAUUUCAUUGAACAAUUGUUUUAUGGUGUCAUUGAGGUUGCCUUCCCAACAUCCUUCAUCAUCAUCAUCUUCUUCAUCCUCAUCAUCUUUUUCUUCGGUGAGUUUCACUUUGUUUAGCUUUGGUGUGUCUACGACUCCUUGUGAGAAAAUCUUCAUCUUUGGGCACUGUCUCGCAAUUACUUGUUCCAAAGGAUGGGAAUUGAAGAGUGUAAUUACCCCGAACAAAGCUUGUUAAGCCUGUCAACCAAUGAAGUGUCAAGUAGUUUCAUUUUCUCGGAAGAACAAUGCAAGCCCUUUCACUUCUCUCAACCUGCAAUUGUUAUGAUCUUCCUUCUAUCAUUUUGCAAUCAGCNNNNNNNNNNNNNNNNNNNNNNNNNNNNNNNNNNNNNNNNNNNNNNNNNNNNNNNNNNNNNNNNNNNNNNNNNNNNNNNNNNNNNNNNNNNNNNNNNNNNUGAGAGUGUCACACAUUUAUCAACCUGUGACACUUCGAUACUUCUAGUCCCCACAGAUUUUCCAAAUGCCACGAAGGUGGUACUAAUUUUUGCAACUUACUACGUUCCGAUAUUUCUAGACUUCCCAUGUUUGCAAACGCUUUGUUGGAUUCGUCAUUUUCCUUCCAGAGAUGCUGCACUUUGUGUAAUCUAGAUAGCUUUAACUCCAUCAAUUGAGGGAAUGCAACCUGAAAAUCAACAAAAUUAAGUUGUAAAUGAAAAUAUGUAUCCAAUCUCUGGAGUCUUCCCCUGCAUAUUUUAUGGACAAGAUUAAUCACGACAUUUUAUAUUUUUUUUCCAAAUUAGUAUGCUUUGCAGUAGGUUCCUAAAUAUAAAUAUCAAAUCGAUUACCCUUUGAAACACAUAAAUGAAAUCUGAGGCUAAAUCCAAUAUGAAUUAGCUAGGAAAACAGAGAUGUAACACACAUAAUUAAUAUAGUUCAUCACCUCGUGUUACCAGGCAUCCAAUUAAUUUCAGACAUUUUUAUAAUUCAUACUAUAAAGUUAGUUAAUAACGGAGGUUAUAUUGUUAAAUCAGAUAUAAAUUAAGACGACGUGCAAAAAGAUGAGUCAUUAAAUUUGAUUUAAUUCUAAUGAAAUUACAUCUAUGCGAACGAAAGUGAAGGGAAAAAUAAUAAUAAUAAUAAUCACAUUUUCAUCGAAGAGGGGUUGUACUUGAUGAGCCAGCAAGAAGUUCUCUUCUGAUGUUAAUUUUUGAGGUUCCUUGUUAUCUGUUGUCACGUGCACUACAGAGUUGGAUAUGAAUGUUUCCAUAUCAGGGCAAUUCUCAAUAGUCAGACGUUUCAACUCAGGCAUUUCAAUUAUAUUCUCAGUGAAGUUGGGAAUCUUUUGAGUUUUGGAAGAUCAAUGAGCCUUAGCUCGAAAAAGCUUAGGAAACAGGGGGCCUAUAUGUUCUUUGUCAACACUUAGCUCUUCCAAAUGAAGCACCUCUGCUAGCGAAUCACAAUUCCUCACUUCCAGGUCCAUCAAAUUGUUCAAGCACCGUAGCAGAUUGGCAGGAAUAGCACUCGACAUAUUCGUGCAGUCAUCCACCACCAGGUGUCCUAAAUUGUUGAAGAAGCUGACAGGCAGUGCUUGGCCAUGCCAUAUUUCUUGCAAACGUGGAAAAUGCGAGAGUUGCAAAUACUUUAUGUCACGAAAUCCAAUCUGCACAAACCAAAACAAUUGCACUGGAUAUAUACAAUUUUUUACUUUUUGAAAGGCACAGACAUAUAUACAUUAAACUUACAUGUUUUGUGCUUAAAUGUGCAAGUGCAAGGGAGAUGCAUGAGCAAUUUUGAUGAAUCGAUUCACACAAAUCAUUUCUUUGUAACACUUUUGUAUAGUGGAAUUAAGAUUGCCUUCACGAUCGUGCAAUUCACCCUCUUCCUUUUUAGUCACUUGCACUUUGUGCAGCUUUGGUGUGGAUAAGAUUCCCAGGGAAAAAGUCUUCAUGUUCGGACAAUGUGUCACAGAUACUUGUUCCAAUGAUGGGAAUUCAAGAGUGUAAUUCUCCAAGCAAAAGCUGGCAAGCCUUGGUAAAUCAUCAAGUAUCAAAAGUUUUAAUUUGCUGAAAGCAAUACGAUUCUCCUUCGCUUCUUCUCCAACAUGUCCUAUGAUUUCUUCUAUUUUUUUGCAGAUUGAUACAUUAAGAUUCACUAAAAUACCCGGAAUUCCAACCUGAAAAUAAGCAAAAGAGUGUGUGUGUAUUAAAAAAGUAAAAAUUAAGAGUAUCAUUCAACUAGGUUCAAAGUAUGUUUAAAUCAUACAAUUAUACGUUUUAUAAACAUAACAAACCAUGAAAUGGCUACUAGAUAAUUUUUGUUAAACAAAAAAGGCAACAAGAUAAGUAAAUAAAUAAAAGCCAGAUAAACAAAGAUAAUAAAAACGCAUUUACACUAUUUAGUAUUAGGAGCGUAGAAAGAAUUUAAGGCAAUUUCUAAAUAUUUUAGACUUAUUUUGCAUUUCGAUGCAAAUUUUUAAAUAAAUUUGAAAUUGCAACUAUUCCUUUAAAAAAAAACUCAACCAAAAUGCUGCUUUUUCCAUUUUCCUUGGUCCCUUUUUUUUAUGUAUAUUAAAAAAUGCAAAAAAAAAAUGGAAAAGACUUCCCAAUACUGUCAACGUAGGACUGUUGUAAAGCGGGUCUUUAUUAAGUACUUCCAUGAAUUUAUGAUUAAUUAAUGUCAUAAUCAAUUCAUAACUAAACUAGAGAUAUUAAUUAAAUUUGAAGACUUUUCUUUUUCUUUUUUUCCAAACGAAAUGUCAAGAAUUAAGGAAAAGAGAAAUAUAUAGAUGAAUUUGUGAACCUAUAAGAUGAGUGACUAUCCUUUAAUUUUUGAAAAUCGUACUUAUUAAGAUAUGAGAAAAACAAUUAAAUUGAAUUAUAUUAUGCUGUUGAAUCGUGUUUAAAAAAAUUAUAUUGUUGAUUCUAAUAAUGGCGAACCUAAAAACUGGACUUAAAACGUAGAUUUCAGAGUGGUGGUUCGAAGUACAAUACUUGAAAUAAAUAAUUAGUGCCUGAAUAUCAUUCGUAAACACAAAAAUGGUUAAAAAAUUGUUGGAUGUAAUUUGAAAAAAAAGAUUCGAAAUGAAUACAGCAACCUUACCAAUGGAGGAAAAAUAUUCAUUAGGUUAUCACACCAAGAUAUCUUCAAAUUCUUCAAUUUGCUGAAAGACUCUGAAGCAAGCUGGUGGUGCCAUAUUCUUCUCAAAUUAUCCAUCCACCAAAUAUGUAAUUCCUCCAACUUCGGAAGUCGUACCUGGCAGUUAAAGGUUAAAUAACUAAUUAAUCGGCAUAAUCUAUUGAUAACCAAAUUAGAGGCUGAUACUAACUAAAUUUGAAGACUCAAGGAAAAGACAAAUUAAAUAUUGUGGCUAAAAUUAAUUUAAAAAAAAAAAAAACCUUUUCGUCAAAGAGAGGUGGAGAUUGCAUUUCAGAAUGAAGGGUGUCUGCUGGUGAGCUCGUAGAGAUGAAUCUUAACAUAUUAUUGCAACCACCAAUCUCGAGGUUUAGUAAAGAAGGGAAUUCAACAACUAAAUCUGAAUGAAUAUGUCCCGUAUUGGCAAAGCUCGUUAGUUUUGGAAGCACACAAAGCCGUAAGGAGUGUAGUUUAGGAAAAACCUCUAACUCAAUCAACUUUCCUUCAUCUCUUCCUCCUAACCACCCUGUGGUGUCGACUACCCCUUCCAUCGACUUACAAGAUCUUAUCACAAGAUGUUGGAGUUGCAAAAGACUAUUAACCAUAGAAUAUGAAAACAGAUACUUCAGACGAUCACAACUUUCCACGGUCAUUUUUGUUAAAUUUCCACAAUAAGACACUCCCUGAAACUGUUCGGGCCAUAAUUUUUCAAUGGUUGUUAACCAUAUAAGUUUCAACUCCUCCAAGCGUGGAAAAAUAACCUGAAGCAAAACGGUACGCUUUUGUUCCGUCAAUUACAACUGUCUAAUAUAAUAAUCUUUUGAUGAUUGAAGAUCAAUCGUGAUAAUAUAUUAAUUUAUUAAUUAUAAAACAGAAAAUUAUCACCUUGUGAACAGAAUCAUCCUCUGCAAUGAUUUCUGUCAAUCCCUGAGUAGCUGUUGGCUUCUCCAUGUCGGGCCCUAUAAAUGAACAAAAACAAUCUAUAAUUAACCUCUGUCCUUUUUUUUUUAAAAAAAAGAGAAAAAAGAAUGAGCCAAUGUCAAUAAUCCUACCAAUAAUUAAUUUCAACACUUACCAAUAAUCAUUUUCAAAUCAUCGCAGUUUUCCACUUCUACUUUUUGAAGCCGCAAUAGGUUUUUGGCCAUGAAGAAUGAGAAGAGAUGCUUCAAUUUGUCACAAAAAAAUACUUUUAUAAUCCUUAAGUUGCUGAAAGAUUGAUCUUCUCUGAGUUGGCUGUAGCAUAUCGUUUCCAAAUUAGUUAAACCAAUAAGAUACAAUGUCUCCAGCAAGGGAAAGACUUUGCAACGAGCUCGUCCAAUUGAACCGACAAUAUGUAAAAUCUCAGGACAGCCUGCUACUAGAAGAUGCUCCAAUUGUGGAAAACCUUCCCCAUCGUCUAAUUCAUGAACAACACUCGGAACACCAUUCAAUGUUACUAGACGGAGAUCUUCAGUUCUUUUUAGCAACAUUUUCAUCCCAUAAUUCUCCAAAAGAAUGCUAACGUUUUCUAGCUCCUGGAGUUUCAUUGAUCUUGAUGUUUCAGAUGUCAAUUUUUCUAGCUCCGUGAUAACUAUGGAUGCUGAUGCUCUAGAUGUGGCGAAGGACACAAGUCCAUUUCGUUGCACUUUUCCUAUACAUAUCUGAUACCUUUGCAAUUCCACAGAGACCAAAUCCUGCGGCAGAAUUUCGGGAUCCGGAACAUCUAUCUCCAAAGUAGUUAGCUUUGACAACCCCUUCAACUCGACAAGACUGGCAUUACUUCCUCCUUCAACCUUAUCCCACUGUGAAAAGCUGCAACCCAUGUACAGUUCUUCUAGUCGAGAUAAUUUGGAUAUGAUGUUAGGAAAUUGGUGGGUGCAGCAGGACCGCAGCUAAAAUAAAAUUGGAAAUAAAAUAAAGAACAAGCACACUAGAGGACACAAGAAAAUUACGUGGUUCGGCUUUUAGCCUACGUCCACGGGCGAAGACAGAAGGAAAUAUUUUACUAGUGAAAAGGAGUUACAAGUAUUGUAGUAUUUUAGCUCACUUCCCAAAAUCCCAAUACACCCAAACUCUCAAAACACUAAACACUCAAGAGUUUAUUAAACUCUUAAAACUCUCAACACUCAAAGAAAGCAAUGCUUCUCUCUCGAUGGAAUUGGAUGAAAAUGAAUGAGGAAGCUCUUCCUUUUAUAGCCAAAAAAUGGCUAUUAAAUUAAUAUAUAUAUGUAUAUAUUUCAAAUGUAGUUACCAACUUCUUCUUUUUCUCCAUUUGGAUGGCACCAUUUUCUUUGGCCGGCUGCACCAUUUUCUUCUUUCAAAUGUCAAACCCUUCUAGAUGCAGCCAUGCCAAACACUUCUAGAUGCAGCCAACUUUGACAUAUGACAUUCGGUGUUAUCACCUCAAGCCUCCUACAAUUGCUCAAAUCCAGCAACUGUAACCGCGUCAAUUGUCCAAAUUCAAGUGGCAACCGCUCAAUAUCGGAACCUCGAAAGCUAAGAAUCUCUAAUUUCUUUAGCUGUCCAACUAUUACUAUAUCUUUUAGUCGGCAAUAUUCUAAACACAAUGUUUGAAGGUUAAUGAGGCGACCAAGUGAUGAAGGUAAUGAAGAGAAGUGAAUUCCAGUAAAAUUCAAAACUCUGAGUCCUUCCGUCCCAUCAAAAAAGUGGUCUGAAAUUGGCAUAGAGCCACCACCCUUUUCAAGCAACAAAAGUAACUCGAGACGGGGACAUUGCAACCUUUCAGGAAGCACUUGAAUACCUCUAUAAGGUAAAGAAAUAGCAAUUGGACCUUCCUGUACUGUCUCUUCCAUCUUUUUGUCCAAGUCGGCAACAUUUGGAAUAUUAAACAUGAGCUCCUCUUUUGCAAUUGAUACGGCAACUACACGAAUGACGUCAUGCAUUUUGACUUCAUCUUCAGCAUCACCGUCCAACAAUAAGCAUGAAGAUUUGAGUUUGCUGAUCAACGUAUGCACUGUACUCCUUGCUUCUUCCGGUGUGUAAACGUUUCUAAAAUAGCCCAUACCCAUACCAUAUCUCAAUAAAGAAGAAACUGGUAUAGCAUGACCUUCACUAAAUAGACCACAAAGAAGGAACAGAGAUUUUGCUUCCUUAUUUCCCAGUAAGUCGUAACUCAAUUUCAAGGAGAGGUACACAUUUUUUUCCAUUCCAUCAAUUUCUUUUGCAUAGGAACUUCUUAGCUGACGCAGCACAUAUUUCCAAGUCUCAAGGCUCAUAUUUUUCAAAGCUUUUGCAAGUGUAAUCAGUGCAACCGGCAGUUCUCCGCAUCUUCCGACGAUCUCAUGUGCUAUAGGUUGAAAAGCAGAUGUUUUCAUUGAAUCACCCACUAUCUUCUGAAAUAAAUACAAUGCUUCUUCUUUUGAUAAAGCAUCGAUCUGGAUCUCUUUCUGAGAAUUCAUAACAUUGUGCAAUAAAUCUUGACGUCUAGACGUCAGUAUUAUUGUGCAUCGUCGCUGAUCAUCCAUUCUUUCUUUCUUAACAUCCCCGGAAGGAAUUCCAACUUCAUCGAACUUCAGUUCUCCCCAAAUAUUAUCCAAUAUAAUGAGAUGCCGCUCCUCGUUCUUCAAAACUCGACAUAGUCGAUUUGCUCUGUCGAAUAUACUCUCAUUCAACUCAAACUUUAUGCCUAAAUCAGAAGCAAGUUUGUCUUGAAUUUUCUGAUGAUCUGGGUUCUCUGUUACCUCAGCCAUAGCGACCUUAUCGAACAACUUAUCUUCCGUCACUUGCUUUGCAACUUGCUUGACGAGCGUGGUUUUACCCACUCCGCCCAUCCCGUAGACCCCAAUUAUGUUGAGCUUAUCAUCCUUCAACGCCUCCAAAACAUCUUGAAAUACUUUCUUUCUUGAGUCAAAGGCCUCGUAAUCUUUCACUUGCAUAUAUUCUGUACUCUUUGGAGCAGGACGAUAGGAAACACUAGAGAAGUUGCCUUUUCCCACGAGAUCAGCAGCAUCUUUUGCGGCCUUUGCUGCUUUUUUACUGAGUUUGUAACGAGACAACAAAUUUGGGCACAAUCCUUUGAAGCAAUACUUCUUGGCUCCAUUUUCAUCAUCAAUAAUGGAGUUUGCAACCCCUUCACUGAUGAAUUCAUCAACGCUAUGUAGCCAAUCUGCGACACCCUCAUAAAGCUCAUCCCCUUGUAGCCUAGCAUGAUUAACUGGUUGCUGCACCAUUUCUCUUUUACAUCCCAGCUGCAUUACUUGAUCUUUUAGCUCAUCUACGUAGCUCUGGUACUUGAACACAUAAGAUAUCUGCCGUAUAAUCGGUUUGAACAGUGACUUUGCACCUUCUGAUACGAUGCUUGAAAAACCACCGAGACAGAAUUCUACAGCCAUUGCCUGUUGCUUAACGAUGUAUGUGUAGUUUUUGGCUGUUAAAAAAAACAAAAAUUGGAUUCAAAUAAAUUAAAUGAACUAGAGGGGAAGAAAAAGAAAGAAACGACAACAAACAACUUUUUAGAGAAAGGUUGAUAUUGUUACAGAACACAUGUUCAUUUUUAACAAAUUGAUCAAUAACUCUAUUCGCUAUUUAAUUGAUAUUGUAACCAAUUUUAAGAGAAUAUAAUAAUAAUCCUUCGAUGCAUAAAUUUAGAAUUAGAUUUUUUAACUUUUUAUUUAAAUAUAAAUCUCAAUGGAAAAUUAUAAAAAUUUAGAGAUAAAAUUUUUCAAUCACCAAACGGAAAAACAGGGGAAUGAAAACAGAGGAAUCUUGUUUUACCUUUUUUUUUUUUUAACCUUCACUCUUGUUCUUAUAUAAAUAAUCUUGUUCUGAUGAUAGUGCUCGUGACUGCAGGAAAAUUUCUAGUGGAAACAACUCAAUUUCAGAAGAAUUUAUUCAAUUGACUCUGUACUUGAACUCGUUGGAUUGGUUGAUUUAUGAUUGACUGAAUUUAUUCAAUUCGGCCUAAAAGAUCUUUAACCAAAGUUUAAUAGCUAUCAUCUACUCCUUAAAAAAAAAUAUGUAUCUUUUUUAGAUUUGACUGAAUUUGAACUUGCUGGAUUGGUUUUUUUUAGAUUAUUAAAAUGGGGCACUGCAAAGUAAGUAUUCUAAAAUCUGUAUGUUGCUUUAGAAAAAGGGCUUUUCCCACUGAUCUUUAUUCUUCAAGUAAACUUAGAUACAAAGUAAAUCUAAAAAAAUGACAAACAAACAAUGAAAUAAACGACAACAAACUGGCAAUUUUGACACAAAGCCAACAAUUAAAAUUUAGGACAUUUUUUUUUCUUGCUUUCUUUUUUUGGAGGAUUAGAGAUUUUGGUAUUACCAGAAAGGUUUCAAGGGUCUGAGUUUCAAGGGUCUGAGUAGAAACCUAUAAUCUUUUGAAAAACUUUGUUUUUUUUUAAAAAAAAAUUUGGGGAAAGGAUGCAAAUUAACCAAAGGAAAUAAUAAGAGCACAGGCUUUAACAAUGAACAAUAACUUAAAACUCAUGCAAAAUAAAUUCAAUAUUAAAGCAAACCAGAGAAAUUUUUUUCUUGAAAAGUAGAUGGAAAUUAUGAAAGAACAGAUGUCAAGAUCAAGGAUCAGGGAUUCUACUACCCAAAAAAAAAAAAAAAAAAUUAAAGGAUUUGGAAAAUGUGCACCUAGAGUUGGUGAGCUUCUCUCUAUUCACUUGAAUAUUUAAGAACAGCUGGGGAAUGUGUGAGAAAAGAGUUGACGAGAGAAAUAACAAUGACUUGCAGAAGAAAAACCAUUAAUCAAGCACACCUUUUUAUAUCCUGUAUUUGGUUAUUGUUGCCCUCUUGACGCAUGUAGAGAAUAAUUAUGUGCAUUUUUGUUUUUAAUCCGCAUGCACUUUAAUGAUUAGUGCUCCUUUCAUAAAGCAGAUACCGGAAACACACAAAUAUCAUUUGAGAGAGAAACUAAACAGCAAAUCAUCAAAGUAAGAUCAAUAAUAUAUGAUUUGGUUAAUGCAUAUUCAAGAACAAAAACAAAAAUAAAUAAAUAAAGAAGGUUUGAUUUUGUUUUGCCAACGCUGCUUUUUUGUUAUUUCUCACUCAUCUUCAAUCCUCAAGUAAAAUUAGGUAAAAAGCAAAUAUAAUAAAAAAACAAACAAAUUAACAAAAAAAGAAAAAAAAACAUUGAUCUUGAGACAACUGAUACUUAAACAGAGAAUUCUUUAUUCUUUUUUACUUCCCCUCCCCCCCCCCCCCCCCCGGGCUCGAGGAUUAGUUUUUGCUAUUAACAGAGAGGUUUUAAGAGUCUGAAUAAAACCAGCGCUUUUUUUAAAAACCUCUUUUUUUUCUUUUUUCUUUUUUGGGAAGAUAGAUUCAAAUUAACCAAAGCUAGUAAUAAGAACACAGACCUUACAAAUGAACAAUAACUUACAACUCAAGCAACAUAAAUGAUAAGAUUAAAACAAACCGGAGAAAUUUUUCUUGGAAAAUAGACGGAAAUUAAGUAAGAACUGCUGUUAAAAGAAAUUAUUAGAGGAUUUAGGAGAAUGUGUACCUCUUUAAUUAUUUGGGAUCAGAGAGUUGAUGAGCUCUCUAUUCGCCUUGAAUAUUGAGUAAGAACUGGUAUUAAAAGAAAUUAUUAAGAACAAUAUUUUAGUGAGCAAAAUAUCACUGUUAACUGCAGAGGAAUUUUGUGAGUAAAAUGCUGAAAGAGCAGUAACAAUGAAUUGCAAAAGAAGAAGACUUAACCAAGCACCCCUUCUAUACCCGAUUUUUAAGAUUUAAUUUUGAAGUUCAGAAUCAAGAACAAAGACGAAGCUUUAAUAAAGCAUGCAGUGAGAUACAAGAAAUGGAUCGGGCAAAAUACCUUACGAAGCGUUUCAUAUUUUCUAAUGAAAUAAUUUAGUUGAAGUUUUCGACGAAUAAAUACCUGUUGUGCUUGAAUAAUUUUGGCAUAUACAUUACUUGUAUCCGGCGAAAUUGAAAAGCACACUCAUUUACAGAGCUUGUUAGUGGGGAAAAGCUUCGUAAGAUGCCUGAUAAAAGAUAAAGCAAAAGCUUGAAUGAAGAAUGACAUUUUAGAAAGAAACUAAAGUGCAAUCAUCAAAGUAGGAUCAAUAGUGAGUUGAUCAGUUAUGCUUUUUGUUAUUUCAAUUGUCCUGUCCACAAAUGAUGCUUCGUUAUUACUAAUUCCACAUGGACAUUAUUUAGAAACUGUUCUUAUGUUUAACAGAAAAAUGAAAACUCGUCAUCAUACAAAACUGCGUGAACAAAUCUUCAAUUUGAUUAUUAUAAAAUAAAGAAGUUUCAUUACUAGAUUAUGCGGACGUUAAUGUUAGAGAUUUCAUCAGAUUAUCAUAUAAUUUACCAAACGCUUUGAGAAGAACAUGAAUUAAUUAGUUAAAAAUUUAAAAAUAAAAUAAAUAAAGAGUACAUGCAAAUAUUGUUGCUUCCAAUCACCAAAGUGAAAAACAGGGGAAUGAUAACAGACGAGUCCCUGAUUAUCCUCUCUCUCUCUUUUUUCAAUCUCUCUUUAUGUUAUGAUUGAAUAAUUGUAUAGAAAGUGUGACGGUUGCUGCAGCAUUAUGAAGUCAAAAUUGAGAACGACAUUAAAUAAUCAAUCUCUUUAUGUAUAUACUCGAAUGUCUGAUAGUGUUCAGACUUGGAUUUUCUAUAAACACAGAUUCGAAAUCCAAAUAAUUGAAUAAUUGUGUGCGUUCAAAUUCAGCAUUUAAUUUCUAUAUAAUUGGACAUAAAUGCGUAUUUUUUAUUUAGCCCAUUUCGGUCCAUGUUCAAAUAAACAUAUUUCUGUGGAUGAUAAUAUCAGGACCUCUGAUGCUUUUUUUUUUAUCAGAAAUUUUAUUUUUAACUCUUCGUUAUUUAGAUAUAAAUUUUUGCAGUCACCAAAUAGAAAAACAGGGGAAUGAAAACAGAAGAGCCGUGUCCUAAAUCAGGAGUAGGUGUUUUGCCUAAAAGUACCACUUUCCUAGCAAAUCUAGUGGGUUUACUGAAUAAAAUUUUUAAUUAUUCUGUUUGAUCUUUCUCUCUUUAUCCUAAGCAUUCUUGGUUGGGAUCGCUGCAUUGUCCUGUAAUCCGUGUGCCUUAGUGAAAAGAGUAAUGGGUAACUGUAGUUAUGGGUACUUGAGAGCUCACGAUGAGGGUAGCUUGGUAAUGGGACUAUCCAUAUCUGAGCAUCAGAGCUUGACAUCUUUGAUAAAUACAUAUGCUUACUGGUACUGUUUUUGCAUAUGUCUUUCACAAAAUCUUUGUAUAGGCUUACAUAGAGAAGAAGAUUCACCAAUAAAGUGUUGGCUCCACUGGCAAUGAAGUCCCUUAAGUGGCUUGACUGGGUUUGCUCCUCAGUUCUAGUCUGGGUUGUGGUACGGGCUUAAAGGUGCCUCCCACAGUUGGGGCCUUCCCCAGGAUACCUCGUGGUCAAAACAAAAAAAAAAUAGAGAAGAAGAUUCGGAUAACUUUCAAAAUCUGAAUCCGCCUGAUGGACGGACUUGACCACACAGCCCCGUGACAAGGAAGUCCAAGCAACUAACCUAAACCGUUCUCCUUUAGUCCUUUAUUAGGUUGUUCAAAAUGAAAUUAUACUGAGGAGCACCCCCCCCCCCCCCCAAAAAAAAGUUCUUUUAUAUAUUUUUCUUGGAAUUUUAGGCAAAAGAAAAAAAAACUGAGAACGAUUUCAAGCGAACAAGUGGAUAAUAACUAAAAUACUUAUUUUUAUAUAUUUGAUAUAUGCGCUCACUAUUAAUAGAACUUAUUAGAUACUACAACUUAAAUAACUUCCAGUGGUUGAUUGAGGGUAUGUUUGGGAUUUCCUUUACUUUCCAAGAAUUAAUUUCUACCUUGAUUCUGAACAAAAAAAUAAUUUUACAAAUAAUUUAUUAGGGUGUUUGGUAAAUGAUGAUUAUUUGACAAUCAAUUUUUAAAUGGUUUACUAUACAAAUCUGGUAAAUGAAAAUUAAAAGUGUAAAAUGUUCAUGUACAAUGACAAAAAUGUACUUGUUUACUUUUUUGUAAUUUAUUUAGAAUAUUAUUAUUUAAAUCUUUUUUAUUUACAACAUUUUUAAGAGCAUAUUCUAUUUUCUUUAUUACAUAUUUAAAUAAUUUUUUAUUAACUAUUUUAAUUUGCAAUAAAAUUAACUUGAAUAUUUUUUUAACUAAAAAAAUUGUUAUCUAGUUCGUGAUAUAACAAAUACUAACAUAUCAUCAAAUUGAUUAAUAAAUUAAGUGCAAAAAAGAAAAUGCAAAAAUUUAAUCUUUAUAGCUCAUAGAAAUAUAAUAUUAUAUACAUGUGUGUAAAAAACAACAUAUGACCAUAAUAUUAUCCACUCAUUAAACUUGCUGCACUAUUAUUUCUCAAUCUCUCCAUCUCUCGACCUUCAAGAACAUUACUACCAUAAUCUUCUUCUUGAAUUCAACCUCCAUUUCCUCAUCAUCAACAAUGCGACCAAUUUGCCUUGAUAGCCUUUCAACUCCUCCCACUUUCCUCCCUUUUGCAGACACUCUUUUUCUUUUUCUUUUUCUGUCUUUAAUAGCUUCAAUGGGAACAACCUCAUCUGACGACAAGUCCAUUCUUCAACUAGGACAGAGUUGGUAGUAGAUAUUCUAGUACUCUCAAACGAUGCCCAAACGGGGUCACCAGUGAUUGUUGUAUUAAAAGACAUUCUAUUUAAUUUUCCUCUGACUCUUGGUCGAUACCUUUUGUACAAAAUCUAUUUACUUCAGGAAUUUUAUACAUAUGUCGAUAUCAUAUUAAAGUGAAUUCAGAUCCUAUAUUAUUGACAUUAAAAUUUAGCCGAAUAGUAAAAAAUUUCCCUUUUUGUUUGUCACACAACUAUAUAGUCCCAUUUUUGGUUAUAAGCUCACGAUAUGCAAGGGAAAUGAAGAUCUAUUAAAAACUUCCCCAUAAUAUUAAACAUUAAACAAUAUCAACAUUUUGUGCAUAUGGUGCCUCGUCAACAAUUUGAUGUUCAUUUUGUUGCUCGGAGGAAUAUGACUACCUAUUAAUUAAUUAGCAAGAAUUGCGUUGCGAGUCCAUGUUUUUUGUCGUUUGGAUGGAGGAUGUGCUAUCUUUUUAUUGUAGAUGCUUUGUAAGGCUUUUGAUUUAAUGAUUGAAUGCAGUCAAUUAACAAAAGCUUACAUACAGUAUUAUGUAGUUGCUGAGAUGUCUAUUCUUGAUAAAGUCGAUUUAUUUACACCCAAGCCAACGGAAUCAAAGCCUUUUCGUUAAUAAUAUACACGGUAAUUGUUUUUGUUAAAUUGAUUUCUGGCUAACAAGAUCUUUGAAAGCAUUUAUUAAAGAAACCACUGACUCAUAAGAAAGCCAUGAUUAAAUACACAGCCAAGCAUGUGAGCUCGUUUUUCAAUCUCUUUGAUCACUCAUAAGCUUCUCUAUACCACUCACUGUAUCAUCCUUUUAAGUCAAUUUUGACUGAUCAUCAGAGAUCAUGCACCCCACCUUGAGAUGAUUGAUCACCAAUUUGGCAUUGUAACGUUGAUCACCUCUAAUUGGCCAUGCUAAAAUUGGGACCUCACAGCCAAUUGCUUCUACAGUUGAAUUUUAUCCACAGUGAGAUAAAAAUCCACCUAUUAAUUGAUAACUCAGUAUCAAUAAUUGUGGCACCAUUCCAUCUAUUAUCAAACCCUUUUUACCGACUCUACUAUCUAAACCACUACAAAAAUAAGCUGGUUAAAUGACGUGGAGGAUCCAAUCUAUUUACAUCAGUUUGAAUUACCUAAAUAAUCGGUGGAUUUGAUGCUUCUAAAUCAUUGGCUAAUGUUGAAUAAUCAUUUAAGGUGGGACCCAUUUCGGUACCAAAUGACAUGUAUAACACGGAUCCACAUGAUUUCAAAUCUAACCAUUGAAUGAUCUCAUCUUCGGUCAUGUUAGAACUUCGCCGGUUGGUUCUCAUCUCACAAUCACGAAGCACUGAACCAGCCGAUUUGUAAAAUUGUUCAGGUAACAAUUGGCCCACUCCCCACACUGGCAUCAACACCAUCGAUCCCUCCACUUGCUUCAUCCAGUGUGGUUGAUCACUCGGUUCUGAUGGGCCUAUUUAUUCUGAACCGGGUGCACCUCACAAAGGUUGUGGACCACCAGGAAGGGACCCGUGAGGCCUGCGUUUAAGAUCCGAUUCGAAUAAAGCAAUAUCCUUGGGUAACCCAAGAAGUAAACGGGCCUCUCCCGGUUUGACAUCCUGGAUGCGAGCCUGCCACAUGGCACACUCCACAGCUGCUGAGCAAGCAUCAGAAGUGAAGAACCCAACAAUGGGAACUUCAAAAUUCUUGAAAACAUCAGCCGUCCAGCCCAUCAUAACGCCGAUGACUACGCAAACAGGUCGGCUUUCGGGUUCCGGGUUGAAAGGAGGUUUCGAAGGCCUUGAAGCAUUUGGCUGUGCAUGACAACAUGGUGGUGAGAAGGAGGUGAUGGUAGUGGUUGAGAUGGGGAGGGUAUUUCGGUAAUUUCAAAUAGAGCGUAUUGGUGAAGAGAGGAAGGGGUGAUGCUGGUGGUAGAAACGUGAGAGGGAAUAAUGAGGGUAGAUUUGUAACAACGAGAAGUGAUUUGCUUGCAUAAUUCAAUGCAUGGAAACAGAUGUCCCUGACCGAAGAAUGGGACAAUCCAAAUCUCAGCCUCAGCAGCAUUCGCAACAGAGCUUGACAUCUUUUAUGAAUUAUUUGAGACUUAAUUGUUAUUGACUGCUUUUGCCAUCUUUCAUAAAACAUUCUUUGUUAUAUAUAAAGAGAUGACUUGAUGGAGAAGCAAGUGUUUUACUUUUAUAGUUUUACUAGUAGUUGAGCUCUGAUUUUGAUAAUUUGAUUGUUAGUUUUAGUUGGUUAGUUAUGAGAAAGCAUCUUUCACAAAAUUCAUUCCAGUUUCAACUAAAAUUAACAAUACUGUUCAAAUUAAUUACUGGAUCAACAAAUAGUCAUAGGCAAAUCUAUCCCUAGCGCUAGAUCUUGAACAUAAUUAUUAUCAUAAUCUCCCCUUCCCCCACCCCCCACCCCCAAAAAAAAAUUUACUAAAUAUCUUUUGUUAUAUAAUGAACAAGAUAAGUUGACGGAGAAGGGUUCUACUUUUACUAGUAAAUGAGCUUUGAGUAGUUAAGAAGGUUAGUUUUAGUUAGUUAAAUAUCUACCAUCCGAAUCAAAGUUCCUUAGACUAUUAUUCAAGUGAGAUGCUUGAGUAACAUAUACUUGUGUUAGUUGGUGCCUAACAAUUCGUGUGAUACAUGAAACCAACCACUAUGAAAUCCAAAUGAAGCUGGUAGGAUUAGAUUAAUUUAAAUGAAAAUAAAAAUUUGUUUAUGCUAUUUAUUAAUCUUAUAAUGUUGAAACUUGAAAGUUAAUUCUUCAACCUGUCAAUUGGUUCAUGACAUGGUUUAAUAUUCAAGUAAAUAAAUUUAUCGUUUAAAAUUAAUUUUUCAUGUGGUAAAAGCAAUACAAAAUAUGGGGUGGAGAGAAUAAUUUGUAGGGUAUACCCCCACCAUUUAUUUAAUUUCAUUAAAAAAAAAGAAAAGAAAUAAAGGCUUGUUCAACAUUCAAUUAAAAUUAACAAUUCCAUGAUAAAAUUACUUGAGAAUAAAAAUUAAAAAAAAAAAAGUAACACAAAAACGAGGAAUUUUUGAGUAACUGAAGAACCAUAGAUGUUUUUUGGUCAUGAGCAAUUUUUGAGUUGAGACAGAACUUGUAUAAAAAAAUAGUUUUGAAUAACUUCUUUUCUUUUUUCAUAAAUAUAGAUAUAAAAUUUUAAAGUCACCAAACACAAAACCAGGAAAAUGGAAAGGAAGCCCCUGUUUCUCCUCUGUUGCAAGAACAAAUUCGGUUUCUACAGGAGUACCUUCUAAAUGCACCAUUUGUAUUGCUUUGUUUCCACGUAAGCUAACGGAAUUUUUAAUGAAAUUAAAUAAAUACAAUCUCACUGACCGAAAAGUUCUGUAGCUGUUUCAAUUCAAUUGCAUACAUUGACGAAACAUUAAAUACGGAAAAAACAAAAAAGAAGUAAUAGGACAUGGGGAUUUCGAGAACUUCUAAAGAGAGAAAUCUAUUUAUAAGCAUUGAAAAUUAGCUCAUUAAAUUUGACAGAAUAAUAUACAAUCUCACUGUUGGCCAGAAAAUAAUAGUAAGAACUUGUGAACAUAUAUAAUCAAUUGUUUAUUACUUAAGCUCUUUUUCUUCGUUAUUUUGAAUGGGUGCAAAGAAGAGAAGUUUUGUACCCAAAUUCCAACUCGAAUUGUGUAGGCUGCUUGCAAGAGCUUCAUUAGAUUUUUAUUUGUCUUUUAAUAGUGCUACUCGAUAAAUACAGCUAGCUACCUGUCUUUUUUGUUACUGGACUAUAGAUCAAUUGACAGUUGAAGUUAUAUUAAUUUGUUGUACUGGAAUUGAAGCUUGUAUCUUAGCCAUUUCGUGAAGUGUCAAAUAUAUUUUUAAUUUCCUUAAAAUUGUUCAAAAUAUGUUUACACUUUUAAAGUCACUAUUAUACAUGAGUGCCCUAAAAUAGGAGAAGGCGAUUUGCCUGACAUUACCUGUUUCCUGUCAAAUCUAGCAGGUUUACUGAUUAGAUUUUAACAAGUCUCUUGGCAAAGUUUGCUAGAAAUGGAAUCAAAUUAUUCUAUUUAAUCUUACUGUCCAUACCCUAAUAGUUCUUGAUUUGCAUCACUGCAUCGUUCUAUAAUCUGUGUGCGUUGGCUUAUAAAGGCUAGCAAGGCUGACCAUUCGUAGCAUAGUUUUUUUUUUUUUUUUUUUCCACAAUGAAACUCCUAUUGAUUUGACUCAGUAUUUAGAGGCGUUAACGAGGGCACUAUACUAGACAUGGAUUUCUACCGCUUUUGGUUGUACAAUUGUUGUAAUCCUUGGCCAUCAAAUCAUUUUUACGUAGCUUUCUCAGAGUUCAUGCCAAGUGUACAUUAAUGUUUUUAUGUUUUGGAUGCAAGUGGGAUUCUAGUUCUCUAUGGCAGUUGAAGAGGUAAAUGGGCAUGGAGCUAUGCUCUAUCAUAGGCUUCGGCCGCUACAAGAAAUUUGAUUUCUUAAGACGAUAUUUUUUACAACUUUAAAUUUGGUCACAAAAUUGUAUUUAUUGUGACAAAUUUUUAAAAUCGUAGUUAAUAAUCUUGUCGUAACUUAUAUUGUUUUUUGUAACCAAUUGUUUUUAUUUUGAGACUUGUUCAUUGGUCAUUAAUUAAAUUUUUUUAUGACAAAAAUUAUUUUAGUCACCAAAAGAUAUAUUUUUUUGGCGCAAAAUCUUCCCUCCAAAAGUGAUUAUUUUGAGACAAUAUUUCACUAUUUAUGACAAAAUAAAUAGUCACGAAAUAUAAUGAUAGGCGACCAAAUUAUUUGGUAACUAAAAGAAGGGUGUAAAAUUGACUAAACAAUCUAUGACACAAAAUAUUAGUAGCCAAAAUUAUUGUUCUUUUGGCUAAUUUUAAGACCAUUUUUUUUUGUCAUAUAUAAUUACCUACCAUGACAAAAUUUAAAAAUAGUUGUUGAAUGUUUUGUCUUGAAUAAUUUUAUAUUUGAUAACCAAUUUUUUUUUUUCUUUUUGAGACAUAUUACUUGGUCCCUAUUUCAACUUCUUUUUGACGAACUUUAUAAUAGUCACAAAAGACUUUUUUUAUUUUUGGCAUAAAAAGUCUGUCCAAAGUUAGCUCUUUUGGGACAAUAUAUAAUCUUUUAUGACAAAAUAUAUAGUGGCGAAAUAUAAUUAUUUUUUACAAAGUUAUUUCGUAACUGAAAAAGAGGUGUAAAUAUAGUUAACCUAUUUGUGACAUAAAAUAUUAGUCUCCAAAACUAUUAUGUUUUUAGCCAAUUUUAAGACCCUAUUUUGUUGUCAUGGAUAAUUACCUAUUUUCAAAAAACUAAGAGAUAGCAAUCAAAAGUUUGUCUUGAUUGACAUUGUAUUUUAUGAGCAAAAUAUUUUGUUUCAGUGACACUUUACUUGGUCUUUGAUUAGACUUGUUUGUGAUGAUCAAUAGAAUUAUAUAAUAACCACUAAAUUUUUUUGGGUUAAAUUUUUAUAGAUACUAUUAAUUAAGUUGUUGACGAAAAUGAUCGAACUAAUACUAAUAUGGGAUACCAUCAAUAGCCGUAAUACUUAUGAAGCGAGAAAUUAUAAUAUGUAGUGAUUUAUUUAGAAUUAUUUUGACUACUUUAUUGAUUUCCAAAACAUAAAAUUCUCAACCCAAAAUUCCCCGCAUUGUGUUUUAUUUUGUCUCCUCACUCAGUUACUCUUUUAGCUAAAGUUGCUUUGGAAAAGUUGGAAUCUUUUGUUUGGGUGGAAAAUUUCCCACCAGAGAUUAGACAUGUAUUCACCUAGUUGAAGUAAUGAAAGUUUUACUUUCCCAUAAAAAAAAAAACUCACGGCUUGACAAAAAAAAGGAAAAAAAUUCUCACAGCUUGAUGGUCUCCUCUCUUUAAAAAUAAAAAUCCCUAGUUACUCUGCUCAAACUCGUUAAUAUUUGUUUCCACCACCUAAGCAGCCACUAGUAUCUUUUUUUUUCGCAAUUCACUUUUGCUGUGUUUCGUGGUUUGGAUGGAGAUCAUGACAAUAAUUGAACGAUGGUGAUAAAUAUCAAAGAAGGAGCUUACAUGCCCUAUAUAUCUCUCUUUGGAUGAAUAACGAAGGUGAACUUUCAAAGUACAGAGAUUUACAUGUUUUAAUUGUCAUUUACAUUGCUGCAUGCCCAUUGCUUGAUAAAAUACCGCAACAAACACGCAUUCUCGAUUUUCUCAUAAAUUUAUUUUCUUAGUCUGAAAAAAAAAUUGAAUGUUCAGAGAAUUUUGAAGGUUUUGGUGUAUGCAUUAAUAUUUUGAUUCUAUUUAUGUUGUUUAACUAAUGAAGAUGAUACAUCUAGCCUCUUUUUGCCCCUUGUUGUUUUUAUUCUUGUGCUUUAUAUACGGUUCAAGUGUGAUACACUUUAGUUUUUCUCAAGUGUUUGUUAGUAUUUCCCCAAGCAAAAUUUGUCACAGACUUUGAGUUCAAAAGUUGAAAUCAUAACUAACAUACUUCGAUUUUUUAUUUUCCUUUUUUCUUCGGGGUCCCAUAUAUCUUUCUAUAUGGCAUUGCUUGAGAAAUUGGUGUACUUAGAUCGUAAUAUUCUGUAGAAAUAAGCUAAUAUUUCAUUAGGUACAUUGUUUAAUAUGAUAAGUACUGUAUGGAAGUUUUACAGAUAAGCUCCUUGUAUAUUAUGCAUUAUGUUUUUAUCAUAUUGUUGCUUGGAACUUUGAAGGAUUGGCCACAGGGCUUUAGUCCUACAAGGACAUUUUAUAUUGGGAAAUUAUCAUUCGUAUACCCUAUAGAUGCUCUGUUAUAAAAAAUACUACAACACUUUGAGGGUGUAUCAAUCGUCCACAUUAAGUUGACAAAAUGUAUCUGUUGUCCACCAAACCGUUACUUGCCGUUUAAAUAGGAUAACGACAGAGGGGUAAUUUGGUCUUUUCAUAUGAUACAAGUGAUAAUUUAAGGGUAUACAAGUGAUACUUUUCAAGGGUAAAAUUGUCAAUUCGCUAUAAUUCCGUUAACUUUCAAACGGUAGCUAACGGUUUGAUGGUUGGUAGAUAGCUUUUGUCAAUUUGGGGUGGACGAUUGAUACACCCUCAAAGUGUUGAAGAACUUUUUAUAACAGAGCUUCCUACANNNNNNNNNNNNNNNNNNNNNNNNNNNNNNNNNNNNNNNNNNNNNNNNNNNNNNNNNNNNNNNNNNNNNNNNNNNNNNNNNNNNNNNNNNNNNNNNNNNNNNNNNNNNNNNNNNNNNNNNNNNNNNNNNNNNNNNNNNNNNNNNNNNNNNNNNNNNNNNNNNNNNNNNNNNNNNNNNNNNNNNNNNNNNNNNNNNNNNNNNNNNNNNNNNNNNNNNNNNNNNNNNNNNNNNNNNNNNNNNNNNNNNNNNNNNNNNNNNNNNNNNNNNNNNNNNNNNNNNNNNNNNNNNNNNNNNNNNNNNNNNNNNNNNNNNNNNNNNNNNNNNNNNNNNNNNNNNNNNNNNNNNNNNNNNNNNNNNNNNNNNNNNNNNNNNNNNNNNNNNNNNNNNNNNNNNNNNNNNNNNNNNNNNNNNNNNNNNNNNNNNNNNNNNNNNNNNNNNNNNNNNNNNNNNNNNNNNNNNNNNNNNNNNNNNNNNNNNNNNNNNNNNNNNNNNNNNNNNNNNNNNNNNNNNNNNNNNNNNNNNNNNNNNNNNNNNNNNNNNNNNNNNNNNNNNNNNNNNNNNNNNNNNNNNNNNNNNNNNNNNNNNNNNNNNNNNNNNNNNNNNNNNNNNNNNNNNNNNNNNNNNNNNNNNNNNNNNNNNNNNNNNNNNNNNNNNNNNNNNNNNNNNNNNNNNNNNNNNNNNNNNNNNNNNNNNNNNNNNNNNNNNNNNNNNNNNNNNNNNNNNNNNNNNNNNNNNNNNNNNNNNNNNNNNNNNNNNNNNNNNNNNNNNNNNNNNNNNNNNNNNNNNNNNNNNNNNNNNNNNNNNNNNNNNNNNNNNNNNNNNNNNNNNNNNNNNNNNNNNNNNNNNNNNNNNNNNNNNNNNNNNNNNNNNNNNNNNNNNNNNNNNNNNNNNNNNNNNNNNNNNNNNNNNNNNNNNNNNNNNNNNNNNNNNNNNNNNNNNNNNNNNNNNNNNNNNNNNNNNNNNNNNNNNNNNNNNNNNNNNNNNNNNNNNNNNNNNNNNNNNNNNNNNNNNNNNNNNNNNNNNNNNNNNNNNNNNNNNNNNNNNNNNNNNNNNNNNNNNNNNNNNNNNNNNNNNNNNNNNNNNNNNNNNNNNNNNNNNNNNNNNNNNNNNNNNNNNNNNNNNNNNNNNNNNNNNNNNNNNNNNNNNNNNNNNNNNNNNNNNNNNNNNNNNNNNNNNNNNNNNNGAGGAUGAAAUUUGCAAAAACCUUGUUCAUAGCUAUGGUAAUUAAGCAAAUUGAGUCUUCUUUUUUUGUUGUUUUUUAUUCACUUUUUCCUGUCCUUAAAACAAAUAAUGAGUUUUCUUGUUUUUAAUAUUUCUUAUAAACUUUAUGUUGUUUGGUAUAAAAUUAGGUAAUUGGAAAGGUCUCAUGUUGGAUGAAAUUAUCAAUUAUGUGCAGUCCCUACAGAAUCAAGUGGAGGUAACAUUGCUACUAAAAAACCUUAUUAACAUAGUUAUAAUGAAUUAAUCUUCUUUAAUAUAUUGCAAUAUUUUUUACUAUUUCUAGGUCUUUCUAUGUUGGUUUUGGAUCAUUGUAGUUGCUGAUUGUGAUUUAUUGCCGCCUAUGGUUGCUGACUUUUGUUUACUGCAGCUACUUUAUUAAAGCAAUUUUGGAUAUUGAAGUUUAUGGCCAACUUUUAUUAGAUACUUCUGACCUUUAUCGAUAUAUUUUCUGAACCUUUACACUUAAGAUGUGUGUGUGUUUUUUUUAAGUAAUUUAAUCCUUACUAACAUUUUCUAACAAAAUCAAUUACAGAAAUGAUUAGGAAAAAACAAGCAAAAUCAUUGUAAAGUGUCUUCUGCGCACCGUGGUUGCUCAAGUCUCAUGUGCAACAUGUGAAUGAAAUAGUACUUGAAAUAAUAGAGACUUUGUUUUAUGACUCUUAUAUUUACAUUUCUUUGCAAGGAACCAUACUUAAUUGUACCUAAUAGAAGAGAUAUCUUUUCACUAUAUAGUCUUAGUAUAAAAAGAUACCUCUUCUAUAAGGCACAAUUAACGGGACAUGUCUUUAUACUAAGACAUCAUUCAUAUUUAUCACACAAUAAUAGAAACUGCAACGGUAGCUGGAAUAUUAUGAAGUCAAAAUUGAGAACGACAUUAAAUCAUGAAUUCUUUAUGUGUUUACUCUAAUGCCUGACGGUAUUUAGUUCAAUUAACACAGAUUCGAAAUCCAAAUGAUUGAAGAGUUGUAUGGGUUCAAGUUCAGUAUUUAAUUACUAUAUAAUUAUACAUAAAUGUGGAUUUUGCAAUCUUGAACCCAUUUAAUUACUAAAAAAGGAUGACGAAUAGAAUUGGUGGAAAUUGACCACAAUCAUCUCUCUCUCUCGGCUUGCUCAAAUUUGGCCGAUCUGUGCGCUUGCUUAAGCUUGGCCGAUCUAUGCUUGCUCGAUUACUCUUCCUAUAUUCAGUCAGAGUCAACUGUUUGACAAGAGUCGAAGUCCAAGGUUCUUUUUUACAGGAUUUGAGCUACUUCUUUUAUUCUUCUUGCAUGUUCACUGAUAGCGGGUGGAAUUUGAGAUGUUCACUGAAGCUUUGAUGUGGUGUUCUGAUAGCGGGUGGAAUUUGAGAUUCUCCUUUCUUCUCUAUAUGAAGGUGCUUGUCAUGUGUCAAGAAAAAUAAAAUUAUUUACAAAAGAUUAUUUUAAGGAGAUUUAUUAUUAUUCGUGGAUCAGGAAGCUCAAAAAGUUUUCUUAUGUAGAACAUAAAAUGAUUUAAAUUUUGCCAUGGUAUAUCCUUUUCUUUGAUUGUGUUGUGGUUUUCCAGUUCUUGGAGAUGCAGAAGAAGUUUAUUUUGUUUUAUGGUAUCUUAUUUAUUUAUUGUUUUCACGAGGAAAUAGCUGUGCUUUUGGAAAUUAAUAUGCUGUGUUGUAAAUGUUGUGUGAAAUCCUUUUAUUGGUGUCUAUGUAAAGUGUUUCAGAUUUCAGACCUGAGAGUUAAUCUUCGCGUACCAGUUGGCUUUUGGGUUUAGUAUUGCUGCUUUUAACAUAAUUGACCUAUGGCCCAAAUCAUUUCUUAGGGCGAAGCAUAUGAAUGAUACAUAUUAUCUUUUUUUGGCCUUAUGUAUUGUUAUUUGCAGUGUGAUUUGGUCUAGCUUAAGAGCUUAAGCUUGCAAGUUGGAUUUGUCUAACAGGGAACAAUUUAAUUUGUUCAUCAUGAUGUUUAUAUCCAUUUUGUACUACUAUCAAUUUCAAUCAUGCCUAAUUUUUAUAUGUAUUUCUUGUGGACUCUCAGGUUCAGUGCACAAGAGGAUGAAGACGAUGGACACCCAAAUUUGAUGUGGAGAAUAAGUAUUGCAAAUGGUCCUUGAUUUACUUCUCCAAUUGACUUGAAUUGGUUUGACGCAAUUUAUAGUGUAUUUUUGUCAUCUUUGUAUGACUGGCAGGUCGUCCUGAUUUGGUACAUGACUGGACUCAGGAAUUGGACUCAUAUUUUUCAAACCAGAAUGCCAACAAUCAAGCAUUUUCUUUUGAAAGCACUGGCGUCUUCUUCAAUGCCAAAAAGGUUAGAGAUUUUUUGUAUCCUGUUUUGUAUUUGAUCAGUUUAGCAUGUGGGUGGCAAUCAAGAAAAGUUAUUCUAACAUUUUUGUGUUCCCGAAAAACUGCUGAUGAUGUGUAGUGCAGGAAAUGAAUUGUUUGUGACUUCUUUUUAUUCGUAUUCUUUCUUUUUUCUUUUCUCCCCAACAGGAUUAUGUAUUUCUGAAGAGCUUCUUGAAGUUGAUUACCUUGUAAGCCACUUUCUGUACUCUAUGCUCAGGAUGUGAUUUUGCCAAGCAUUAAAAUGGUUUAGGUCAGAACCAUCAUCUAAAGUUUACUUAAUGCAGCCGAGAAGCUGUAGUAGAGCAAUGAAGGCUGUUGGUGUUAUGAAGGCCAGCUGUGAAGAAAUAUUUGAACUUGUAAUGAGCAUGGAUGGGACACGAUACGAGUAUGCUUCUUUUCUAUUUUUUAAUUUUAGUUAUUUUAACAUAAUCAAGACUAUAUUGGCUGUCUCUGUAAGCUGAGUAUUAUAUUUCCUCUUGUAUGCUGUGAAAUUCACAUUGUCUCCAGUCCCGAUUCUGUAUGUGCCUUUUUGAAUAUAUUUAAUUAAUCUGCAUGGUGCUUUCUAAAGAUUAUUACAAACUUUUGUUGCUUAAGUAUAUGAAGAAUGUGGAAAUGAAAAUAGCUUUUGAAGUUUGAUGGAUUGCUUCAUUAAUAAAGAAAGACUGGGACUCAUUUUUAUAACUUUUCUCCACUUAGCUAAUGGUAUUUGAUGAAGACAAAAUAGAUGUAGCUAUCUGUAUUUUUUGUUGCUGAACUAUAGAUCAAUUGACGGUUGAAGUUAGUUAUAUUAAUUUGUUGUACUAGAAUUAAAGCUUGUAUCUUAGCCAUUUCAUGAAGUGUCAAAGACGUUCAUGUUUUUUAAAAAAAACAUGUUACACUUUUGAAGUCACUAUUACAUAAAAGAGUGUUCUAAAACAGGAGAAGGCGUGCUGCCUGAAAUUACCUGUUUCCGAUUUUAACAAGUCUCUUGGCAAGGUUUGCUAGUAAUGUGUUCAAAUUAUUCUAUUUAAUUUUACUGUCUGUACCCUAAUAAUUCUUGGUUUGCACCAUUGCAUUGUUCCAUAAUCUCUGUGCGUUGGCUUAUAAAGGCCAGCAAGGCUGAUCAUUUGUCAAAUAGUUAUUUCCAUGAAAUUCCUAUCAAUUUGACUCAGUAUUUAGAGGUCUUGAAGAGGGCAGUGUACUAGACGUGGAUUUCUUCCUCUUUUGGUUGUACAAUUGUUGUAUUUCUUGGCCAUCAGAUCUUUUUUAUGUAUCUUUCUCAAAGUUCAUGCCGCACGUACACCGUUUUUCAUGUUUUGUGCAGGUGGGAUUGUAGUCUUUUGUAUCGCAGCUUAGUUGAAGAGGUAGAUGGUCAUACGGCUAUUCUCUAUCAUAGGCUUCAGCUGGACUGGUUUCCAAUGUAAUAGUCUCUUGAUUCAAUCAUCUCAUUUAUGCUUUGGUCAGAAUAGAACAUUUAUUGUUUUCUUCUUUCCCCUUUCAUGUCUUCUGAUAUAAUAUGUGAGGAAAUUACCUAAAAUUUCUGUAUCCCAAUGUAAUUGUUGGAAUUCAGAAAUAAAAUAAAUACACCGUCUUGUUUUUCCCUCGGUUCAGUCCUAAGUUCUCUUUGGGCCUUCUGCAAGUUUUUAAACAUACUGUGACAGUAAAAAAUCUAGUGAUUGAGAUCAUUUUGAUGAAUUUAAUUUUAAUUCUUAGCUGAUACUUUUUCUGGAAUUUUUUUUCUUAUGUUUCCUCAAUAUGACUUAAAUAUAGGGCUUAGUUUGGUUUAGAAGUUCGUCUAAAACCUUCUCCUUGAUUCCAAAAAAAUUCUCUAGAAAGGUCUCAGAUGGAUUUUAGGGGAGUUCUGUGGCAAAUUUGAAAAGUUCAGGGGAAGGGUCUAAUGAAUUUUAAAACCACAUGGGUUAUCUGUUUUAUUCAGAGGAUAGUGGAAUUCCCUGAAAUUUAUCAUUUUUAUUUAAAUAAUCUUCCUACUUUCCUCUGCGGAAUUUAUUUACAUUUAUGAAUUCAUUUGGUUGCAGGUUUGUUUGGCCCCGCGGCCUUUGUUAAGUACGUUAUUGGCGUUGAAAUGACGCUGCGAGUUAUGGUAAGGUUCUUGCUUCCCCACUUCUUGAAAUUAAAUCUAUCUUUUCUGGCACUAGAAGUUUCCAUAAGCUGUGUUUUGUUAUCGCGCAGUUGUGUUAUUUCAUUCUAGGGAGCAUGAGAACUGUGGUCCACAGCCAGGAUAUGUACGAGCUCACGUGGAGAGUUAGUUUUCUGUCCUUUACUUUGGUUGAUGUAGAGAAUUAACAAGUGACUAAGUCAUGCCAAGUUGCACCACUUGCUUCCUGUAUUCUGAUUUCUCAGGUGGUGGAUUCAACAUUUCCCCACUCAAACCUCAAAAUGGUAGGCCCAGAACACAAGUACAGCAUCUUAUGCAGAUUGAUCUAAAAGGGUGGGGUGUUGGUUAUGUGUCAAUGUUUAGCAACACUGUCUUCUUCAGAUGUUAAAUAGCAUUGCUGGUAAGUUUCUUGCUUUCACAUUUUAUUUUGCGCUGUUAUGGGUUAAUAUGUUUCUGUUGGGUGGCCAUUUUAAGUCAUAUUUUUACGUGUUACUGUAUUUUCUUCAGUCCUUUUAUAGGGAACACACACAUACACGUAUGUAGAGUCACCUUUUAAUGAGGGAUCUACCAUUUUAAUAAAAUGAGGAAUGAGCUAAAAGAUAAAAAUUCACGAACUCCAAUGCAAUAUGUGUGUGUGCGUGUGCACACCUUUUCUAACUCUUGUUCUUAGUUAGAUAUUUUUCGGGAUUUCAGGCAAAUGAAAAAAGAGAUUAAGAGAAAGAGAAUAGGUGGAUGAUAACUUAAAUAUUCAUUUUUAUAUAUUUUGUUAAUGUCCUCUUUAAUGGAUUUCUAUGGAAUUAAUCUUUUUUUUUCAAUUAGUUGCAGCCCUAGAGGAAAAGUAGGGUGAUCAAAUUGAUUUAUCUCAUUUUUUUUUAGCAAUUUGCGACAUAAUGACCGUGAUAAUGCUUGUGACUGCUGGAAACUUUCUGAUGGAAAUAACUUCAGAGUUCGUAGCAAGCAUUUUUGUUAUGACAAAACAAAGGUUCCCGCGAAUUUUGGUUGUUGUUAGGCCACAAGUGCGUUUCACAUAUGCAAGGCGCAAGGGUAAUUCCGGAAAUACCAAUCGUGGCUGACGUGUCAUCAAGUAGUAUAGAGAGAAGAGUUUGUUAUGCAUUUCUGUUAGUGAUAAGUUGAUGGUAUUCUGUUUUGAUAAUUUGUUAGAGUUUUCUAUUAUUCUAUUUGGGCGUAAAAGUGAGGAGGUUAUAUGGAGAGGAGCUGUUUUUUGGGAAGGGGAUCUAGAGAAUUAUUUUGUAGUGAGCUUGCUCAUUUUGGGAGAGAUACCAAGCCUCUCGAAUGCUUGGGUGUUUUGGUUUAUUUCUGCAGAUAAAUACCAGUUUUCCUACUUCCAACAACAUUCUGUUCUCUACUGUGUUGUUUAUCUAACCAUUUCAGUUCAGGGCUUAUCAAAUUGGUAUCAGAGUAGUCACGUACCUAGAAAAUGACUGGCAAAAAUGUUGCUCAACGAAUGGAUUCCAUAGAGGAGGCGAUGGGUGCUGCGUAGGAGGAGUUUCAACGGGAAAUGAGAUCGUUGAAGGAUGAAAUAUAGAUGAUGAACAAACGAUUCGAACAGUUCAUCAAACUUCAAGAGGAUACGGGAGGUUCGUAUUCGAAUAAAAGGGAAAAGAUGCUCAGCCCCAACUUCGGCGGGUUGAGCUCAAGCGGAACUAGCCAUGAUUUCCGAUUCCGGAAACUUGAGAUGCCACUGUUCGAUGGCUCAAAUCUGGAUGGCUGGAUCUGAAGGCUGAACGAUAUUUUUCCGUAAAUCGGUUAUCCAAUGAAGAAAAACUUGAGGCAGCGAUAAUAGCUUUCGAGGGAGAUGCCCUGUUGUGGUAUCAAUGGGAGAAUAGGAAGAGAUCCAUGAUGGUUUGGGAAGAGAUGAGGCUACUAAUCUUGAAACAAUUCCGAGUAAUCCAAGCCGAUUCUCUCCAUGAACAAUGGCUAGCCCUUACUCAAGAUAGCAGUGUGCGAGAAUACCGCCGGAAAUUCAUCGAACUUUCGGCGCCGUUGGAGAACAUUACAGACGAACUAGCUCUGGGAAAUUUUAUCAAUGGGUUGAAGCCUGAAAUUCGGGUCGAGGUUCGGAUCAUGGAACCCAGUAAUUUGGGCCGGGCCAUGGACUUAGCCCAAAAGAUUGAGGAGAAACUGUGGGUGACCAAGGCCCACAAAGCAGACGGUGGGUUUCAUCGAGCAGGAGGGUCAACGCGAGGUGUGAACUUCCAUUCUGAAGCUUCGCAAUCUUCGUUUGGGGCAAAUCAUAACACGGCCCGAUUUUCGGGAGAGGUUAGGAGGUUGUCCGAUUCAGAAUUACAGAAGAAAGAGAGAAGGGACUAUGUUAUCGAUGUGAUGAAAAGUGGGCACCUGGGCAUCGCUGCAAGAAGAAAGAAUUGACUGUCCUUCUCACCUACGACAUGGACGAAGCAGAGCAGGAAGAGGAAGAAGGUUCGGGUGAAGGCGAUCCCGAACUGGAAACGGCCGAAAUUAAUCAAGGGAUAGAGGUCUCUCUUAACUCGGUGGUUGGUCUGACUACACCAAAGACGAUGAAGCUUAAGGCGUCUAUCGGGGAGCAAGAGGUGGUGGUACUGAUUGAUUCAGGUGCAACCCACAAUUUUAUUUCUCUAGAUUUGGUUAGUAAGAUGCAGAUACCCAUUGUUAAAACUGAGGCUUAUGGGGUGACUAUGGGUACUGGAGCGGCUGUAAGGGGAUAAGGUUUAUGUCGGGGAGUGACUAUUCAUCUACAGGGAAUAGAUAUUGUAGAGGAAUUCUUGCUGCUUGGGUUGGGGAGCUCGGAUGCUAUAUUAGGAGUUCAGUGGCUUGAAACUUUGGGGAUGACACACACAAAUUGGAAGACACAAGUGAUGAAGUUCAUGCUCGGAAAUGAAUCUGUUACUCUACGAGGGGAUCCUUCCCUUGGCAAGACUUUGGUUUCAUUGAAGGCAAUGAUGCGCACCAUUAAGCACGAGGGAGCUGGAAUUCUGGUGGAAUGUAAUCAAUUUGAAGGUCUGUGCGAAGUGAGCCCUGAGGUGCCACCGAAUCUAAACCAAGUCCUAGCAGAAUAUGAAUUGGUUUUUAACAUGCCCAUGGGCUUACCACCUACUAGGGGACAUGAGCAUUCCACUUUGCUCAAAGACGGCAGUCAACCUGUUAGUGUCCGACCAUACCGCUAUCCUCAUGCCCAGAAGGAUGAGAUUGAAAGACUGAUUCAGGAGAUGUUAGAUGCGGGAAUAAUCCAAGUCAGCAAUAGUCCAUUCUCGAGCCCAGUUUUGUUGGUUAAAAAGAAAGACAGAUCAUGGCGUUUUUGUGUGGAUUACAGGGCUCUCAACAAAACGACGGUACCAGAUAAGUAUCUCAUCCCUGUCAUUGAUGAACUCCUAGAUGAGUUACAUGGUGCCAGAAUUUUUUUCCAAGCUAGAUUUAAAUUUGGGCUACCAUCAAAUCAGAGUCAGUAGUCAGGAUGUUCAUAAGACUGCUUUUCGAACGCAUGAUGGACACUACAAGUUUCUCGUCAUGCCUUUUGGACUAACGAAUGCCCCGUCGACUUUCCAAUCCUUGAUGAAUGAUGUCUUCUGGCCUUAUCUUCGGAAGUUUGUUCUAGUGUUCUUUGAUGACAUUCUAAUUUACAGCCCUUCAGUGGAAUCCCAUCAGCAGCACUUGGCUCUCGUCUUGGGAAUAUUGCAGGCCAACAGCCUUUAUGCCAACCGAAAAAAAUGCGAGUUUGGAAGAACUCAAGUGGCAUAUUUAGGCCAUAUCAUCUCUGGACAAGGGGUGGCAGCGGAUCCAAGUAAAAUCCAAGCCAUUAACUUGUGGCCAACGCCCACUAAUCUGAAAGCGUUAAGGGGAUUUCUGGGAUUGACGGGGUAUUAUAGAAAGUUUGUGGCUGGGUAUGCUAGAAUCGCAUCGCCAUUGACUGAUCAGCUCAAGAAAGAUAGGUUUGGGUGGAGUCCAGAAGCUGCAGCGGCAUUUGAAGAACUCAAACAAGCUAUGUCUUCAGUCCCUGUGUUGGCAAUGCCUGAUUUCACAAAGCCAUUUAUUGUUGAGAAUGAUGCAUCUGGUUUUGGGUUAGGAGUUGUUCUACUACAGGGGCAACAACCAGUAGCUUACUACAGCCAAGUUUUGGGGCCCCGGGCUCGUCUUAAGUCCAUAUAUGAGAAAGAACUAAUGGCCAUAGUGUUUGCAAUCCUGAAAUGGCGGUCGUACUUGCUGGGAAGGCGAUUUAUUGUGCGAACAGACCAACAGAGCUUAAAAUUUCUUUUGAAGCAGAGGAUUGUUGGAGUUGAAUAUCAAAAAUGGAUCACCAAAAUCAUGGGAUAUGAUUUUGAUAUUCAAUAUCGUAUUGGGGCUGUUAACAUAUAUGUUUCCAUAAUAUUGAUUUUGAUGAUAACAAAAAAGAUUAAAAAUGAUUAAUCUUUUAAGCUCAAAUUAUUUUUUAUACAUUUUAAAUAAAUCAUUAUUUUUAUAUUAUAAAGGUUUUAUAUUUAAUGGAAAAAUGAUUUUAUGAAAUUGGUUGUUUUUCAAGUUUAUGAUUUAAUUGAAAGAGUUUUUGAAAACUUUGAAAUCAACAAGUAUUGCUUGAAAUUUUAGAGAAUGACUUAUUUUAAAAGUGUCAUAGCAUUUUGGGCUAUAUCAUAAUUUCAGAAAGUUUUGGGAUUAACAAAGCAUUACUUAGAAAUUCUGAAAUUGGACCUAUUUGUAAACUUUCAUAACAUUUUGGGCCAUACUGUAGUUUUAUAAAGUUUUGGGGUCAAACUAUAAUUUUAAAAAAUAGUGCACUGUGCAGGUUACUGUACCAAUCACUGUAGCAAAUGGCUAACCGUUUAUUUAAAAACGGCUAACCGAUAAUUUCCAGAAAGCAUGUUCUGCAAAGUAUUGUUAAAAUGAUGAUUCUGGAAACUAACGGUGAACCGUUUACUGAAAACGGUUAACCGAUUAUUUCCAGAUUGUUAACCUUGAACCGUUUAGUAAGAACGGUUAAACCAAAUUUGUUUUGCAGGUCUCUGGAAAUUAACGGCGAAAGGGUAAGCCUAAACGGCUAAUCGUUUAUUUAAAAAUUGGCCCAACGGUAACUUUGACCGGCCUAAACGGUUAACCGUUAAUGGUUAACGGCGAACCGUUUUCGAGCAAACAGUCUAUAACGGCUAGUUUUUCAGCUCCAACUAUAAAUAAGCUCAAUCCAAUUCAAACAAGAAGAAUUCCAACGAUCAUCAUUGAGCAAAAUAUUGAGAAUAUAACUUUCAUUGAGCUUUAAAUCCUUGUAUUCAUCUCAUUCAUUCACACAUUGAGCUUUCACUUGUGAUUAAACACAUUGUGUGAGAGAGAUUUAUUUGUAAUCCUUUUUGUAAAAUCAAGUUAAAAGAUUGUAAGUGUUGGGAUACACUUGGGUUAAGAGAUUGGGGAUAAUCUCUUGUUGUAAAGGUCCAUUGACACCUUGGAAGUCAAUUGUAAGCGUUUGAAGCCUUGGGAGGCUAGCUUAGUGAAAUCCUCAAGCUCGGUGAGCUUGGAGGCAUGGACGUAGGCGGGGAUUGCCGAACCACGUAAAAAUCAUUGUGUUUGUUUUCUCUUCCCUUACUCUUUUAUAUUGUGAUUGAUUUAUUUGUUAUUGCUUUAAAUUAGUUUUGGAUUUGCAUUGAGUUUUGUUUUAGAAUUGAAUAAUUUUUAAUAUCCCAAUUCACCCCCCUCUUGGGUUGCCUAGUUAGUAUUUCAUUUGGUAUCAGAGCGAGGUGUUCUUGUGUAGACUUAACCGUCUAGAGUUAAAGAUCCAUGGCAACCUAUAGUGACUCAACCUUUAGGGAAGGACAAUCCACAAUUAGACCACCGUUCUUCGACGGUAAUGACUACCCAUAUUGGAAAACUAGGAUGAGAAUUUAUUUACAAGCUUUAGAUUAUGAAAUUUGGGAAAUUGUUUGUGAUGGUCCAUUUAUGCCUUUGACUAAAAACGAAGUUGGGGAAGAUAUUCCAAAACCUUCACGGGAAUGGAAUGAAUUGGAAAAGAGAAAAGCUUCUCUAAAUUCCAAAGCCAUGAAUGCCUUGUUUUGUGCACUUGAUAAGAAAGAGUUUCAUAGAGUGUCUAGUUGUGAAAGUGCUAAUGAAAUUUGGCACAAACUUGAAGUUGUUUAUGAAGGCACGAAUCAAGUGAAAGAGUCUAAAAUUAGUAGGUACACUCGGCAAUAUGAAUUGUUCCAAAUGGAACAAAAUGAGAGUGUGUAUUCUAUGAAUACUAGAUUUACGGACAUAGUGAACACUCUAGGAGCCCUAGGAAAGACCUUUUCAAAUAGCGAGAAAGUUAAGAAAAUCAUUAGGUCGUUACCUAAGAAAUGGAGACCAAAAAGGACUGUCAUUGAGGAAGCUCAAGAUUUGAAUAUCUUACCUAUUGAUGAUUUAAUUGGUUCUCUUAUUUCUUAUGAGGAAGACAUGGCAGCCGAAAGAGGCAAUGAGGAGAAGAAGAAAAGCAUUGCUCUCAAAGCCUCGAAACAUGAGAGUGAUGAGGAAAGCGAGCUGGAUGAGGAGGAGAUGGAUAUGCUGGCUAGGAGGUUCAGAAAACUUUUUAAGAAAUCCGAUGAGCGAAGAAAAUUUAGAGACCUCAAGAACCGAAAGGAGAAGAAGGAAGUAAUCAAAUGUUAUGAGUGCAAGAAGCCUAGCCAUAUAAGAACGGAAUGCCCUCUUCUCAACAAGCUGAAGAAGAAAGCAAUGAUAGCCACAUGGGAUGAUAGCGAUGAGGAAACAAGUGAUGAUGAAGAGCAUCAAGAAAUGACAAAUCUAGCUCUCAUGGCAAUUGGAGAUGAAUCGAAUGAUGAACUUGAUGAGGUAAAUGAUCUUUUUACUUAUGAUGAAUUAUAUGAUGCUUUUAAAGAAUUACAUGAUAAUUGGAUAAAAAUUGGUAAAAAGAAUGCAUGUCUUAAAAAGAAAAUGGUAGAGCUCAAAAAUGAAAAUGAAUCUCUAUGUGCAAAGAUUACAUGCCUAGAAUUAGAGAAUAAAACAUUGCAUGAUAGAGUUGCAUUAUCAAAUGAGAAACCUAGUACUUCACAUGAGCAUCUAGAAUAUCACAUAGAUGACUUGAAAAAUGAAAAUGAAAUGCUUAAGAAGAAGAGCAAUGAGUUAAAUGAGAUUGUUUUAAGAUUUACAAAUGGACAAAAGAUGUUGGAUAACUUGAUUAAUUCACAAAAAAUGUGUGUUUGAUAAAGGAGGACUUGGUUAUAAGCCACAUUUGAAACAAAAGUAUUAUAGGAACUACUUUGUGAAGAGUACAUCUACUAACAAUCAAGUUGUAUGUCAUUAUUGUAAUCAAAACGAUCACAUGAAGCUUGGUUGUCCUAUUAAAAGAAAAGUAUAUUAUGGAGUAAAAUGUGUUUUGGUUCCAAAAGGAAAAAUUGCUAACACUCAAGGACCCAAGAGUAUUUGGGUACCAAAGGGCACAACGUGAAUGUUUUCUUUGUAGGUACCACAAUCAAGGAAUGGUGGAGAGUUCCUUGAUGAAAGCUUGUGAGGAUAAUCACUUGAGUAUGAUCUAGGAGAAAAAGAUGAGGCAAGAUGAUUUAAUUGUUUUGGUAACAAUUUUUGCCAUAUUAAUUUUGUUGAAUGAAUCAUGAUAAAUGAAUUUGCGAAAAUAUGCUUGUAUGUUUACAUGAUGGAAUUAUCAUUGUGUAUAACAUUGAGUGAUUUAUCAUGAUGCCUUUGUUUGAUUUUGAUGAUUGUAUGGUCUUUGAUUUCAUCUUCUUAAUUGUCUAUCAUCAUUGUCCAUCUCUUAUAAAUGUGUGAAUUCAUAUGCCAUUAAUUGUGUUAUAUCAUCAUUCAUGUAUAAAAUUGAACUUAGAAAUUAUGAGGAAAAAGUAGUAUCCUUCAUCUUUACAAUCAGUACAAGGAUCCCUUUUAAAUAGAGCAAUUAUAACAGAAAAGGAAACUAAUUAAGAGCUAAUAUUUGACAGCUAUCAUCUAUAUUUACAGAGGAAAGGAUCCUACAAUAUCUCUAGGAUUAAGGCUAAAUUCAAGGCCUAAUUUCCAACACUCCCCCUCAAGCUGGUUUGAAGAUAUCUUCCAUAGCCAGCUUGCUAGUCAACUUAUCAAAUUGCUUCUUGUGCAAUCCCUUUGUUAAUACAUCAGCUAACUGUUCAGUUGUUGGAAGAUAUGUCAUACAUAUUAUUCCAGUGUUGAGUUUCUCCUUGAUGAAGUGUUUAUCCACUUCUAUAUGUUUUGUUCGAUCAUGAAGAACUGGAUUAUGAGCUAUAGAAAUAGCAACUUUGUUGUCACAAUAGACUUUCAAAGGAGUUGAGAAAGUAAAUUUCAGUUCUUCAAGAAUUCUUUUUAUCCACAUAACCUCGCAGAUUCCAUGGGCAACAACUCUGAAUUCUGCUUCUGCACUACUUCUAGCAACCACAUUCUGUUUUUUACUCCGCCAUGUAACUAGGUUCCCACCAACAAAGGAACAGUAGCCAGAUGUUGAUCUCCUGUCAGUGACACUUCUUGCCCAGUCUGCAUCUGUGUAGACUUCAACUUGAAGAUGUCCAUGUUUUUUGAACAUUAGGCCCCUCCCUGGAGUUCCUUUUAGGUAUCUUAAGAUCCUGUAGACUGCCUCAAAAUGCUCUGCCCCUGGUGAGUGCAUAAACUGACUUACCAUGCUGACUGCAAAGGCGAUAUCAGGUCGCGUAUGAGACAAGUAGAUCAACUUCCCUAUGAGUUUUUGAUACUGUUCCCUAUCCUUUACUUCUUCAACCUUAGCAGGUUGUAACUUCAAGUUAGGAUCAAUUGGGGUCUCUACCAUCUUACAACCAAGCAAACCUGUUUCUCCAAGGAGAUCAAGAACAUAUUUCCUCUGAUUCACAAAUAUACCUUCCUUGGAUCUUGCAAAUUCCAUUCCAAGGAAAUACUUAAGGACUCCCAAAUCCUUAAUUUGAAACUUCUUUGCAAGUCUCUUCUUGAGGGCUGCUAAUUCUGUUUCAUCAUCACCAGUUAAAAUGAUAUCAUCAACGUAAACAAUCAAAAUUGCAAUUUUACCGUCUUUUGAGUGUUUAUAAAAUAUUGUGUGAUCUCCUUGACUCUGCAAGAAGCCAUAACUGAUAACUGCCUUUCCAAAGCGUUCAAACCAUGCUCUUGGUGACUGUUUGAGACCAUAUAAUGACUUUCUUAAUCUGCAGACUUUAUCACUACCAAGACUCUUCUCAAAUCCUGGUGGUAGACUCAUGAACACCUCCUCUUUAAGAUCACCAUUGAGAAAUGUAUUUUUAACGUCAAGUUGGUGUAAAGGCCAAUCACAAUUCACUGCAAGAGAUAACAAAAUUAUGAUAGAAUUUAUUUUAGCAACAGGAGUAAAAGUCUCAUGAUAGUAAAUCCCAUAAGUCUGAGUGAAGCCUUUAGCCACCAGCCUCGCCUUGUACCUCUCAACGCUUCCAUACGCGUUACAUUUUAUCCUAAACACCCACUUACACCCAACUAUUUUCUUGUCUCUGGGUGGAUCAACUAUCUCCCAAGUACCACUUCUCCUCAAGGCAUUCAUCUCCUCCAUGACUGCUAAUUUCCAAUUCGGGUCAUCCAGUGCUUCCUGUACAUUUCUUGGAACAAACAAGUGUGAAAUCCUAGAUGUGAAAGCUUUAUGGUUUUUUGACAGUCUUUGAUAGGAAAGAUAAUUUGCAAUAGGAUGUUUGGUGCAGUUUCGAACACCUUUCCUAAUAGCUAUAGGGACAUCAAGAUCAGAAAUAAUUGGUGAAUUAUUGGAAACAAUCGAAGGAAUCAAAGCUGGAGUUGGGAUUUGAUUACCUGAAAUUUCAGUGCCGGAACUCAGUUUUUCAAAUUGGGCUUGUGUAGGAUUGACAUUCAAGUCUUUACUUCUCAGAUGAAAUCUCUUCCUAGUAUAAACCUGAAGUUCAGAAUUUAGAUCAUGUUGAUCUGUUUGUAGUACUUCUCCCCCUGAACGAGAAUCCCUUGUACUAGGCUCUAAAGAACUUGUUUUUCUCAACUGAUCAUUAUCAGAAAAGUGUGGUCCUUGAAUAGGACAAAUAACAUUUGGAAGUGGGAUAGAAAUGUCCCAAAAAUUGUCUUCUACUCCAUUUGUCUCCCCCUGAAGAGAAUUUUUUAUGAAAUAAGGAGUUUUUUCCAAAAACGACACAUCCAUACUCACAUGAAAUGUUUUUGUUUGAGGGUCAAAACACUUAUACCCCUUUUUGUUCGAUGAAUAACCCAAAAAUACACACUUUAUAGCACGUGGGUCAAGUUUUGAACGAAAUUGACUUGGAACAUGAACAUAGACAGUACACCCAAAAACUUUGACGGGUAAAUCAGAAAACAACCUUGUUGCAGGAAAAAAUUCUUUAAGGCAAUCAAGAGGUGUUUUGUAUUUUAACACCUUGGUAGGCAUCCUGUUUAUUAAAUAAGCUGCUGUUAAAACCGCUUCACCCCAUAAAUACUUAGGAAUAUGCAUGUAAAACAUUAUGGCACGUGCUACCUCAAGUAAAUGUUUAUUUUUCCGUUCUGCAAUGCCAUUUUGUUGAGGGGUAUUCCGACAUGUAGAUUGAUGAAAAAUGCCUUUAUCAUUCAAAUACUCACCCAAGUGCUCAUUGAAAUAUUCUGUUCCAUUGUCAGAAUGUAAAAUACCAAUUCUAGUUUGAAAUUGAUUUUCAAUCAUAGUGUAAAAAUUUUCAAAUAAAUAUUUUACGUCAGAUUUUUUAUGCAUGAGAUAAAUCCAACAUAAACGAGUAUGGUCAUCAAUAAAAGUAACAAACCAUUUUUUACCGGAAAGGGUAGUGACCUGAGAAGGACCCCAAACAUCACUAUGAAUCAAAUAAAAAGGUUUGGAGGCCUGGUACUGUUUUGGCAAAUAAGUAGAACGAUGAAGUUUUGCAAAAGUGCAACAUUCACAAUAAAAAGAAGAGCAAUCAAUCCCUUUAAAUAAUUCUGGAAAUAAGUAUUUCAAAUAAAGAAAACUAGGAUGUCCUAGUCUAUAGUGCCAUAGCAUUAUUUUUUCUCGAACAGAAAUUGAACUAGUACUAAUAAAGUUCUGAGCUUUUUUAUUACUAAUAGGUACUUCAUCAAAGUAGUAAAGACCUUCAAUCAUCCUAGCACGUCCAAUCAUCAUCCCCGAGUUCUGGUCCUGAAAUUCACAAUGUGAUUCAAAUAAGGUAAUACGACAAUUAGAAUCUCUAGAUAAUUUACUAACAGACAAAAGACUGCAGGCUAAUUUAGGGACAUGAAGAACAAAAUUGAGAUUAAUUUUCUCGGUCAGUUUGAUAAGUCCUUCUCCUGCAAUAGGUGAAAAACUACCAUCGGCAAUUCUAAUUUUUUUAUUUCCAGAACAAGGAGAAUAGGUAUUAAAUAAAUGAAAAGAACUAGUCAUGUGAUCAGAGGCUCCAGAAUCUAUGAUCCAUGGAGAAGAGUUUAAACAAGAAAGGGCUAUAGGAUUUCUACCUGUUUUUGCCAAAGAAACACUAGGAAUACCAGACGAGAAGUUGGAUUUUAUCAGCUUCAGGAGUUGAUCAAUCUGCUCUUUGUUAAAGUGGCCUGAGUUGGCUUCAUUGGCCGAAGGAAUCCCACGAUUCUUCUCUCCUUGCUUGCUGCUUUUCCAGUUUUCAGGUUUGCCAUGAAGCUUCCAACACUUCUCACGUGUAUGGCGAGGCUUGUGGCAAUGAUCGCACCAGGCCUGUGACUUAUCAUCAGACCUGCGCUGAUAAUUUGCAGUCUUGUAGGCUGCUGCAUCAGUAAUUAAGGCAGAAUUCUCAAUUGACUCACCGGCACUCCUUUUCCUGAGCAUUACGCUCCUUCGACUUUCUUCUCUUCUGACUUCAGCAAAGACUUCGCCAAUGGGUGGUAGAGGAGGUCUGCCAAUAAUCCUCCCUCGUACUUCAUCAAACUCAACAUUGAGGCCGGCAAGAAACUUGUAAAUACGACUGUCUUCCACGGUUUUCUUGUGGUGGUUGCAGUCAUCAGCGGAUUUCCAUUCAUAUGUGUUGAAGAGGUCAAGAUCUUGCCACAACCUUUUCAAAGAAUUGAAAUAUUUGGUGACAGAAUCAUCACCUUGACGAAUCUCUCCCAACCUUAAAGUUAACUCAAAAACCUGAGAUUGGUUGCCCAGGUCAGAAUACAUCUGACUAACGUUGUCCCACAAUUCUUUAGCAGUAGGAUAGCACAUAUAAUUGGAGCUUAUAUCCUCCUCCAUGGAGUUGACCAGCCAUGUCAUAACCAUGGAAUUUUCAGCAUCCCAAGUGGCAUACAGCGGAUCAUCAUUAGCAGGAACCUUCUUGUCACCAGUGAUGUAACCAAUUUUUCCUUGCCCACGGAUAUACAUCCGGACAGAUUGCGACCAGCGGAGGAAGUUGUCGCCAUUUAAGCGGAUGGUGGUGAUUUGAACAGAAUGAGAGUUGGAGUGGUUUCGCAGGGUCUCAGAUGUUUUUUCUGGAAUGGCAGCAGCAAGGGUUUGAGUGGUUUCAGACGUGACUUCUGACAUGGUUGCAGACACGAUUCCCUAUGCUCUGAUACCAACUUAGAAAUUAUGAGGAAAAAGUAGUAUCCUUCAUUUUUACAAUCAGUACAAGGAUCCCUUUUAAAUAGAGCAAUUAUAACAGAAAAGGAAACUAAUUAAGAGCUAAUAUUUGACAACUAUCAUCUAUAUUUACAGAGGAAAGGAUCCUACAAUAUCUCUAGGAUUAAGGCUAAAAUCAAGGCCUAAUUUCCAACAAUUGACAUUAUUGUUUGAUACGAUUUCAUAUGUUUGGUCUUGUAUACAUUUAUGCCUCAUGCAUUAAAAUGGCUUAUAAAACAUUUUUGGAUCAAUUAGUUAGUAUUUCAGGGGCAAGUAAUCGAGUAACGGAUGCACUCUCACUCUUAACAGAACCAGCAGAGUGUUCAGCUUUGGCGAUUCCUCAGUGCCAACAUUGGGAUUCCUUAAAGGUUGAGUUGGCAGAGGAUACCUUUCUGAAGAAACUAAGGGAAGACAUAACUUCGGGUACACAAUCUCACGUGGGGUUCUCAGUUGAGCAUGGAGUAUUGUUCUACAAGAGUCGGCUGGUUAUUCCUCAGACUACUAAGCUUCUUUUUGCUCUCAUAGGAGAGUUUCACACCACUCCGAUUGGGGGACAUUCGGGAGAAACAAAAACUUACCAACGCUUAGCAGCAGAAUUGUAUUGGAUAGGUAUGCGCAAGGAUGUCACCAGAUUUGUACGGGAAUGCACCAUCUGCCAGCAGAAUAAGUACUUGGCCACUACUCCCGCAGGGUUACUUCAACCUAUUCGACUACCAGCCCAGGUUUGGGAGGAAGUCACACUUGAUUUUAUUGAGAGGUUGCCUCGUUCUGAAGGGUGGGAUGCCAUCUUAGUAGUGGUGGACAGGCUGAGUAAGUAGGCUCACUUCAUAGGAUUAAAACAUCAUUUUUCUGCUGUUUCGGUUGCUGGAAUCUUUGUUCGUGAAAUUGUUAGGCUUCAUGGGAUACCACGGUCAAUUAUCUCUGACCGAGAUAGGAUAUUCUUGAGCCAUUUUUGGAGUGAAUUGUUGAAGCUGCAGGGAACUACUCUCAAAAGAAGCACCGCCUAUCAUCCACAAUCUGAUGGACAAACAGAAGUUGUCAACCGUUGUUUGGAAACGUAUCUAUGCUGCUUUGCUUCUGGAAAACCUCGAAGUUGGGCUCGCUCGUUGGCAUGGGCUGAGUAUUGGCAUAAUACUUCCUUCUACUCUUCUACACAUUGUACUCCAUUUCGUGCUCUCUAUGGAAGGGAUCCACCCCCUCUUAUUCGGUAUGAGCAAGGAGCUGCUUCGGUAUCUUUGGUAGAACAGUUAAUGGAGGAUCGUGAUGCCAUACUGGACGACCUGAGGAUGCAGUUGCUUCGUGCCCAGCAGCGGAUGAAGCUGCAAGCUGAUCAAAAGCGCCAUCAUGUAGAGUUCAAUGCAGGUGAUUUGGUAUUUCUGAAACUAAGACCUUACCGGCAGCGCUCCCUCGCUCAACGUAAGUUUGAGAAAUUAGUUGCACGUUACUACGGUCCAUUUAAGGUUCUUCAGCGUGUCGGGAAGGUGGCAUACAAACUAGAACUGCCUCAAACAGCAAAACUCCACCCUAUCUUUCAUGUUUCGCAGUUGAAAGAUAAGGUUUCAAACAACAAACUACAUACUAGUUUUCCUACUUCCAACAACAUUCUGCUCUCUACUGUGUUGUUUAUCUAACCAUUUCAGUUCAGGGCUUAUCAGUUGUUUCUUAUGGUAUUUAUAUAUCCGACAUAUUCUAGUUCGACAUGUAACGAUGUAGUUUGGUUGGUUCUUCUUGCUUUUUGUGCAAUUUGUAACUGCAGAUACGUGUGGGAAAACAUUUAAUGGAUCUUGUUGCUGUUGAUUAGUUCAAAGACAAAGAGAAUGGACCAUGUAGCUAGGCGUCAAGGCUGUGAUGCACAAGUAACUAUUCUUUUCUUUUUUAUUUUUCCUUUUCCAUUGACGGAUUAGAAGAAAAUACUGCCUGUGAGAUACUACAAUAUAAAUAACUUCUGGUGGUUCAUUGAAUCUAUAACACUCUGAGCCCUAUUCUAAAAUAUGUAGGUUGCUUCCAAAAAAGGGCUUUUCUCACUGAUCUUUAAUCUUCAAGUAAGCUUGUUUCAUUUCAGAAGGUAUUAAGUUUCAAACUUAUCGUUUUGGGAGGUUGUAUGGUUGUAACGUAAGCAUCUGCAGGUUCCUGGUUCAACAAAUUAUAGUAUGGUAUUUUAUUUUGUCACAAGGGAAUUAAUUACAGGAUCCCUUUUGCAAUGGUUUGUUGACGGCGAUGAUGAAUUUCGCAAUGAAACUUAUCCCAUCCGUUCCUAAGGUAUCCGUCUUGGUCUUCAUGUAUUAGGACUAUGUUAACUAAUACGUACCCUCCGCUGCAUAGUACACUUUAAUUUGUACAAAGAAGGCAUGCAUUUAGGUGUAAAUGUAUUAAUGGGUUGUACCUUCAAACUUCAUUUCCUUUUUCUACCGAUUUGAAUUUGUUUUGCAUUUGUUCUUGAUUUUAAGCAUUGAAUCAUGCAGGGGUCAUGGAUCGUGCGCCAGAGUGAUGGAAGCACCCCUUGUUUAUUAGGAAAAGCAGUUGAUUGUAACUAUAUCCGCGGUCCUAAGUACUUAGAAGUAAAUGCUCUUCGAAUUUCUAUAGUACAUGGGAUGUGUUCCCUUUCGAAUAGCUUGUUCAAUACCAUUAACAUGGUUUAACAUUGUUCAUCUUUCUGCAGAUUGAUGUUGGCAUGUUCUUCUACUGUUGCUAAUGGAGUUUUGGGCCUUGUAAUUGGUGUAAUUACGGCAGUGGUGGUUGACAUGGCUUUCCUUGUACAGGUAUGUAUGAUUGUUUUUUUCCUCUACUUCUAAAUGGACACAAGGGAAAAGACAUGAUUUUGAGAUAUUGUACUGCAAUUUGCAUAUUUGCAUACUUGAAUGUUCUCAGAAUGGUAUAAUGCUUCGUGUAUGCAGGCAAAUACUACAGGUGAAUUACCGGAGCGGCUGAUUGGAGCUGUACGUGUUUCUUAUAUAGAACUCAAGUCUGCUAUUGUCCCAAAGUUGGAACCAGAGACAUCAUGACUGUGUUUUCAUUUCACCUCAACUGUUUGUUUUUAAUUUAAAAAAAAUCAUUUGUUUUAGGUAUACAUACAUGUAUUUUGAUCCCGUUUUCAUUGUAAUUUCUCAUUUACUUUGAAAGAAAGUCAUUGGUGUUUUCGAAUGGGAAUUUUGCAUUAAAAAAUAAAGAAUACUUAAUAGGAAAUUUCAUGAUUCUUUAGUUACUAUUUUUGGAAUGAGUGUAAUAGUAUUAAAGUUGGUUUCUACUCGCAAACAAGUGAACUACUCGAUCCCCAACUGUGACCACGCUAAUUGUCAUUGUUUAAUAGCUACUACUUUUAAAACUCAACAACUAACAAAAAUACUAAUAAAAAAAUGAUUUUCUUAUGAUGCUGUGAAAACAUUUAUGGGUUCACUUAUUUCCACAAGAUCUAUAACAUGGUCUUGACUUCACGAAAUUCUUUUAAUUUAAAGGGUGCUGGUAUGAGAAAAUCAGUUUUACGGAUUAAUUCCUUUUAAUAAUGGUCGAGUUAAUUUUACUAUACUCAUAAAACUAUUCUUAUUCUGAUAAUGCCACAAAUGUUAUGCUGUUUUCUUCAGCUAAUGAUCUUCUAUCAGGACUAGUUAGAAAUCAAAUGCUUAAAACACCAAUUGAAUGAAUGAUGCAGAAGUUUAAACAGUAUCUAAUUGAAAAUUGCCUGAAACAUGAAACAUCAAUUCAAGUCCUUCCUUAAACAGAGAAUGCAUCAAACAAAUCCAAAGUGUCUUUCAAGUCUGUAGCAUGACUAAAAAAUUGUAAAUGCGUUCAGAACCAAAUUAUUCAAGUACAGGAGAACGAGCAAGUUGAAUCAUGUACAAGAGGUUGACCUAGUUCUAGAUAGCUUCUUCACUGUACCUGAAGGGUUGGCUCAAUCUUUUCUUUAGAAUUCUGCACAUUUUGUAAUUACUCGUGUAAGCAAGCAUACAUUACAAUCAUAAUAAUAAUAAAGCAAGAGUAAUGAUACGACCACAACCUCUUGUGCACAAAUAAUAUUGUACAAACUAACAUGACAUAAUAUGAUUGAGUAAUGAUACGACCACAAUCUUUUGUGCACAAAUAAUAUUGUACAAACUAAUAUGAUGUAAUAUGAUUGAUUAAACAAAAACAUAACAUAACCCUUAUAAUUUAUUUAUUAUUAUUUUAUAUUUUCAAUCAAGCAAUCAUAUUAUGCCACGUUAAUAGCUAUAGAAAUAAUUUGCUAGAUAGUGCCAACACUUCAUUGAUACUCACCAUUUCAUUGAACAAUUUUUUUAUGGUGUCAUUGAGGUUGCCUUCCCCACAUCCUUCAUCAUCAUCUUUUUCUUCUUCGGUGACGUUCACUUUGUUUAGCAUUGGUGUGUCUAAGACUCCUUGAGAGAAGAUCUUCAUUUUUGGACACUGUCUCACAACUACUUGUUUCAAGGACGGGAAUUCAAGAGCGUAAUUACCCAAACAAAAGCUUGUUAGGAUUGGCAAACAAUCAAGUUCCAAGUACUUUAAUUCCUUGAAAACAAUGCAAUCUUUCGUUUUUUCUCCAACCUGCGAUUGUAUGAUUUCUUCUAUCAUUUUGCAAUCAGCUAUCUUUAUUCUUUGAAGAUUCACUAGAUUUUUAGAUGCUGAGAGCGUCAACGCAUUUAUCAACCCGUGACACUUCGAUACUUGUAGUCCCCACAGAUUUUCCAAAUGCCACGAAGGUGGUACUAAUUUUUGUAACUUACUACAUUCUGAUAUUUCUAGACUUCCCAAGUUUGCAAACGCUUUGUUGGAUUCGUCAUUUUCCUUCCAGAGAUGCUGCACUUUGUGUAAUUUAGACAGCUUUAACUCCCUCAAUUUAGGGAAUGCAACCUGAAAAUCAACAAAAUUAAGUUGUAAAUUAAAAUAUGUAUCCAAUCUCUGCAGUCUUCCCCUGCAUAUUUUAUGGACAAGAUUAAUCACGACAUUUUAUAUUUUUUUUUCCAAAUUAGUAUGCUUUGCAGUAGGAUCCCAAAUAUAAGUAUCAAAUCGAUUACCCUUUGAAACACAUAAAUGAAAUCUGAUACUAAAUCCAAAUGAAUUAGCUAGGAAAACAGAGAUGCGACAAGCAUAAUUGAAAUAUAGUUCAUCACCUCAUGUUACCAGUCAUCGAAAUAAUUUAAGACAUUUUUAUAAUUCAUACUAUAAAGUUAGUUAAUAACUACGGUUAUAUUGUUAAAUCAGAUAUAAAUUAAGACGACGUGCAAAAAGAUGAGUCAUUAAAUUUGAUUUGAUUCUAAUGAAAUUAUAUCUGUGCGAAUGAAAGUGAAGGGAAAAAUAAUAAUAAUGAUUACCUUUUCAUUGAAGAGAUGUUGUAUUUGAUUAGCUACCAAGAUGUUCUCUUCUGAUUUUAAUUUUUGAGCUUCCUUAUUAUCUGCUGUCAUGUGCAGUACAGAUGUAGAAUUGGAUAUGAAUGUUUCCAUAUCAGGGCAAUUCUCAAUAGUUAGAUAUCUCAACUCAGGCAGUUCAAUUAUAUUCCCAGUGAAGUUGUAGAAUCUUUUGAGUUUUGGAAGAUCAAUGAGCCUUAGCCAGGAAAGCCUAGGAAACAGGGGGCCUAUAUGUUCUUCCUUAGCAUUUAGCUCUUCCAAAUGAAGCACCUCUUCUAGUGAAUCACAAUUCCUCACUUCUAGGUACCUUAAAUUGUUCAAGCAUCGUAGCAGAUUGGCAGGAAUAGCACUCGACAUAUUCGUGCAGUCAUCCACCACCAGCUCUCUUAAAUUGUUGAAGAAGCUGACAGGCAGUGCUUGGCCAUGCCAUAUUUCUUGCAAGCGUGGAAAAUGCGAGAGUUGCAAAUCCUUUAUAUCACGAAAUCCAAUCUGCACAAACCAAAACAAUUGCACUGGAUAUAUACAAAUUUUUUUUUAAAGGCAUUAUAUAUAUACACAUUAAACUUACAUGUUUUGUGUUUUAACUUUUAAAAAUAUAUAUACAAGGGAGGUGUAUAUGCUUAAAUGUGCAAGUGCAGGGGAGAUGCAUGAACAAUUUGGGUGAAUCGAUUAACACAUACCAUUUCUUCAUAACACUUUUGUAUAGUGGAAUUAAGGUUGCCUUCCCAAUGGUGCGGUUCACCCUCUUCCUUUUUACUCACUUGGACUUUGUAUAGCUUUGGUGUGGAUAAGAUUCCCAGAGAAAAAGUCAUCAUGUCCGGACAAAGUGUCACAAAAACUUGUUCCAGUGAUGGGAAUUCAAGAGUGUAAUUCUCCAAACAAAAGCUGGUAAGCCUUGGUAAAUCAUCAAGUAUCAAAACUUUUAAUUUGCUGAAAGCAAUACGAUUCUCCUUCACUUCUUGUCCAACAUGUCCUACGAUUUCUUCUAAUUUUGGGCAACCCGAUACUUUAAGAUUCACUAGACUACUAGGAAUUCCAACCUUAUUAUGAAAUGUCUGUGUGCAUGUGUGUGUGUAUUAAAAAAGUAAAAAUGUAAGAAUAUCAUUCAACUAGAUUCAAAGUAUGGUUAAUCAUACAAUUAUACAUUUUAUGAACAUAACAAAUUAUGAAAUGUCUACUAGAUAUUUUUUGUCAAACAAAAACGGAACAAGAUAAAUAAAUAAAUAAAAGCCACAUAAACAAAGAUAAUAAAAAUGCAUUUACACUAUUUAGUAUUAGGAACGUAGCAAGAAUUUAAGGCAAUUUCUAAAUAUUUUAGACUUAUUUUGCAUCUUGACGCCAGUUUUUAAACAAAAUUUGCAAAUUUCAACUAUUCCUUUUGGGAAAAAAAAUCAACCAAAAUGCCGCUUUUUCCCUUUUUCCUUGGUCCCUUUUUUUUAUGUAUAUUUAAUUUUGGAAACAAAAUUAAAGUGGAUCUUUAUUAAGUACUUGCAGACUCGAGGAAAUUUCUUUACAAUCAAGGAUCAGUUGUAAAUAAUCAUGAAUUUGUGGUUAAUUAAUGGCAUAAUCAGUUCGAACUAAACAAGAGAUAUUAAUUAAAUUUGAAGACUUUUCUUUUCUUUUUUUUUUCUUUUUCCAAUCAAAAUGUGAAGAAUUAAGGAAAAGAGAAAUAUAUAGAUGAAUUUGUGAACCUAUAAGAUGAGUGACUAUCCUUUAAUUUUUGAUAAUUGUACUUAUUAAGAUAUGAGCAGAAACAAUUAAAUUGAAUUAUAUUAUGCUGUUGAAUCGUGAUUAAAAAAAUUAUAUUGUUGAUUCUAAUGCUGGCAAACCUAAAAACUGGACUUAAAAUGUAGAUUUGAGAGUGGUGGUUCGAAGUACAAUACUUGAAAUAAAUAAUCAGUGGCUGAAUAUCAUUUGUAACCCAAAAAUGGUUAAAAUAUUGUUGGAUGUAAUUUGAAAAAAAAAAAAAAAGAUUCGAAAUGAAUACAACAACCUUACCAAUGGAGGAAAAAUAUUCAUUAGGUUAUCACACCUAGAUAUCUCCAAAUUCUUCAAUUUCCUGAAAGACUCCAAAGCAAGCUGGUGGUGCCAUAUUGUUCUCAGGUUAGCCAUCCACGCAAUAUCUAAUACCUCCAACCUAGGAAGUAGUACCUGGCAGUUAAAGAUUAAAUAACUAAUUAAUCGGCAUAAUCUAUUGAUAACCAAAUUAGAGGCGGAUAUUAACUAAAUUUGAAGACUCAAGGAAAAGACAAAUUAAAUAUUGUGGCUAAAAUUAAUUAAAAAAAAAACCUUUUCGUCAAAGAGAGGUGGAGAUUGCAUUUCAGAAUGAAGGGUGUCUGCUGGUGAGCUCGUAGAGAUGAAUCUUAACAUAUUAUUGCAACCAUGGAUCUCCAGGUUUAGCAAAGAAGGGAAUUCAACAACUAAAUCUGAAUGAAUCUGUCCCGUAUUGGCAAAACUUGUUAGUUCUGGAAGCCAUUCUAGCUUGAGGGAGUGUAGUUUAGGAAAAACCUUUAAUUCAAUCAACUUUCCUUCAUCUCUUUCUGACCACCCCGUGGUGUCGACUACCCCUUCCAUUGACUCACAAUAGCUUAUCUCAAGAUGUUGGAGUUUCGCAAGACUAUUAACCAUAGAAUAUGAAAACAGAUACUUCAGACAAUCACAACUCCACACGAUGACCUUUGUUAAGUUUUGACAACAGUACAUUCCUUGAUUAUGAUCGGCCCAUAAUUUUUUCAUGUUUCUUAAGUUCCUGAUAUUCAAUUCCUCUAAGCUCGGAAGAAUAAUAACCUGCAAAGAAAACCCGUACAUUUUUGUUCCUUCAAGUACAACCGUCUAGUAUAAUAUUUUUUGAUGAUCGAAGAUUAAUCGUGAAUCCGUGAUAAUAAAUUAAUCAAUUAAUUAUUGAACAGAAAAUUAUCACCUUUGGAGCAGGGUCAUCAUCAGCAAUGAUUUCGUUAAAUCCCAAAGAAGAAGUUGGUUUCUCCCUGUCGGGUCCUAUAAACAAACAAAAACAAUAUACAUAAUUAAUCUUUGUUCUUUUUUUUUUUUUGGUCCAAAAUAAUUGAAGAGAAGUCCAUAAUCCCACCAAUACUUAACUUCAACACUUACCAAAAAUCAUUUCCAGAUCAUGGCAAAACUCCACUUCUACCUUUUGAAGCCGCAGUAGGUUUUUGGCUAUGGAGAAUGAGAAAAGAUGCUUCAAUUUGUAACAGGAAUAUACUUCUAUAAUCCUUAAGUUGCUGAAAGAUUGAUCUUCUGUGAGUUGGCUGUCACAUAUUGUCUCCAAAUUGAUCAAACGACGAAGAGACAAUGACUCCAGCAAGGGGAAGACUUUGCGACGAACCCGUCCAACUGAACGGACAAUAUGCAAAAUCUCAGAACAACUUUUUACAGAAAGAUGCUUCAAUCGUGGAAAACCUUCCCCAUCAUCUAAUUCACCCUUCAGUUCUUCUAGAUAGAGAUAUUCAGUUCUCUUCAACAACAGUUUCAUCCUGUAAUUCUGCAAAAGAAUGCCAAACUUUUCUAGCCCCUGGAGCUUCAUCAAUCUUGAUAAUCCAGAUUUAACGGACCGGCUGCUCCACCACGUAUUUCCUAUACAUAUCCUAUAGCUUUGCAAUUCCACAGAGACCAAAUCCUGUGGUAGAAUUUCGGCAUCCCGAACGUGUAUCUCCAAAGUAGUUAGCUUUGACAACCCCUUCAACUCAACAAGACUGGCGUUACUUCCUCCUUCAACCUUCUCCCACUGUGAAAAGCUGUUACUCAUAUAUAGUUCUUCUAAUCGAGAUAAUUUUGAUAUGACAUUUGGAGCUAUCACCACAAGGCUGCUACAAUUGCUCAAAUCUAGCAACUGUAAUCUCGUCAAUUGUCCAAUUACAAGUGGCAACUCCUUAACAUCAGAAUCUCGAAGGCUGAGAAUCUCUAAUUUCUUUAGCUGUCCAACUAUUGCUAUAUCUUUUAGUCCGCAACCAUCUAAACAAAAUGUUUGAAGGUUAAUGAGGCGACCAAGUGAUGAAGGUAAUGAAGAGAAAGGAAUUCUAGUAAGACUUAACACUUUGAGUUCUUCUGUCCCUUCAAAAAAGAGGUCUGAAAUUUGCAUAGGGCCAUAACCCUUUCCAAACAACAAAAAUAACUGGAGAUUGGGACAUUGCAACCUUUCAGGGAGCUCUUGGAUAUCUCUAUGAGGCAAUGAAAUAGCAAUUGGUCCUUUCUGUUUCGUCUCUUCCAUCUUUUUCUCAACGUCAGCAACAUUUGGAAUAUUAAACAUGCGCUUCUCUGCGGCAAUUGAUACGGCAACAACAUGAAUGACGUCAUGCAUUUUAACUUCAUCUUCAGCAUCACCGUCCAACAAUAAGCAUGAAGAUUUGAGAUUGUCGAUCAACCGAUGCACUCUACUCCUUGCUUCUUCCAAUGUGUAAACAUUUUCAAACAAACCCCAACCCACGCCAUAUCUCAAUAAGUCAGAAACUUCUAUGGCAUCACCUUCACUGUACAGACCACAAAGACGGAACAAAGAUUUUGCCUCCGCACUUUCCAAGAAGUCAUAACUCAAUAUUAUGGAGGUGUACACAUUUGCUUGCAUGCCAUGAAUUUCUCUUGCAUCCGAUCUUCUUAGCUGAUUCAAUGCAUCUUUCCAAAAGUCAAGCUCCUUAGUUUUCAGAGCAUUUGCAACUGUACUCAGUGCAACAGGCAAACCUCCGCAUCUUUCAACGAUCUCAUUUGCCAUACUUUGAAAAGCAGAUAUUUUAGUUGAAUCACCCACUAUCUUCUCAAAUAACUGCAAUGCUUCUUCUUUUGAUAAAGCAUCGAUCCAGAAAAUUUUCUGACAAUUCAUAUCAUUGCACAAUAAAUCUCGACUUCUAGACGUCAAUAUUAUUGUGCAUCUUCUCUGAUCAUCCUCUCUAUCUUUCUCAUCAACAUCUCCAGAAGGAAUUCCAACCGCAUCCAACUCAAGUUUUGUCCAAAUAUUAUCCAAUAUAAUGAGGACCCGCUUCUCUUGCUUCAACCUUUCACGCAGUCGAGAAGCUCUAUGGUGUAUACUAUCAUUCAAGUCAAAUUUCAUGCCUAAAUCAGAAGCGAGCUUGUCUUGAAUUUUCUGGGGAUCUGGGUUCUGUGUUACCUCAGCCAUAACGACCUUAUCGAUCAACUUAUCUUCCAUCACUUUCUUAGCAACUUGCUUGACUAGCGUGGUUUUACCCACGCCGCCCAUGCCGUAGACCCCAAUUAUGUUGAGCUUAUCAUCCUUCAACGCCUCCAUAACAUCCUGAAAUACUUUCAUUCUUGAAUCAAAGGCCUCGUUAUCUUUCCCGUCAUUAAGUCCUGUGCUCUUUGGAGUAGGACGGUAGGAAACAUUAGAGAAGUUGCCUUUUCCCACGAGACCAGCGGCAGCUUCUGCGGCCUUUGCUGCUUGUUUACUAAGCUUGUAACGGGACAUCAAAUUUGGGCACAAUCCUUUGAAGCAGAACUUCUUAGCUCUUUCUUCAUCAUCAAUGAUGGAUUUUGCAACCCCUUCACUUAUGAAUUCAUCAACGCUAUGUAGCCAGUCUGUGACACCCUCAUAAAGCUCAUCCCCUUGUAGCCUAGCAUGAUUAACUGGUUGCUGCACCGUUUCUCUUUUAUAUCCCAGCUGCUUUACUUGAUCUUUUAGAUCAUCUAUGUAGCUCUGGUACUUGAACACAUAAGAUAUCUGCCGUAUAAUCGGUUUGAACAAUGACUUUGCACCUUCUGAUACGAUGCUGGAGAAAGCUGCAAGACCCACCUCUGCCAUUGCCUGCUGCUUAACAAAUCUAAUAAAAUGUCAAAGAAAGGAAUUCAAAUAAAUUAAAAUGAACUAGAGGGAAAGACAAAAAAGGAAAAGGCAGUAAACAGUGUCGCAACAUUGAUCUUGAAUCAACUGAAACAUGAACAGAGCAUUUUUUCUUCUUUGUUAAGGAUCAGAGUUUUUGCUAUUAACAAAACCUACUUCAAGCGUCUUAAAAAAAAAAACUGUAAAUUUACCAUAAAUGAACAAUAACUACAAAACUCAAGCAAAACAAGCCACAGAAUUUUUAUCUUGGAAAGUGGAUGGAAUUAAGAAAGAAAUGCUAUAAAGAUCAAGCAUCAGAGAUUAUGCUAUUAAAAGAAAUUAAUUGAAGGUUUUAGAUCAAGUGCGCCUAUUUAAUUAUGUGGGGUCAGAAAGUUGAUGAGCCUCUGUGAUCGCCUUGAAUAUUUAAGAGCAAUUUCAAUGAGCAAAAAAUUUCUGUUACCUGCAGAGGAAUGUGAUUAUAGAGAGCUUAUAGGGUAAUGACAAUGAUUUGGAAAAGAAGAAGACUUAAUCAUGCAGCCCUUAAUAUUUAUUAAAUGACUUGUGAUCAUUUCUUUUAUGAAUAAAAUGCCAAUAGCAAAAAGAGAAAAAAGGGCGAAAUUUACUAAGUCUUAUUUUAUUUUUAAUUUCUUUUAUUUCCAUUCGCCGAAGAGGGAAUCUCUCCCUCUUUUUGUUUUUUUUUAAGGGGAAUCUCCUUACCUAAUAUGACAUAAUGAAAGCAAUCUGUAAAUAGUCAUAUAAUGUAAUAAUUAAAAAUACCCACAUAUUUAUAAUAUUAAUGAUGGGAUCCAUGUGUUUAUACUAAUUAAAUUGGUGGACCAGAAUUUAUUUGACCGUACUUGUUUUCUAUUUAAUUAAGAUUGAAACGAUAGAGAAAAAUUGUCGUAUUGAUUGUUUCGAUUGUGGAGUUCCAACACUGAAAGUGAAGAUUUCAUCAACUUUCUCACAUGGACACGUACCGUCAUGCAUAUUGCAUUAUUUUCCUAGAAAAGCAAGAUUAAUUCUUUUAAUAAUUGUGAAUUCAGGAAAACAGGUGGAUAAUAACUAAAAUAUUUAUUUUUAUAUUUUUGAUAAACGCACUCACUAUUAAUAGAAUUCAUUAGAUAUCAUAACUUAAAUAACUUUUUGUGAUUGAUUGAGGGUAUCUUUUACUUCCCAAUAAUUAACUUCUAUGUUGAUUCUCAGAAAAUUAAUUUUACGAAUAAUUUAGUAGGGUGUUUGGUAAAUGAUGAUUAUUUGACAAUCAGUUUUCAAAUAGUCUACUAUACAAAUUUGAUAAGUGAAAAUUGAAAGUGUAAUAUUCAUGUGCAAUGAUAAAAAUGUACUUGUUUGCUUAUUUGUAGCUUAUUUAGAAUAUUAUUAUUAACAUCAUUUUUUUAUUUACUGGAUUUUUAAAGAGUAUAUUCUACUUUCUUUAUUACAUAUCUAUAUCAUUUUUUUAUUAACUAUUUUAAUUUGCAAUAAAACUAACUUUAAUAUUUUUUAACUAAAAAAUUCAUGCUAACAUAUUAUUAAAUUGAUUAAUAAAUAAGUGCAAAAAGAAAAUGCAAAAAUUUAAUCUUUAUAUAAACUUUUAUGUACAUAAAACUAUUGCAAUCAAAGUAGUUCAUAAAAAUAAAAUAUUCUAUACAUGUGUGUAAAAAAAAAAUAUAACUACAAUAUUGUCCACUCAUUAAAUUUGCAGCACUAUUAUUUCUCAGUCUCCCCAUCUCUCGACCUUUACCUUUAGGAACAUUAACACCAUGAUCUUCUUCUUGAAUUCGACCUCCAUUUCCACAGUAUCAACAAGGCGAUCAAUUUGCUGUGACAGCCUUUCAACUCCUCCCACUUUCCUCCCUUUUGAGGCCGCCCUUUUUCUUUUUCUUUCUUUGAUAGCUUCAAUGGGAACAAACUCAUCUAACGACAAGUACAUUCUUCAACCACAGUAGAAUUGGUUGUUGAUAUUUUACUACUCUCAUAUGGUAUGUAAACAUGGUCACCAGUGAUUGUUAUAUUAAAAAAAAAUUCUAUUCAAUUUUUCCUCUGACUUUGUGUCGAUACCUUUCAUGCAAAAUCUAUUUGCUUCAGAAAUUUCUUCCGUAUGUUGAUAUCAUAUUAAAGUGAAUUCAAGAUCCUAUAUUAUUUUGCAUGACAUCAAAGUUUAGCCGAAUGGUAAAGAAUUUCCCUUUUUGUUUGUCCCACAACUAUAUAGUCUCAUUUUUGGCAAUAAGCUCACAAUAUGCACGGAAAUGAAGAUUUAUUAAAAACUUCCCUAUAAUAUUAAACACUAAACAAUAUCACUAUAACCAAAGUUGGCUGGUGUGAGUGGUUCGGCACUCUCACUCCUUAAGAGAGGUCAGGGGUUCAAGCCCCGCUCUCGUAUGGAGUCACCACUUUGGCCAGCACUUUACCCCUUAUGGGCCGACCCGGUGCGAGCGGGGAUUAGUCUGGGUUGUGGUACGGGCUUAAAGGUGCCUCCCACAGUUGGGGCCCACUCAGGACCACCUCGUGGUUCAGACCAAAAAAAAAAAAUAAACAAUAUCACUAUGUUGUGCAUAUGGUGCCUCGUCAACAAUUUGAUGUUCAUUUUGUUGCUCGGGUGAAUAUGACUACUUGGGUUGCGAGUCCAUGCUUUUGUCGUUUGGAUGGAGGACGGGCCAUCUUUUUAUUUUAGAUGGUUUGUAGGACUUUUGAUAAUUAUUUUUCUAAAACUGAUUUCUGGUUAAUAAGACCUAUGAAAGCAUUCGAAGAAGCCACCGAACUCAGAGGAAAGCCAUGGUUAAAUAUACUGCGAAGUAUGUGAGCUCGUUUUUUAAUCUCUUGAUCACUCAUAAGCUUUUCUAUACCACUCACUAUAUCAUCCUUUUGAAUCAAUUUUGAUUGAUCAUCAGAGAUCAUGUACCCACCUUGAGAUGAUUGAUCACAAAUUUGGCAUUGUAAUGUUGGUCACCUCUAAUUGGCCAUGCUAAAAUUGGGACUUGACAACCAAUUGUUUCACUGUUGAAUUCCAUCCACAGUGAGAUAAAAAUUCACCCGUUGAUUCAUGUCCCGCUCUCUUAUGAAGUCACCACUUUGGCCAGUACUUUACCCUUUAUGGGCCAACCCGGUGCGAGCGGGGAUUAGUCUGAGUUGUGGUACGGGCUUAAAGGUGUCUUCCACAGUUGGAGCCCACUCAGGACCACCUCGUGGUUCAAACAAAAAAAAAAAAAUCCACCCGUUGAUUGAUGACUCAAUAUCAAUAAUUGUGGGGCUCAUCCAUCUAUUAUCAAACCCGUUUCACCGACUUUAUUAUCCAAACCACUACGAAAAUAACUGCCUUCUACUGGUUUGUUCAAAUGACGUAGAGGAUCCAAUCUACCUGCACCACCUUGAAUUACCCAAAUAAACGGUCGAUUUGAUGCUUCUAAAGCAUUGGCUAGUACUAGGUACUCAUCUAAGGUCGGAUCCACUUCAGUACCAAAUGACACAUAUAACACAGAUCCGCGUGAUUUCAAAUUCAAUCAUUGAACGAUCUCAUCUUCCGUCAUGUUAGAACUCCGCCGGUUGGUUCUCAUCUCAUGAUCAUGAAGCACUUAACCGGCCAAUUUGUAAAAUUGUUCAGGUAACAGUGGGCCCACUCCCCACAUCGGCUUUCUCAAUUCAUUGGCUAAAUAAUUAUAAAUGGUCCCUCAAGACCAUCACACGUGUUGAACAUCAACGCCAUUGAUCCCUCCGCUUCCUUCAUCCAGUGUGGUUGAUCACCGGCCUCUGGUGGACCUAUUUUCUCGGAACCAGGUGCACCUCUCAGAGGUGGUGGACCACCAGGAGGGUGCCCAUGAGGCCUUGUUUAAGAUUCGAUUCAAAUAAAGCCAUAUCCUCGGGUAACCCAGGAAGUAAAUGGGCCUCUCCCGGUUUGACAUCUUGGAUGCGAGCCUACCACAUGGCACACUCCACAGCUGCCGAGCAAGCACCAGAAGUGAAGAACCCAACAAUGGGAACUUCAAAAAUCUUGAAAACAUCAGCCGUCCAGCCCAUCAUAACGUCGAUGACUGCACAAACGGGUCGGCUUUUGGGUUCCCGGGUUGAAAGGAGGUUUCGAAGGCCUUGAAGCAUUUGGUUGUGCAUGACAACAUGGGGGUGAGGAGACGAAGGAGGGUAUUUUAGUAAUUUCAAAUAGAGGGUAUUGGUGAAGAGGGGAAGGGGUGAUGCUGUGUUGAAUCAAAAUAGAGUAAAAACUCUAAUUGAUCAAGAAGAAGAAAAACACUCUUUAGAAUAAUCUCACAAAAUUGCAAAAGAGAAGAACUCUUAAGAAAACUUUCAAAUGCUUAUAAUAAAGCUUUGAUUGUUAAAUUAUAAAACUCAAAUACAAAUAAGGUAUUUAUAGGUUACAAGAAACAAUCUAAACCACUCAUUAAAAUAACCACAAACUAAUUUAAACCAUUGAAAUUAAACAUGAGAAAAAUACCUAAUUUUCACCUAACUAAAUUGAUGUAAGCAAUGACAUCAAAUUAAUUUGGGUGUGGACUUAUUUGGGCUAAUAUUGACUUCUCAACACUCCCCCUCAAUGUUAGCCCAAUUCUUUGAAUCACGCCAAGCUGACGACGGAAAUGUUCAAACUUUCCAACACUCAAGCUUUUUGUAAACAAGUCCGCAGUUUGCUCAUCUGUCUUGACUUGCCUCAUCUCAAUCUCUUCUUGCAGAACUUUUUCCCUAACAAAGUGGUAAUGCACUUCCACAUGUUUAGUUCUUGCAUGAAAAACAGGAUUCUCCGCCAGCCGAAUUGCCGAUUGGUUGUCACAGUACAACAGAACUGCAUAAUCUACUGGUUGAUGUAGAUCAUUCAUUAGUUGUAUCAGCCACGUGCUUUCUUGAGCUGCCAUUGCUGCUGCUCGGUACUCUGCUUCCGUAGUUGACAAGGACACAGUCGGUUGUCUCUUGCUACACCAAGAAAUCGUUCCAGAUCCAAGGGUAAACAUAUACCCAGUAGUUGAUCUGCGAGUAUCGUGAUCUCCUGCAUAGUCAGCAUCACAGUAGCCAACUAGUUUGUAAUUUCCACCUUUCUUGUAUAGAAGACCAUAGUCUAUUGUACUCUUCACAUAUCUGAGUACUCGCCGAACCGCUUCUAAAUGAGACUUCUUCGGAUUUUGCAUGUAUCGACUCAUCACACCAACUGCAUAAGAAAUGUCAGGUCGAGUCAAGGUUAAGUAGAUUAGACUACCCACUAAUUGUCGAUACAUCGAUGCAUCUUCCAGGUCUUUGCCUUCAUGUGCACACAUCUUGGCAUUUGGUUCCAUCGGCGUUGAGAUCGGCUUACAUUCUAGCAUCCCAAACUUCUUCAACAAAUCUUUGGCAUAUUUCUGUUGACAAAGAAAUAUCCCUUCUUUCAUCUGAUCAACCUCUAGCUCAAGGAAAUGCUUAAGUUGUCCAAGUUCUUUCAUUUGAAAACGAACUGACAAGUUCUCCUUUGUUCGGAAAAUUUCUUCAAUAUCAUCUCCAGUGAUGAUUAGAUCAUCUACGUACACGAGCACAAUAGCUAUCCUUUCUCCAUUAGCUUUAGCAAACAAGCUGGAGUCUGCAGAUGUUACUGAAUACCCACUUUGAGUUAGAAAUUCAGCAAUCUUGCCAUACCACGCCCUGGGUGCUUGUUUUAGUCCGUAGAGAGCCUUUUGCAGCUUACACACAUACUCAGGAUGACCUCGGUUCUGAAAACCCAUCGGUUGAAUCAUGUAGAUCUCCCGAUCCAGCUCUCCAUGGAGAAAGGCAUUCUUCACGUCCAUCUGCCACAAGUUCCAGCUUUUGUUGGCUGCAAGUGCAAGUAAGACUCGGACGGUUGUAAGUUUUGCCAUUGGACUAAACGUUUCGUCAUAGUUUAGUCCAUAUUGUUGAGAGAAACCACGAGCUACCAAUCGAGCCUUGUACCUCUCGAUUGACCCAUCUAGACGGUGCUUUAUUUUGUAAACCCAUCUGCAGGAUAUGGGUUUCACAUCUUUUGGCUUUGGCACGAGUUCCCAGGUCUGAUUUUGCUCAAGUGUAGUGAUCUCGUCUUUCAUAGCUGUCAUCCACUCAGAACUCUGUGAUGCUUCUUCGAAUGUCUCAGGUUCUAUUCCAGUUGCUUCUUCAACUAUGGCUGCAUUAGCGUAUUUGGGAUUUGGCCUUCGGGUUCUUGUUGACCUUCGUAAUGGAGUUGAUUCUUCCGUUUCACUAGGCACACCUUCUUCAUCUGGUUGUCGAUACACCCCAGAUUGCCAAGGAUUUAGAGUUACUCUUCGUUCGCUAUCACUAUCGCAUAGAUCCCCAGCUGAGCUUAGAUGAAUUUGGACAGUAUGCUCCCCCAUCUUUUGUUGUAGCAUGUCUUCGAAUUCUUUCGAGUCUGGCAGCACUUCUUUUUCUGAGGUCCACCAUGAGGAUGCUUCAUCAAACACCACAUCUCGUGAUGUGUAGCACCUUUCAUUUACUGGAUCACAACACUUCCACCCUUUUCGCUGGUUGUCGUAUCCUACAAAGAUACAUCUGACAGCUUUCUUAUCGAUCUUGCUACGUAGAUGGUCAGGAACAAAUACAUAGCAUACACAGCCGAAUACUCGAAGAUAGCUAACUGUAGGUUUCUUGUUCCACAAUUUCUCAAAGGGUGAAACAAACUCCAACCUUGGUUGAGGAAGCUUGUUGAUGACAUGAGCUGCAGUUCUCAUACCUUCGGCCCAAAAUCUUCCAGGUACAUUCUUCGCAUGUAGCAUACUCCGGUAAAUUUCAGCAAGAUGCCGAUUCUUCCUCUCUGCUACACCAUUUUGUUGUGGCGUAUUAGCACAAGUAUACUGAUGACGUAUUUAGCAUUCCCGUAGGUAUUGAGAAAACUCUCUCGAGCUAUACUCACCCUCGUUGUCUGUGCGCAAGCAACGAAUCUUUUGCUCCACUUCUCCUUCGACUAUCUCUUUGAACUCUUUGAACUUUGAGAAUGCUUCAGAUUUUUCUUUCAUGAAGAAAGCCCAUACAUAUCUGGAGAAAUCAUCAAUGAACGUAACCAUAUACCACAUUCCGCCAAUUGAUGGUUGCUUAACGGGUCCAAACACAUCAGAGUGAAUUAACUCUAAUGGUUUAUUUGCUUUAAACUUCGACUCCUCGUAUGGCAAUUGAUGUGCUUUACCAUAUUGACAUCCCGCGCAAACAAUAUUUGUUCUCACGUCAAGUUGAGGAAGUCCUUUAAGCAUCGACUUCUUCACCAUCACACUUAGCUUGGAAUAAUUAACAUGACCUAGCCGCAUGUGCCACAGAUCUGCCGUCUCAUUCCUUCUUGUCUUGUCUACGUAUGCAGACUCAGCUGACAUCACAUAAACUGACUCCAAUUGUCGUCCCUCCAUCGUAGGCUUUUCUGAGAUCUUUAAGUCUCGGAAUACCUUCACAUUUUGUGGACCAAACAAGACAUAGUGGCCUGAUGAUGUCAAUUGAGCUACGGAUAGCAAAUUUUUCUUCAUUCCUGGAACAUGGUAGACAUCUUGAAGUGGCACUUGGUUGGGACUAUAUCGAGGUGUAACGAUCGCUUUACCGAUGUGAGCUAUCGGUAACCUUGAGUUGUCAGUUGUUACCACCACACGAUUUCCCUUGUACUCAGAACAAUUUUGCAACUUCUGUCUAUCACCCGUCAUGUGAUUUGAGCAGCCUGAGUCUACGAUCCAAUCAUUCUCGUAGUUAAUCUUUUCUGGUGUUGUUACCGUGAGAGCUAAUUCUUCUUCCUCCAUAGCGAGUAAUGCUUCGGCAUCCCAGUUAUCUUCACUAUCUUCUUUAGAACUAGAAGUAGCAAUAUUGCUUUCGGUAGACUUCUUUUUGGACCAACAAUCUCUCUUCAUGUGGCCCUUCUUCCCGCAAUUGUAACAUUCGCCAUCAAACUUUCUAUUACUGUCGCGAUUCUUCGAAGCUCCCCCUGGACGAGAGCCAUUCCCUCCCUGAUGACUUUUUGUCUGUUCACCAGUCUUUCUAGAUCCGCCUUUGUUGUGCUGUCUUGAACCACCUCUGCUUUGGUUGGUGUAAAGCGCUUCCUCUUCACCCUUUAGUGAGACUCCUCCCAUUUUCUUGGCCAUAGCUUCUUGGCCUGUCAGCAAAUUUUCAAACUCAACAAGUGAUGGUUGUGUCGGCCAUCCUUGCACAGCGGCUACAAAGCUUCGGUAUUCGGGUCUCAAGCCAUGGACAAUUAUUCUUUUUAUCCUGGCUUCCCCAAUAGCAGCUAUUGGAUCUAAUUCUGAAAUUUCACGGCAUAUCGACUUCACCUUGUGAAAGUAUUGGGCAAUCGCCAUGUCGCGUUGCGCCAUUGAUAGAAGUUCAUUCUCGAGAAGUUGCAAUUUUGUAUCGUUCCUCUUCGAAAAGAGUGUAGCGAAGGUGUCCCACGCUUCCUUCGGUGAUUUAGCAUCCCGAAUGUGCUCCAACAUUUCUUCUUCUAUUGUGGUCUUUAAAGCAAACAUUGCUUUGCCUGCUUUAAUUUUCCACUUCCGCAAGACGCCGUUAGCAUCUUCCGCUGCCGGUUGUGUAACUUCACUACCACCGACAACCUCCCACAAGUCUUGACCUUGAAGGUAAGACUCUAUACACGUUGCCCACGUGUUAUAGUUUUGGUUGUUGAGCUUUUUGAUUCCUCCAACAACUUGAAGAUCACCCAUCGUAUCGGUAUCGACAAGACUUUGACUACACCGAACAAGCUUGAGUGACUACCGUGCAGAGUAAUACACUACUCUUGACACAAAGAAGCUCCCUCUCAAGGUUUGUGAUAACCCCAGCAAUAAUCUCAAGAAAUCUUUUCUGAUGUGGAAGAUCAGUCAAAACUGCAACCACAGAGCAUACUCGGAAUUUCAAGAGACUUUACAACCAAUGCUCUGAUACCAAAUGUUGAAUCAAAAUAGAGUAAAAACUCUAAUUGAUCAAGAAGAAGAAAAACUCUCUUUAGAAUAAUCUCACAAAAUUGCAAAAGAGAAGAACUCUUAAGAAAACUUUCAAAUGCUUAUAAUAAAGCUUUGAUUGUUAAAUUAUAAAACUCAAAUACAAAUAAGGUAUUUAUAGGUUACAAGAAACAAUCUAAACCACUCAUUAAAAUAACCACAAACUAAUUUAAACCAUUGAAAUUAAACAUGAGAAAAAUACCUAAUUUUCACCUAACUAAAUUGAUGUAAGCAAUGACAUCAAAUUAAUUUGGGUGUGGACUUAUUUGGGCUAAUAUUGACUUCUCAACAUGCUGGUGGCGGAAAUGUGAGAGGGAAUGGUGAGGGUAGAUUUGUAAUUACGAGAAGCGAUUUGCUUGCAUAAUUUAAUGCAUGGAAAUAGAUGUCCCUGACCAAAGAAUGGGACAAUCCAAAUCUCGGCCUCAGCAGCGCUGCAGCAGUAGCAACAGAGCUUGACAUCUUUUUGAAUUAUUUGAUACUUAAUUGUUACUGUUUGCUUUUACCAUCUUUCAUAAAACACUCUUUGUUAUAUAUAAAGGGAUGACUUAAUGGAGAAGUAAGUGUUUUAGUUUUACAGUUUUACUAGUAGGUGAGCUCGGAGUUUGAUAAUUUGAUUGUUAGUUUUAGUUGGUUAGUUAUGAGAAAGCAUCUUUAAGAAAAUUCAUUCCAGUUUCAACUAAAAUUAAUAAUAUUGUUCAAAUUAAUUACUCGAUAAAUAAAUAAUUAGAGAUAAAUUUAUCCCUAAUCUCACAUUUAUAAAAUAAGGAUUGAAAUAAGUUUUUGUGGGUUCGAACUCAAGCCCUCAAGUCGAGCGGCUGGAUCUUGACUACUUUGACUUAAUUAUUAUUAUUAUUAUAUAUAUAUAUAUAUAUUUUUUUUUUCAUUCUGUCACGGAACAUCUUUUGUUAUAUAAUGAAGAAGAUAAGUUGACGAAGAAGAGUUCUACUUUUACUAGUAGAUGAGCUUUGAGUUGACAACGUUAGUUUUAGUUAGUGAAAUAUCUACCAUCCAAAUCAACGUUCUUUAGACUAUUAUUCAAGUGAGAUGUCUGAGUAACAUACGCUUGAGUUGGUCGGUGCCUGGCAAUUCGUGUGAUACAUGAAACCAACCGAUAUGAAAACCAAAUCAAGUUGGUAGGAUUACAUUAAUUUAAAUUAACUUUCAAGUUCUAAUAUUAUAAGAUAAAUAAAUAGCAUAAAAUAAUUUUUAUUUUCAAGUAAAUAUGUUUAUCGUUUAAAAAUUAUUUUUUCUUGCGGUAAAUGCAACACUAAAUAAGGAGUGAAUAGGGUAAUUUGUAGGGUAUACCCCCACCUUUUAUUUCAUUUCAUUAUUAAAAAAUAAAGGCUUGAUUCAACAUUCAAGUAAAAUUAACAAUUCCAUGAUAAAAUUGCUUGAGAAUAAGAAUUAAAAUAAAAAAAGAAAACAGCAACUCAAAAACGACAUACAAAUACCGCAUAGAGGUUUUUCGUCGCAAGAUAUUUUUGGGUUGAGCAACACUUGUAUAACAGAGCAUACAGACUGAAUGACGGUGAGAAUAAGAAGGAAAACGGCGCCACACACCGAAAUGCCAGCCCAUGGAGUAUUGAAGUAAUUUUGUUUCAAGUUUGCCCUCCAUUUGUAGCACGUUCUUUUGCAGUGAUCAUUCAAUCCUUUGCAUAGCCCAGAAAAAUAGAAGCUAUCAGACAGCAGAGUAGUACCUCUAGAAAGGUUAUUUAUAAGCAUUGACGCAGUCUCUUUAUCCGGCAACCGGUUCUCAAUGAUUCCGUUCUGAACAAGCAACUCGACGUCCUUCGCUGUGUUCACGAGAUGAUGAAUAAGGAACACAUAAUCAUUUAUGUAAUUCUCUGAGUAAUGCCGUUGUUCAAAGGCAAUGAGAUUACGAAAUAAGGAUUCCGUUUCCAGCUGUAGCUUCAGUUUCGGAAUAUGCAAUGUCCUGUUUUUGAAUUCUAUGGCGAACAAAUCAUUGCUCUUGCUCAAACUGAAGUGGACUCCAGCUUGGUGGAGAUCAGUCACACUUGGUGCGGUUUUGCCUUUGUGGUAUUGCUGACCUUCUUGUUUUUCCUGAUUCCUCGAUGAUGGUAGAUGACAAAUCCUUAGAAAAUCAAGGAAAUGCUCGACCCUAACCUCAGUGUAAGGAGGGAAUUUUUGCUGAUUACCUUGUACUGCCUCUAAACCCUUGAAAUACUCGUAUGUGACUGUGAUGAUGGUUGGAUUUUCAUGUUGGUCGGGGAUUUCAAUAGCAAAAAGAUCCUCAAGAAUGAAGAAAGGAAGCUGAUUCUCAAGCAACCACAUAUCAUACCAUAUAUCCUCUAUUAAAUAGGGUUUAAGAAAUAUAUAAUCAUCUUUUUUUUGAAGUUGACGGAAAUGAUGCCUCAAUAAGAGUUCAAUGAUGAAGGCAGCAUCCAGCAGAAUCAUUUCAACAAAUUUAUCACUACUUAGUUCGACUUUUUCUGCAUAAGAACCUCGUAAUUCUGCUUCUCUGAGCUUUAUAAUUUGAACAAACUCGUCAAAGCUUAUUUUGGUCCGUUGAAGAAAGUAACGCAGGUACCGCUGUUUAUGUUCUUCCAUGAACUGUAAGUUUGCUUUGCCAUGGUGAAGAGGGCCAAUUGAGACUACCUGAGCUGUAUAUGCCUUUUCAUUUAUCUGACGUAAUCGCUCCGGAACUCUGUAGAUGCAGCAGUUUGAGGGCAAUGGUGAUAAUUUUUCCAACUUAACUUGCAAGCACUCUUCCAUGUUAUAAACUGAAAACAUGGCGCGAAAUUUGAUCAAUUCACUAGUUUAUAUAAUAUUCUUGAACCUCAUCUUAAGCAAAGCAACAAAAGCCUUCACUGUUUCUUAACAACUUUAUUGCUCUAACACAUAGCAUAACAUUUUUAAAUUUGCAUAAAGCACAAUAGUACUUUAGUUUGUAACAACAGCACAGAUAAUAAAUAGCAUUUUAUAGCUUUAACAAAAGCAUACAAAAUUCUUAAACCUUGUUUCAAGCAAUUCAUUAAUGCCACAAGGAUGUCUUUUUGCUUCCUACAGUUUUUAUUGAAAUUCAUAUAUUCUUCUUUAUCAAAUUAAGUAAUUUUCCUUUUUCAAAAAAUCAAGAAGGUUUCGACUGCAUGGAAAUACAGCACACAAUUACUACUAUUCCCGGAGUAAGAAAUUCAUAAAUGCAAUAUAAACAUACAUUUUCAUAAGACAUCAGAAUCAAAGAAUCAUCAAUGCAUCAAAUCUGUACACCCAAAAAAGUUGAAAGCACCAAGAGAAAAUUAUACCGCAUGGACCCUUUACAACCCUUAUAACGAGUUCAGACAGCUACAAUGUGCAAUACAAAAUUUCCCAAUACUAUUUAGAACAAAGUCUAGAAAACAAAACUUAUAUAUUGUACAAAAUCAUGAAAACCAGAAAUGACAAAAAACCUGCAAAUGUAAUUUUUGGGUUUCUUCAACAUAUCUUCCAUCCAAAUCAAACAAGAAUCGAUAAAUCAACAACAUUCAUCUUUAAAUGACAUAUUACCACAAUAAAAUUGUCAACCAAGCCUCAUAUAAACCUUUUUUGUGUUUUGUGGUAAAUAUAUUUGUUAUUCUCUAAGAAUACUAGGGAAAAAAGAAACCCACUUUCUUAAUCAAGAAUCAAAUAAUAUAUAUUUAUCUAAGCUGAAGUAAGUCUUCGGUUUGAUGAAAUAGCUUGCAAUGUGAUUUAGAUUGGAAAGGAAGUUGAUUUUUGCUGGUUGAGAGAGAGAGAUUUGAGACUUAAGAGUGUUGCUAAUCUUCGAUCGUGUAAACAAGGGUAACUGGGUCAUAGUUCAAAAUAAGGGUCCAAAAUUUACUAAAGCUAUUAAGGAGCCCAAAACUCAUAAUGGCUUGCCCAAAAUAAAUAAAAUUUUCGAGCAUUAAGUUUUUGUUUCUUCUUGAGAUUUCCUUGCCGUACUUACCCAUAUUUCGAUAUUGCCUCCAAGUAAACUUAUAUAUAUUGAUUAACAAUAUAAACAAGCACUAUGAAGUUUUAGGCAUGAAAGAACAUUAGGAUUGAAAUGAAAACCAUCUAUUUAAGUAACAAAUUCUUCUGAUAAUUUGAUGCUUAAUUUAGAGCAGAGAUGACAUAUCAAUCACGUUAUGAUGUGGAAGUUAUGAUUAUAUUCAUCUUAAGAAUAAGAUCUUUCAGACACUGGCAGAUUAGUAUAAAAAAUACUCAGCAUAAGACCUACAAACUAGAAAUCACGCACCAAUUAUUGAACUCAGCACAUAAGUUGAUCUUUUAUAAGCUAUAAAACAAAUCUGCUAUAACAUAAGAAAGUGGGAUUUAUCACCAGACAAGUAUUUUGGUGAAAUUCAAGCUGACGGAAGGAUAUCCAAAGCAACCUCCUUAAGGGAAGGCAUCACUUCCUGCUGAUGCAAACAUGUAUAUUUAUUACUCACUUUCUUGAGGACCUUCUAGGAACCUGGGCAGCACCUAACAGAAAGUGGAAAAGAAUAAAAUGUAAAAUAUAAGUUAAACAGCAGGAAAACAGUGAGUGAUACUAGGCAAGCAUUAAUAUGUUGCCGCAGGAAAAGUGUCAGUAACUAGCUAGCAAACCUGAAAAGGGUUCCUCCAUUGUGACCCUUAAAAUUGUGAAUGUAAAAUAUGGUCUCCAUCACAGGAAAAAGUGUUUUGGAUAGUGCAGCCAGCUUAGGGUAGAAGAAUGACGGAUAAUCUUUAGCUCAUUUAAGGAAAUCCUCUCUGAUCCUUUCAUUGCACAUUCCAAAACAACUCUACUACAACCAAGUUACCAAUUCUUUUUGUUAAGUCAUUGUUAUUUGUUAAAAAAAAAAAAUCUUCCUUGCAACAUUUUAUUGAAAGAUAUAACAUGAUCAUCCCUACUAAUUCCCUUUUAGAUUUCUGUGAGUGAAUUUCAAAUUAUUGUAUUCAAAAAUAGAAGCAAAAGACCCACUUUACUUUCAAUUUCUGCAACAAGAUACCAAUUGAAGGACCAAAAAGUUGUAAACAACCAAUUCAAUGGGUGGGCAUCUAGAAACUGCUAUAUAGCAUCAAGAUCAUACUAAAUUUACAGAAAGUACGAUAAUAAUGAAAGAAUGGUGAAGGAUACACCCAGACCUUAUCCGGUCAAGUUCUCCAUUGAAUAUAAUCAGUUUCCGGGCAGUAUUGAAGACAACUUCUUUGUAAAGCUCUUCAACGACAAGCAUUUCUACAAGACAAAAGAAAAGCAAAAUUAAUUACCUUAAGGAAUGAAUAUCAAUGAGAAGACAACGUGUAAGACUACCAUUGACAUUAAAAUAUGGAUACGCGACUAGAAACAAUUCAUCUUCCGGCUUCACACGGUCUGCCUUUUUAACCUUCUCAGUGAAUCCAAAAUCCUCAAAGAAUGAAGGUUUUGUUAGAUAGUCCAACUUAAAUGAUGAUCCUUCAAAGACCUAUUUUCUUGCAAAUUUGACUUCAUUUGCCUCUGGGAAAAACUAAAAACCAAAUGACAGACCAAGAUCACAAAACGAAUCAUGAACAUAGAUAUCAGAUAAUCAGAAAUGGGCAUUAAACAGACUACUAACAAAUAGGAAAUGCAUACAGAAAACAUUAUUCAUACACCUUAUGCACAUGAAAUAUAUAUGCAGUGGGAUCCUCUUGUGAAUUUAGUUUAUAUCCUAAAAUGAGACAAUGAACAAUUGGAUGCCAUCUAAGGGCUAACAUUUGUUUGAUUAUUAUAUGAAAAAAAAAAACAAAACAGAGUUGAUUGAUGGCCUUUGAUGGAUUGCCUACACUCCUAAAGUGCAGAGAGCCUGAUUAAUUGCUUUACCUGCCCCCCACACACACACUUGAUUUUAUUAUCUCUCUUUUCAAAUAUAUAAUCAUUGCCUGUCUUUCAUCCUGAUCCAGCUCUCCUUCCAGGCACCAGCUGUGUUUUCUUCAAUUCAGUGAAGCAUUCACUUUCAGGUAAGAAUAAACUUGUCCUUCCUCAAAAAUCAGCUUCUCACCAUGAAGCUUUCUUUUUCAAAACAAUUACUAGUCUAGCAUAAUGCAUCUAAUUGAAGACAACUCAGAAUUGAAAAAGCCAUACUUUAAUGUCUGCUGUUGGGACCUCAAGACCAGGAAAAAAAAGCUUCUUUCUAACUGUUGGAUUAACAAGUAGAAAUAGCUUUUUUCUGAAGGACCCAACAUUGCAUUGAAAAAUUCAACAAAAGGACUGGCGUCAUAUUUAGUCCUGCUAGAAUUUUGUGCACUUAACACAAUGGUUAAUAAUUGGCCCAGCAGACACUUUGUCGAACUACUGGCAAACCUUGACUGUGGAAAUGCAUAUUUCAAAUGUUGGCAGACUCUAGCUUCUUGAUGUACUGUUGAUAAAAAUGCCUAUUUCAAAAGUUGGCAGGCUCAAACUGCCGAGACUUUGGUUUCUUACAUUUCAAACCCACAAAUAAAACUUUGGCAGAACCCCAGAAAGAGCUACACCUCCCAAAUUUGAUGACAUAUGAAGAGACCAUGCCUAGUGCUUGGUUCGGCAAAUGAGUAAGUUUGAAAUAAAUUGAGGGAAACCUUUCCCACAGAGAGUCAUUUUGAAGGUUACAAUUUGAAGACUUUGUCCCCUGUCGCCCGUAACCUUCUUUGAUCUCUUUUCUUAGUCAUGAAUAAUCAAACAUGUGUUAGUGGUUGGAUGCAAUCCACUCGCUGACAUCUCAUGUCCACAAUCAAUCAACCAUAUUUUAAUAGAAAUGGAAACAUUUUAAUUAAAAAAGAAUGAGAUAGGAACAAAAUCAAGCUUGGCAGACAUGGGUCUAUGAGAUUUUAAAGAUGCUUGGUGAAAGUCGUAUUCAAGAGUUCAACAAUCAGUUCCAUCACCUAUGGCAAAGUAACCACCGCAACUAAAGCAAUUACAAAACAUCAAGAAGCUUGAACUUGGCAAGAGGUCUCAUUAACAGUAUACCUCAGAAAUUAAGACAGAAUUAAAGUGCAAGCUUUUGGAUUUAUUUAAACACUGAAAAUAAUAUGGGUAGAAGCUCCUAUGGUCACAGCAAACAAUUACAAAGCACAAAACCCAAAAAACAGAUAUGCAAAAAGCUGCAAAAGAACAUUAUUAGCAAUUGACAUCUGCUUUUGCUCAGACAAAGGUUCUCAUAACAAAGGACUUAGUGAUUAUCUGUCAUAUGUUUAUGUUAAGGGGAAAAAAGAAGUUUGUUUUAGUCAAUCUCAUGUCUAUUGGCAUUCAUAAGGAGCCCAAAAAUAAAAGAAAAAAUAAAGAGUUAGUAGGUGUUUCUUGCAACACAAAGAAAAUUUAUCAUCCAUGAAAAACUUAGUAUGGAAAAAGCUAACUCAUUUAUCUGCCAAUGCAGAAAAACUUGUUGUCUACCCACUAAGGACCCACCAUUGGCAGGUCUGAUGGAUCCCAUGGAUGGGAACCACAAAUAUUUUAUUCUAAAUGACAUGGGUAUUGCACCCAUAUCAUUUAAUUUGUAGAUUCCACUGAUGGAACUCAUCAAACUUGCCAAAUGGCAAGUCCUCCGUGGGUAGGCGCAUCACUUCAGCAUCCUUCUCCACCGAUGACCAAAUCUGGACUCAUUUAAAAAGAAUACAAAGCAAACUAACUGACAAAAAUUGCAUAUAGAGGUCUAGGAGCCAAAUCAAUGUUGUUAACUCAUCCAAUUAAUACAUUCUCUUAGAGGUCAUACCUUGGUAACUCAUUUCAAAAGAAAUUAAAAGAAAAAUGACUGCACAAAUUGUACUGAGCUCAAGAAGACCUGUUCAAGGUGUUCACUUGUCCAACUAAUAAAAGUCAUCAAGGAUUGUAUCAGGGACUUGGGACCAAUCCUGCCUUAACGAGAGAAAGGGAAUUUAGGAUGAAGAAGAUAACCUCUUUUCCUAGAGCAAAUUAAGCUGGUAAAAUCUUGGCAGUUGCACUUGGGGCAGAAAUUAGUUCCACCUUGGUUUACAGGACAGAAAUUCGUCAUAUGCAUGUAUUUAUUUAUAUUUUAUACACAUACGCAUACAUGUACACACAAACACUACCUUCACUUUGAAGAAAAGAUUAAAAUAACACUGCUCACAUACACAAUACUUACUAUUCUAGUUCGUGUGACUUUCUCCGGAGUCACAAAUAGGUCAAAGAAUUCGCGUAUUAACCGCAUACUUCCAGUCAUUUCUAUUCCUCCUUCACCAUCACCUUUCCCACAAUUACAAAAAGUGAGAGGUAGUAACCAACAUAUUUGGGUUGUUCUUCGGUAAGGGGUGGGAGGUAAGGGUUAGUUGUGGAGGGCACCUGGUACAGAAUCAAGGCCAGCUGUUGGGAAUUUGAUCUCCUGUAACAUAUACUUGUUCAUCAUAAACUAUAUACUUAUUCUGCAGUCGAUGUGGGCAUAUAGCUCUUCAAUUAUCCAGUAAUAACUCACCAUCAACUUCCUGCCAUCCUUCAUGGCUAAUUCAGCAGCUAUUUUUGCCUGUUUAAAGGGCAAAAGCCCAAACUAAGCAGAUGCUCCUACUCCGAUACUUAUUAUCUAACUACUACAGAACAGAUGAUACACAUCAAGUUGUGUCAAGAGAGACACCAAGUUGUGUUUUCCAAGAGGUUCCAAAGAGGUUUUGUGUUAGAGUGCAAUUUAUGCACUAGUUUUGAAUUGUUUACUUCCUUAAUAUCGAUGUUUUGCACUUAAUAAUAGUGAUUUACUUGUGUUUUAUUUUUAUAGGUGCAAUUAUAUUGAUUGGUGCAAAAAUUGAGCUACAAGACGAUGUUUAAGGAUGAUUGUUCUCUUGGAGAAAUUAUGAGCGUCAGAAGAACUUUGUUGAUAAGGCGUGGGCGCGUGCUGUCAACUACGGACCUGCAGUUUUUAGUUUAACGUGUUUUGUAUUUUUGGUUAUUUUUAUAAUUACGAAUUUAAUAUUUCAGAUAUUAGUAUUUUAUUUUAAAUAGAACUCUAGAGGAGAAGAGAGAGAGAGUAUUUAAGGGAAGAAUCUAUUGUGAAAAAAGGGAGAUUUUUGGAAAAGAAAGAAACCCUAGAUCUAAAUUUUUCUCUUCUCUCCAUGAAGAACUAAAUCUAUUAUUCUGUUUGAAGGUUAAUGAAGCUUUUAUUCAUCACUACUGUGAGAUCUUUCUUAUGCUUUAAUUGUUUUAUUGCUUUUUGGGUAUUUGUUUAUUCUCUGAAUUAUUUUCAUGAUUAUGUUUGUUAAUUAGAUAAUUGGCUACUAUUUAAUUAUCAACUUAAUCUAUUGUCAAUUAAAGGAUUCAUCGUAUGAAGAUUUUAAUGUUUGUGACAAAUAACAUAGCAGAGAGUUGUGUUGUGAGAAUAAACAAUCUAAUUUAAAUGAACCAUCGUAUGUGUUUGUUGAUUAGGAUUUGGGUCUCUCUGGUUUUUCAAGCUGUCAAUUGAUUAAAUCCUAUGAUCGUAUCUAGGGUUAUCUAUUGAUUAGGGAAAUAACCAACGGUCAUACCUUGGUUAUCGACUAAUUAAGGAGAUAUUGGCUAUUAGAGGGUCUCAGUAGCUAUAACCGGUCUAUUCAUAAGUAGUAAUAAUUUAUAUUUGAAUCAAUGAUCAGUAGUCGAAUCAAGCUGAGUUAAUUCCUUCAACCAGAGCUUUCUCCAAUUUGAAUUACAACUUUAAUUUGCAUUCUUGUUAUUUUAAUUUGAUUGUUAUUAUUGUCACAAAACCCUCAUUUUAUAUUUUACGUUUUAAAAGGAUUUAAAUAAUUACCGAUCUCUGUGGACACGACUUUGCUCAAUCACUAUACACAAUUUAUUUAGAGUAGGUAUUUAUUUUUGUUGGCUUCGACAACCUUCAAAUUUUGGCGCCGUUGCCGGGGAUUGGUGUCAUUUAUUUAAUCCUUUUUACGUUUUACUUGGUGUAUGGUUCGUUCUUCUUGUACAGGUACACUUUCGUUUGAUCCUUAAAUUGAGAAGACAGCUCGCCAGCUGAGACAGCAGACGAAGCGAGCUAAGCAACGACACUCAUCGCCUUGCUUUCUGAAACAGAUACGGUGCCUGAUUUAGUUGAAUCAUCAAGCGAUUUAGAAGAACAAGUGAUGGAUAGAGCUGCACCUGUAGAAAGAACUCUUAGAGAGUUAGCCGAACCAGACUUGAAUCAGCAACCACUCUACAUUCAAUAUGUAGACUUGGAGGUAAAUUUUGAAUUAAAGUCUGGUCUUAUUCAUUUAUUACCCAAGUUUCAUGGUUUUGCAGGUGAAGAUCCUCAUAAACAUCUCAAGGAGUUUCAUGUUAUGCGUUCAAGUAUGAGGCCACAAGGCGUGACUGAAGAGCAAAUUAAGUUGUGUGCUUUUCCUUUCUCUUUAGAUGGGCUAGCUAAAGACUGGUUGUAUUACUGUUAGAGUGCAACUUAGCAUAUAAUUUUUUAGGCAAGAAAGAUCACUCAGGAGUUUUCUCUAAAACUGAAUUUUAUUUUAUCUGGUGCAUGUUAAAUGAUGUGAGGCCUAAUUUAGGUUUUUGGUUAGCAGAUCAAUUUCAAAGUGUGCUUAAACGGUAUAGGACUUUAUUUCUUGGUCCAUACAUUACUCUGUUAGCUAUAAACCUAUGUGUGCUUGAUCCUGACAAUAAUGAUUUGCAUCCUGCUUGCAAAAAAGAAUUUUUGGAUAUGUUUAUGUUUGAAAGAACAGGUGUGGUCGAAUUCAAGGAGCGGAGAUUUCAGUUUACUAAACCAGGGCCCACUCAACCUCCGAAGAAGCUUUAUGCUAGGAGUGGUGCUACCUCUGAUGACGAGUUUGACGACGACACUGCUGCCCCGCCAACUAUUCCUUCUACAUCCGCACCACCUUUGAGCAUUCAGUUAGAGAAAAUGGAGCACAAGCUGAAUAAGAUGGAGCAAAAUUUGGCCACAUACUUCGAGAAUGUGGGAUUUACCUCACCAUUUCCGCCAAGCCAAUAGACGUUAUGUGGAUCAAAGCUCACAAUUCAGGGAAGUUUUUUUUGCCUUUAAUCUUUUAUCCUUACGCUUUAAUUUUUAUGUGAGCUUUGAUUAUCUUACAUUGGGGACAAUGUAAGUUCUUGGUGUGGGGGAGGGAUUUUUGCAUUAUUGAUGUCUGGAAUUAUUAUUUUCACUCUACUCAUCUAUUUUCACUCUACUCGUCCUUAAAUGAUUUUGGAGUUAGUAUGCUUCAUAUAUUAUUAAUUUCCUUUUCCUUUCUCUCUCACUACUCUUUUCCCAUCUAUCUCAAAUUAUUUACAUCUAUUUUUUUUUCUAUCAUACUCUUUCAUCACUUACAUUUUAUCUUUCAUUUUUUUACUACAUACAUCUUUCUCGCUUAUUAUUUUUUUACCUUUCUUUUUAUAUCUCACUCAUACCUUCUUCUCAUUCUACACCACUCUUGAUGGUUGAUUCAUUUGAAGAGUGUACAUGAUUUGAUGGCAAAUUUACCAACUUUGUGAGGAUUUGAGCCUGUGAGCAACCACUUUGCUCUAAUUAUUUUUGUUAUGUGAAUAUCAAUCUUAGUUUGUAUAUUCUAGAACUUGCUUUGUUAAGCAUGUUGAAGCCACAUUACGGGAUUUUAUGCAUUAAAAUGAUAAGGGCAAACCAUUUACCAUUUUUCUAUUCUCGCAUUUUCUUUUUUCUCUACCCGAAGACCUUUAUUUGCUACCUUUGUUUGAGCCUUAACCAUUACCCAUCUAAUUCUUUCCAUCUACUUAACCAUUUUUCUUCUUUUUGAGCCUAAUUUAAGGAGAUAUUUGGACUCAUUGUGUGGAUAUAUUUUGUUGCUUUUUCUACCUUGUAUUAAAGUUUCUCAAUUAGAUCAACAAGCAUUAUGCUUGAAUUAAAUUGUGCAAGGUUCGUUUCUUUUGUUUGAUUAAAAAAAAACAACAAAAAAAAGGAAAAAGAAAAAAAAGUGAAAAAAAAAUCGAAAAAAAAAAUUGAAAAAAAAGGUUUACAUUCUUGGUGACUUGAGUAGAAAUAAGCAUUUUGAUAUCAUAAGUUCAUUCAAUGAGUUCAUUCUUCUCAUUUUGAUCUCUUUUUCUUUCAUAAACCUUUCUUUUUUAUUUAACCUAUUUAACUCCAUUACAACCCUUUUAAGACCCUUAAUUUUUUGCAUUUUAUUUAUGUUUUAUGGAUUGAGAUGUGAUAUAUGAGCAAGCUUAUGGUAAUAGCAUUCUUUGAUUUGAUUUGAGUGAAUAAAUGACACCCUAAACACUUUGAGUGCAUGGAGUGAAGUCAAUGAGAGGGCUAUUAAAUCUUGUUGCACUUGAAUUUUGAAUGGAUCUUCUUGGUGGUUGAAUGUUCUUAUUCUAUCUUAUGAGAUUCUAUGCUUUAAAAUCCUUGCCUCUCGAAUGUUGAUCGACUUAAAUUCUUGAGGUAUGCUUGCUUAAAAUUGUUUUUGGAUGAGUUGAGAUGAAAAUUGAGUGGAGAUUUGGGAUUAGUCUUGAGUUAUAUGCUUGAGGACAAGCAUCAUCUUGGUGUGGGGAAUUUGUUAGAGUGCAAUUUAUGCACUAGUUUUGCAUUGUUUACUUCCCUUAAUAUCGAUGUUUUGCACUUAAUAAUAAUGAUUUACUUGUGUUUUACUUUUGUAGGUGCAAUUCUAUUGAUUCUUGAUAAAAUUGAGUUAUACGAUGAUGUUUAAAGAUGAUUGUUCUCUUGGAGAAAUUUAGAGAGUCAUAAGAACUUUGUUGAUACGGCGUGGGUUCUUGCUGUCAACUGCGGACCUGCAGUUUUUAGUUUAACAUGUUUUGUAUUUUUGGUUAUUUUUGUAAUUAUGAAUUUAAUAUUUCAGAUAUUAGUAUUUUAUUUUAAAUAGAACUCUAAAAGAGAAGAGUGAGAGAGUAUUUAAGGGAGGAAUCUAUUGUGAAAAAGGAUUUGGAUUGGAGAAAAAGAAAGAAACCCUAGAUCUAAUUUUUCUCUUCUCUCUAGGAAGAACUAAACUUAUUUUUCUGGUUGAAGGUUAAUAAAGCUUUGAUUCAUCACUACUGUGAGAUCUUUCUUAUGCUUUAGUUGUUUUAUUACUCUUUGGGUAUUUGUUUAUUCUCUGAAUUAGUUUCAUGAUUAUGUUUGUUAAUUAGGUAAUUGGCCACUAUUUAAUUAUCAACUUAAUCUAUUGUCAAUUAAAGGAUUCAUCGUAUGAAGAUUUUAAUGUUUGUGACAAAUAACAUAGUAGUGAGUUGUGUUAUGAGAAUAAACAAUCUAAUUUAAAUGAAUCAUCAUAUGUGUUGAUUAGGAUUUGGGUCUCUCUUGUUUUUCAGGCUGUCAAUUGAUUAAAUCCUAUGAUCGUAUCUAGGGUUGUCUAUUGAUUAGGGAAAUAUCCAACGGUCGUACCUUGGUUAUUGACUAUUUAAGGAGAGAUUGGCAAUUAGAGGGUCUCAAUAGCUAUAACCGGUCUAUUCAUAAGUAAUAAUAAUCUAUAUUUGAAUCAAUGAUCAGUAGUCAAAUCAAGCUGAGUUAAUUUCUUCAACCAGAGCUUUCUCCAAUUUGAAUUACAACUUUAAUUUGCAUUCUUGUUAUUUUAAUUUGAUUUUUAUUAUUGUCAACAAAACCCCCAUUUUAUGUUUUACGUUUUAAAAGGAUUUAAAUAAUUACCGAUCUCUAUGGACACGACCCUGCUCAAUCACUAUACACAAUUUAUUUAGAGUAGUAAUUUAUUUUUGUUGGCUUCGACAACCAUCAAUUACUUGCCACCUGGAUCGAUUACAACAUGGAAUGGUUUGAAGAAGCAGUUCCUUGAGAAGUACUUUCCUGUUGUAAGAGCUGCCAACAUCAGAAAAGUCAUUUGUGGGAUCAGACAACUUCUUGGGGAGACUUUGUAUGAGUAUUGGGAGCGAUUCAAACAAUUGUGUGCCAGCUGUCCUCAGCAUCAGAUUUCUGAUCAACUUCUUAUUUAAUAUUUUUACGAAGGACUGUCAUUGAUGGACAGGAGUAUGAUAGAUGCUGCUAGUGGAGGUGUGUUGGUGAACAAGACCCCUACUCAAGCAAGGGAGUUGAUUGCAAAUAUGGCUGCCAAUGCACAACAAUGUGGCAGCAGGUAAGAUCUCACUUCAAGGAAGGUGAAUUAGGUAAAUAUUUCUUCUGUUGAACAACGUUUAGAUAAACUUACUUCUCUUGUGGAAAAGUUUGUUGUAGGUAAUGUGCAACAGGUGAAGACUUGUGGCAUUUGUUACAAUAUGGGUCAUUCAACCGAUAUGUGUCCUACAUUUCAAGAAGAACCCGUUGAACAAACCAAUGCAGUUAGAGGAUUUCCAGGCAUGCCUUAGAGGAGGUAUGAUCCUUAUACACAAACAUACAAUCCGGGAUGGAAGGAUCAUCCCAACUUCAGCUAUGGAGUUAGACCAUCAUGAUUCCCGCAACAGUAUCCACCAAGACAACCAGCACCUCCACAGUCAAACUCCAAGUCAGGUAUAUCUCUUGAAGAAAUUGUUAAAUCACUUGUGACUAACACUCAACAAUUUCAACAGGCAACUACAGCAAGCAUUCAGAAUUUGGAGAACCAAAUGAGUCAAUUGGCGACUACAGUGAGCCGUCUGGAGUCUCAAGUAUUAGGGAGAUUGCCUUCACAAUCUGAGGUGAAUCCAAAGUAAAACGUUAGUGCUGUCAUCCUUAGAAGAGGGAAGGAGUUGCAAGAUCCCAGUAAGAAAGUGACAAAGCAUGUAGAAGAUGAGUUUGAGAAGAAUGAAUUGAUGCCUAAAUCUCAAGAUGCGCAACCCACCAAAGCGAAACCCCUACCUAUUGUGAUACCUCCUCCUUUCCUAAGCCGGUUUGCAAAAUCCAAGAAGGAGGAACAAGAGAAAGACAUCCUUGAGACAUUUCGCAAGGUUAAGGUAAAUAUUCCUUUAUUAGAUGCUAUAAAACAAAUACCUCGAUAUGCUAAAAUCCUUAAGGAACUAUGCACCUCCAAGAGAAAAGUAAGAGGAGAUGAAAAAGUUCACAUGGGGGAGAAUGUUUCAGCAAUUCUCCAAAAGAAACUACCUCCUAAGUGCAAGGAUCCAGGUAUGUUUACUAUCCCUUGUAAAAUUGGUAGUGUUAGAGUUGAAAAUGCUAUGUUAGAUCUAUGAGCUUUUAUUAAUGUCAUGCCUCGUUCCAUUUAUUCAUCUUUGAAUGUUGGGCCAUUAAAAGAAACUGGCGUGAUAAUUCAACUAGCUGAUAGGUCUAAUGUAUAUCCUGAUGGGGUAUUAGAAGAUGUUUUAGUACAAGUUAAUGAGUUGGUUUUUCCUGCUGAUUUUUAUGUACUUGAUAUGGAAGAGGAUAACUCCUCUAAUUCUGUCCCAAUUUUGCUAGGAAGACCUUUUCUUAAGACUGCUAGGACUAAAAUGGAUGUACAUAAAGGGACUCUCACUAUGGAGUUUGAUGGAGAGGUUAUAGAAUUCAAUAUGAAUGAUGCCAUGAAAUAUCCUAGUGAAGAACAUUCGGUAUUUUCUGUGGAUGUUAUUAACCCUAUAGUGCAGGAAGUUUUUUACAAGAAAAAGACGAAGAUAUUUCAUGAUAGAAUGAUUUUGAGAAAGGAGUUCUUUGUUGGUCAAAAAGUUCUUCUUUUUCAUUCUGAGCUUAAACUUUUUCCGGGUAAAUUACGUCCUUGCUGGGUUGGACCUUUUAUUGUUACUAAUGUUUUUCCUCAUGGUGCAGUUGAGAUUCAGAGUUCGACCUCUGACAAAGUUUUUAAGGUUAAUGGUCAUCACUUAAAACCUUUUUAUGAAGGUUUUUCGGUGAAUAUUGUGGAGAAUGUGGCUCUCGAGAGUCUCAAUUAUGGAGAUUGAUGCAUAAACGUGUCUAGCCAAAGACAUAAAACAAAGGCGCUUUUUGGGAGGCAACCCAAAUGAUUUAUUUAUUUUGGUUUUUGUUAUAUCUUCUUUUAGUUUUGAUUCAGAUUAUUUUUUGAAAAAAAAUAAUGUGUUUGCUUAUUUUGGUCAGAAGAAAAUUUUUGAUAAGGCGUGCUCACGUCUUAACUAAUAAGUACUUCUGUGAUUUUUAAAGUAAAAUGGUUUUAAGGCGUGCCCACGUGCUUAUUAGAAAAGUACUUCUGAAUUUUUUUUUAGUGUCUCAAAGUGAUUCAUCACUAAAAAAAAAUGAAAAAAAAAAUUAUUUAUUUAUUUAUUGAUUUGAAAAUUAAAAAAAAAAGAAAAAAAGAGUUUUUUUCUUCUUUUUCUUCUUUUCUUUCUUAUAUAUAUUUAUUUAUUUUAAAAAAUAAAAAAUCACUAUUCACAAAUCCCUAAUUCAAAAAUUACUGUUGAUUAUCGUUUUCCAGCAGCGCGCCUCGGCUCCAGCCUUCACUGAGCAACCAGCAGCAGCAGACGAGCACGCUCAGCCCCAGCCGCAGCGCGCAGCAUCAGCCCUAGCCGCAGCACACAGCAUCAGUCCCAACCGUAGCGCGCAACGUAACGCAACCAGCGUCACCAGCGCAGUAGAACCAACCCCAACCCGUGCAUCAAGCUACAGCCGAGCAGCAAUCGUCCGCAACCCGCCUACGCACUGUAUUCCAACCGGGUAAAUCGAAAUCCGUGAGUGCAAUUAUUAUAACAAUGCCGAAGAGGAAAGCAUCAACUUCCAAGUCAUCUAAAAAGACACCCGUCGCAAAGAAGUCCAAGAUUGCCGCUCCCACUACGGUUCCAUGGAACACAGUUUCAGAUUCACGCCAAGCCGUGAGACAAAGAACGAAACAUGGAAAGGGCAUGAGUGUUUUACUACUUGCGGAAUCCAAUCUUGGAGGGGGCCUCGCAUUCACGACUCAACAAGAGAAAGAAAGGUACAAAGAUAUUUCCAAGCAAAAAAUACUUCCAGCUAAGUAUAUUCAUUACCCGACUCUUGAAAAAUUGAAUGUUAAGGAUAAUUUUGAUUCUUUGAUAGAUAAGAUUGGUUUGCGUAAGUUUGUUGAUGUUGAUUGUUUGAGUUAUGUUGAGUUGAUUAGGGAGUUUUAUGCUACUUUUCAAUUUAAUAUACCGUAUGAUUUUACUUUGCAUACCCCGGAUAUUAUAAAGUUUAGGUUAAUGGGAUGGAGUUUUUCACACUCGAUCAUAGAUUUUAACCUAGCUUUAGGAUUCAUUGAUGAUGAUUAUUCUUCUAGUGAUGCAUAUUUAGGAACAACUUGUGACUUUAGCGAAAAUUUUGAGCCUUAUGGUCUUUGGCGUAAUUUAUCUGUUGAUCACAAUGCCUAUAACCCAAGUAAAUCAAUGAGUUCUUUCUUACGUGACCCUGUUUUGAAAUGUGUGCAUCGAUUCUUAGCAUAUAAUUUUUUAGGAAAGAAAGAUCACUCAGGAGUUUUCUCUAAAACUGAAUUUUAUUUUAUCUGGUUUAUGUUAAAUGAUGUGAGGCCUAAUUUAGGUUUUUGGUUAGUAGAUCAAUUUCAAAGUGUGCUUAAACGGUAUAGGACUUUAUUUCUUGGUCCAUACAUUACUCGGUUAGCUAUAAACUUAUGUGUGCUUGAUCCUAACAAUAAUGAUUUGCAUCCUGCUUGCAAAAAGGAAUUUUUGGAUAUAUCUGUGUUUGAAAGAACAGGUGUAGUCGAAUUCAAGGAGGGGAGAUUUCAGUUUACUGAACCAGGACCCACUCAACUUCCAAAAAAGCUUUAUGCUAGGAGUGGUGCUACCUCUGAUGACGAGUUUGACGACAAAACUGCUGCCUCACCAACUAUUCCUUCUACAUCCGCACCACCUUUGAGCAUUCAGUUAGAGAAAAUGGAGCACAAGCUGGACAAGAUGGAGCAGAAUUUGGCCGCAUACUUCGAGAGUGUGAGAUUUAUCCCACCAUUUCCGCUAAGCCCAUAGACGUUAUGAGGAUCAAAGCUCACAAUUCAGGGAAGUUUUUGCCUUUAAUCUUUUAUCCUUACACUUUAAUUUUUAUGUGAGCUUUGAUUAUCUUACAUUGGGGACAAUGUAAGUUCUUGGUGUGGGGGAGGGAUUUUUGCAUUAUUGAUGUCUGGAAGUAUUAUUUUCACUCUACUCAUCUAUUUUCACUCUACUCAUCCUUAAAUGAUUUUAGAGUUAGUAUGCUGCAUAUAUUAUUAUUUUUCUUUUCUUUUCCUUCUCACUACUUUUUUCCCAUCUAUCUCAAAUUAUUCAUAUCUAUUUUUAUUUUACCAUAUUCUUUCAUCACUCACAUUUUAUCUUUCAUUUUUUUUCUACAUACAUCUUUCUCGCUUAUUAUCCUUUUUACCUUUCCUUUUAUAUAUCACUCAUACCUUCUUCUCAUUCUACACCACUAUUGAUGGUUGAUUCAUUUGAAGAGUAUACAUGAUUUAAUGGCAAAUUUACCAACUUUGUGAGGAUUUGAGCCUAUGAGCAACCACUUUGCUCUAUUUAUUUUUGUUAUGUGAAUAUCAAUCUUAGUUUGUUUAUUCUAGAACUUGCUUUGUUGUGCAUGUUGAAGCCGCAUUACGGGAUUUUAUGCAUUAAAAUGAUAAGGGCAAACCGCUUUCCAUUUUUCUAUUCUCACAUUUUUCUUCUUUUUCUCCACCCGAAAACCUUUAUUUGUUAUCUUUGUUUGAGCCUUAAACAUUACCCAUCUAAUUCUCUCCGUCUACUUAACCAUUUUUCUUCUUUUUGAGCCUCAAUUUAAGGAGAUUUUUGGACUCAUUGGGUGGAUAUAUUUUGUUGCUUUUUCUACCUUGUAUUAAAGUUUCUCAAAUAGAUCAACAAGCAUUAUGCUUGAAUUAAAUUGUGCAAGGUUCGUUUUUGUUGUUUGAUUAAAAAAAAAGGAAAAAAACAAAAAAAAAAAAGAAAAAAAUGUUUACAUUCUUGGUGACUUGAGUAGAAAUAACCGUUUCGAUAUCAUAAGAUUCAUUCAAUGAGUUCAUUCUUCUCAUUUUGAUCUCUUUUUCUUUCAUAGACCUUUCUUUUUCAUUUAACCCAUUUAACCCCGUUACAACCUUUUUAAGACCAUUAGAUUUUUGCAUUUAAUUCAUGUUUUGUGGAUUGAGAUGUGAUAUAUAAGCAAGCUUAUGGUAAUAGCAUUCUUUGAUUUGAUUUGAGUGCAUAAAUGACGCCCUAAACACUUUGAGUGAAUGGAGUGAAGUCAAUGAGAGGGCUAUUAAAUCUUGUUGCACUUGAAUUUUGAAUGGAUCUUCUUGGCAGUUGAAUGUUUUUAUUCUAGCUUAUGAGAUUCUAUGCUUUAAAAUCCUUGUCUCUUGAAUGUUGAUCGACUUAAAUUCUUGAGGUAUGCUUGCUUAAAAUUGUUUUUGGAUGAGUUGAGAUGAGAAUUGAGUGGAGAUUUGGGAUUAGUCUUGAGUUAUAUGCUUGAGGACAAGCAUCAUUUUGGUGUGGGGGAAUUUGUUAGAGUGCAAUUUAUGCACUAGUUUUGAAUUGUUUACUUCCCUUAAUAUCGAUGUUUUGCACUUAAUAAUAGUGAUUUACUUGUAUUUUAUUUUUAUAGGUGCAAUUCUAUUGAUUGGUGCAAAAAUUGAGCUACAAGAUGAUGUUUAAGGAUGAUUAUUCUCUUGGAGAAAUUAUGAGCGUCAGAAGAACUUUGUUGAUAACGCGUGGGCGCGUGCUUUCAUCUACGGACCUGUAGUUUUUAAUUUAAUGUGUUUUGUAUUUUUGGUUAUUUUUAUAAUUACGAAUUUAAUAUUUCAGAUAUUAGUAUUUUAUUUUAAAUAGAACUCUAGAGGAGAAGAGAGAUAGAGUAUUUAAGGGAGGAAUCUAUUGUGAAAAAAAGGAGAUUUUUGGAAAAGAAAGAAACCCUAGAUCUAAUUUUUUCUCUUCUCUCUAUGAAGAACUAAACCUAUUAUUCUGGUUGAAGGUUAAUGAAGCUUUGAUUCAUCACUACUGUGAGAUCUUUCUUAUGCUUUAAUUGUUUUAUUGCUUUUUGGGUAUUUGUUUAUUCUCUGAAUUAUUUUCAUGAUUAUGUUUGUUAAUUAGAUAAUUGGCCACUAUUUAAUUAUCAACUUAAUCUAUUGUCAAUUAAAGGAUUCAUCGUAUGAAGAUUUUAAUGUUUGUGACAAAUAACAUAGCAGAGAGUUGUGUUGUGAGAAUAAACAAUCUAAUUUAAAUGAACCAUCGUAUGUGUUUGUUGAUUAGGAUUUGGGUCUCUCUGGUUUUUCAAGCUGUCAAUUGAUUAAAUCCUAUGAUCGUAUCUAGGGUUGUCUAUUGAUUAGGGAAAUAACCAAUGGUCAUACCUUGGUUAUCGACUAGUUAAGGAGAGAUUGGCUAUUAGAGGAUCUCAGUAGCUAUAACCGGUCUAUUCAUAAGUAGUAAUAAUUUAUAUUUGAAUCAAUGAUCAGUAGUCGAAUCAAGUUGAGUUAAUUCCUUCAACCAGAGCUUUCUCCAAUUUGAAUUACAACUUUAAUUUGCAUUCUUGUUAUUUUAAUUUGAUUUUUAUUAUUUUCAACAAAACCCCCAUUUUAUAUUUUACGUUUUAAAAGGAUUUAAAUAAUUACCGAUCUCUGUGGGCACGACCCUGCUCAAUCACUAUACACAAUUUAUUUAGAGUAGGUAUUUAUUUUUGUCGGCUUCGACAACCAUCAUUUUGUUUCUUUAUGUAAUUUUUAGACUGCUCUGACAACUCAUCUUAAAGGUGCCACUCAUCCAAUAUGAUAUGGUGACAGUAGUUUAGAGUUUUAAACUAAAUGCAGAGCUAAUAGUAUUUUGGAAAUAUAAUCAUCCUAAGAUACUAACAAAAACAACAACUUCGGUGUAGAGAGAAAAUGAUUUCACAAAAGCAGAUGUUUUGAUUUAAGUCUCCAAAACCCCCACCAAAGAAAUGUUCAACGGAUAUAGAAAUAUGAUCCACAUAUCUGUAACUUAAACUGUGAAAUUUGUUGAUGCUGUUCUAAAAUUGCCACAAUCUAUCUACCCCAUGAAUGUUAUUGGAUAAAACAACAAGCAGGACCCAAUGCCUGUUUUCUAAUAGCUUCAAAAAGGCCAAAUUGGUUUUGAAAUGUCUCCAGCUUUUCAUUUAACAAGUUUAAGGAUCCCUUCGGCAUUGCAAUUGGGGAGCUCAGAUAUAUAAAAGUCUGGUAAACUCUUACAGCCGCAGCUUUUGAGCAAAAAUAAUUUUAUCUCAUAAUAUUUUGACAAAAAACUUAUAUCACCUUUUAUCAGUUUUGUAAAAAAUAUUAUUUAUAAGUCAUAUUUACCAAACACAAUCAACUUUUACAUCACAAUUAUAGCUUCUUUUUUUUCACCACACAUAUACAGUUAAAAUCUACAAGAACUCGAUAUCAAAUAGAUCCUAAAGCUUAAUCUAAUAAAAAGGUAAAUAAACAAAUGCAGAAGCCAGCGUACUUGAUCAAGACGCUCUGAAUAGUCACUGGGAAAGGGAAUAUCGACGUUAAUGGGGUUAUUGCCAUCGCUUGAAACCGAAUUGGUGAGACAAUUGCGUUUUCUUCUGUACGGAGAAAAUGUGACGAUUCUUUGACCACUGAAAAUUUCGAUUCUACAAUUUACCUGCAAUUAGUGACAAUUAUUCCGUUUAGAAACAAUUUUAAAAAAAAUAAAAAGUAAUAAUUACAAACUCAGAGUAUACCUGUGGACGUGGAAUUGAAGAAACUGGAAUAGGAAGCGUAGGGAGGGCAAUGGCUGUAUUGGAGGAUAACGGCAUUUUGAACCUCAAAGUAAAGAGAGAGAGAGAGAAGAAACGCUUCCCUUUCAAAUACCGCGCUCUUUUGUACCUGGGAAUUUAACUAAUUCAUGCGAAUAAAAAAAUUUAUAAAUUUGGUAAAUUAUUUAUUAAAAAAUAUUGAGAGGUUGUGCAUUAUUUUAUUAGUAAUGACAUGGUAAUAAUCAAAUUAGUUAAAUUAAAAUAGUUGUUGACUCAGUAAUUUAUUUUUAUUAUUUUUAUAUAUUUAUUUAAUUAAUUAAUUAAUGUUAUAUCUAUUUAUAUAAAAAUGUACAGUUCUAUCCUCACUCUUAUUUUAUUUUUAUUAUUUUAAAAAAAAUGGUCUGCGUUAUUAAGGUUAAGGGUGACAACUGGGAUUAAUAUACGGUUUAUUCGAGUGCUUAAAACCUAAUAAAUAUCCACUAACUCAUAUAUAGUAAAAAUAUAAUUAUUUUAAAAAAAAUUAAUAUAAACUAAACAAAUUGAUUGGAUUUUGUUUCUCAAGGUACAUCAUUAGAACGUUACUUUUAACUGAACAAAAGCACACAUAACUAGCACAUUCGCCACAAAAGCCUCGGCUUAGUGGUCGGCUUAUUAAUUAUCCUAAUUAAAUCAUGGUCAUAAAUUUGAGUCCCGGCAGGAAUUAUUAGGCUAGGUAGCUUUUAUAGACUACACUAUAAAUACAUGUAUUUUAAUUCUCGCGGGUAUUGCUUCUAGUAGUUAUCCAUCCGAGUAUAGUGCUUUGUAGCUUUCUUCACGACCUUCCCCAAUUUCAAUGAUUGUUAAUCAAUCUUCAUAGAAAAUGUGAUAAGACUGUAUUUAGAGAAAAGCUCAAUAAAUGAUUUUUAUAGGUCAUCAUUUCAUUUAAUUUUCCGUUAUAUAUAUAUAUUCACCUUUCUCAGAGGCCAAGAAGUCUUCGACAGAAAUGUGAUCCUUGAGCUUCUCCCAAGUUUCAAUUAAUUCGCUUUGAGUGAGGAUAUUUUCUGGUGGCCUCAAAUACAAUGUUUUGUUCAGUACUCGAGGAGCAUUUAUUGUCUUAAUAGUAUUUAUGGCAACAUCAUCGAUAUGCACAGUAAAAAAAAAGAUAAUCAUUUUGUUUAAUAUGAACAUAAAUUGUCAAAUUCUGAAUCAUAUUAUAGUGAACGAUAUUGUCGUAUGGUGUGUGUAUGUACUAUCUAUAGUUUUAAUAUUAUUAAUAAGGAGUUAAAAGUCUUGAUUUAAUUUUAAAUUGUUAUUCCUCUAACUUCACCGUCUCCAUAGAUGCAGACUCUAUCUUUUGAAGGGCGGGGGUAGCUAUAUUUGAGAGAGGUGUCUGGGGAACCAACCAGCAAAAAAUAGCUAGCAGAAACAUAAAUGACAAGGAUUUGAGCAGCCUUGAUUGCCCUUCUCACACAUGCGCUCUGUGUUCUCCCUCCAGCUCUCACUCACUCACGCCCAAAUCUCACCUCACUCACGUAUCUCUCCUUUCUGACCGGUGGUUUUCUCUCUCUCGCCGUGGGUCUCUAGGCUGGCGGGGAUUUCUCGACUUGACUACUAAAACAUAAUCCAAAAACUAUCUCGACUUGACUACUAAAACAUAAUCCAAAAACUACUAAGAUAUAUAUAUAUUACUAUGAUAUACACAAUAUGAAGAAACUGCAGUUAUAUUUCAAAUAUUUUAUGAAGGAAGAGGCUGUAUGGAUUAUCCAAAGGUGCUGAAAUUAAGAGACCCACGCCAACCGACAGAGUGAGUGAAUAUAAGGGGGUUAUUGGGUAAAAAUCACAUAACGCGCAAGCGAAAUUUUAGAUUAUAUUUUUUAAUACUCUCCGAGUCUCUCUUUCUCUUUCUUUUUUGGUUUGAACCACGAGGUGGUCCUGAGUGGGUCCCAACUAUGGAAAGCACUUUUAAGCCCGUACCACAACUUAGACUAAUCCCCACUCGCACCGGGUCGGCCCGUAAGGGGUAAAGUGCUGGGCAAAGUGGUGACUCCAUACGAGAGCGGGACUUGAACCCCUGACCUCUCUUAAGGAGUGAGAGUGCCGAACCACUCACACCAACCAACUUUGGUUAACUCUCUUUCUCUUUUUCUUUUUUUAAAUAAAUGUCAGUAUAAAAUUAGAAAAUUUUAGAUAUAAAAUUUGGCGAUGACCAAACAAAAAUUGCAGGGGAAACCUUGAUAUCAUUGAAAUACUAAUCAUAGACACUGCAGUAUAAAUAACUUCUUGUGAUCUACUCAACUUUAACACUUUAAUCCAUAUUCUAAAAUUUGCAUGUUUGUUAGGAUUUUUAUUAUUGAUACUGUUGUAUCAAUAAAAUUAUAAUUUAUUCAUAUGGAAUGAAAACAUCAAGAAAGGACCUCUGAAGUUUAUUAUAACAGAAAAAAAUGGUCCAUAAGUCUAUUUAUUAUUUUAUUUAUUCAAUACAAAUGGCCAACUUUAAAAAUGGUAAAAGUCACACAAUGCACAAGUAAAAUUUUAGAAUUAAAUUUUUUAAUUCUCUUUGAGUCUCUCUCUCUUUAAAAAAUAAACCUCACUGUAAAAUUAGAAAAAUUUUAGACGUAAAAUUUGACAAUCACCAAAUAGAAAACAUAGGCAAAUGAAAAUGGAGGAGCCCUAUUUUCAUUAGAAUAUUGAUCAUAGAUACUAUAAUGUAAAUCAUUUGUUGUGGUUCAUUCAACCUGUCACACUCUAAGCCAUUUUCUAAAAUUUGUAAGGUUUAUAGGAUUUUUAUUAUUGCCAUCAUUGUAUCAAUAAUAUUAUAAAUUAUAUAUUCUAUUGUAAUGAAAAUUUGUGCAAUCUUAGGUAUGUAUUAUAUUAAAUUGUGUGGAUUAAUUAAGAAUAUUUUUGGAGACAAAAGAAGUGUGUGUAUGUAAGAAUAAUGAUAAAAAAUUUCUAAAUAAAGGUGAUUGCUUCAUUGACAAGUACAUAUUUAUAUUCCUCUAUUAGUAUUUGGGUUGUAAACUCUGUUUAUAAAGUGAAUAUAUUGUGGUAAGCGAUGUGGGAAAUAUCGGAUGCGAAAUAUUGAGAGAUCAUUAACGCAUAUAUUUAUUGAAGAUGCAUAUAGAGGAAAGAGUGUAGAUCCGGCCGUAACACUUAUGAAGCUUUCCCUAAGUAUUCUCAUGCUUGCUUAACUAUUCCGAAGUAUUUUUCAUAGUGUGCAUAUUUACUUUAUGGUGUCUUUAUUCGUCUCAAAUGAUUACUACAGUUCUUUUGGGAUGAAAGGUCAUUUAUUUUGUUAAUUUUAAACAAUAGAAAAAAUAAAUAAUGGUAACGAAAGACUAAUUGUGAUAUUGAAGCGUACGGACUUUAACUCAAUCCAAAAAUUAGUAGGACCCACAUAUAUUUGAUGACGCUGAAAGUUACAUCAAUUGUAACUUAGAAACAUCCAAAUAUUAGACAAUAAUACACAAUAACAAUGCAUAUAAUUUGGGUUUGAUUUUUAAAAAAUUAUUUGAAUAUCACUUAUCCUUAAGAUAUUAAUUUGAAUAUAUUUUAAUAGUAAAUAAUAAAAAUUUGUUUAGUUAUUAUUUGUAUUUCAUACAUUGCAUGUUAGAUUUGUUUGAAUUUUAAGUUGUUGCGAAUAAAUAUUUAUGUUGUGAAAGUCGAAUUCAAUAGCUACAAAAGCAGAGAUAAUUGUAUUUUAUAUAGUUUUUAAGAAUACAAGGAUAAGAUCAUAACGCAUGAGAUAACGGUAUUUUAUAUUAAAAGACCAUAAUGCAUGUAUUUGAGCCAUUUAUAUUGAAGACACAUAUAGAGGAAUGAGUGCAGAUCCGACCAUAACUAUUGUGAAGCUUUCCUCAAGUAUUCUCAUGCACCCAAACCUUAUCUGGUCAAGGUUUCUGAUUGAAUAUAAUCAAUUUCCGUGCAGUACCGAAGACAGCUUCUGUUGGUAGUUGAAUUUGUGGGGAAUGACAAAUGUAGAGAAAUACAACAAUAAUGGUGGAACUUUAUUACGUAAAGUAAUGUGUUUACAACUAACUCUGUAUGUAGUAAGAAAAAUAAUAGUAAUAAGUAAACUUGCAAAAAUUUUGUGUGCUUGAAGGCACGUUACAAAUGUCGCUUUCCUUAAGACGUUAUUUGCCCCCACCAAUUGAGUGAUGCACAUGGGUUAAGCAAAUACGCAUCCAGGAUACAAUGAAGCACUUGUUUGUUUGCUAGUGUUGUGCAUCAACGAAAGCAAACCAGAAUACUCUUGAAUGUUGCAAGCCUGCCAAGAAACAAUAAAUUGUUCCUGCAGAAAACAAUAUAUUGGAUUGUGAAUGCACAAAAGAAAUGGGUGUUUUGUGUUGAAAUUCGUACUAGAAAGGAAUGCUAAGAAAAGAGUGGUGUAGGAUCAUUGAUUUCAUGUCUAAAUGGCUUAAACAUGACCCCUAUUUAUGGAUAUACUUGUGCCCCCUCAUUUGGGUUGUCAUCUUCAUGAUACCCCUUCAUUCAUGGCCAUUGGAUCUAUAUUUAAUUUUAAUCAAUGGUCCAAAUUGAACCAUCACCAUUUCAAAUGAAAUGUCACCAUGAAAUGAUGCAUCUCUAAGUGAAAUGUUACCAUGAAAAGUUAUAUCAUUUAGUAAAAAGAUACAUUUUCUAUAAGACAUAAUUAAAUAGACAUGUCCUUACAACAAGACAUCAUUUAAUUAGACAUGUCUUUAGUGAAAUGUACUUUUUCUAUAAGGCAGAAUUAAUAAGACAUGUCUUCACCAUAAGACACAAUUUAUUUUGAAAAUUUUCCAACAGCUUAUCUGUAAAGCUCUUCAACCACAAGCAUUUCUACAAGGCAAAAGACUAGGACGUGUUGGAAUGAAUAUCAAUAAGGGAAUGUCUUAUGAAUUUGGUUUAUAUCCUAAUAUAAGACAAUCAAUAAAUAUUGGAUGCAAUCUAAGGGCUAACAUUUGAUUGAUCAUUGUACGAAAAAAAAAGGUACAAAAAUACAAAACAGAGCUGAUUGAUGGCCUUUAACAGUCAGUUCUAUGACAAAGUAACCACCACAACAAAUGGAAUUAUAAGACAUCAAGAAACUUGAACUUGGCAGGAGGUCUCAUUAGCAGUAUACCUCAGAAAUUAAGACAGAGACUUUAAAAUGCAAGCUUAUGGAGUAAUUUAAGCACUGAAACUAAUAACAGUGAUGCAAAAAAAGGUGCAGAAGUACGGUAUUAGCAAUUGACCUCUGCUUUUGCUUGGACAAAGGUUUUCAUCACAAGGGACUCAUUAGUUGCCCUUGCCUCACACGAUUGGAUGCUAAGGGGAAAAAGGAAGCUUCUAACGGCAUUCACAGAGAACCUAUAAAACUAAAAAAAAAAAAAAUCAUCCAUGAAAAGGCUACUAACAAAAAAACUAACUCUUUUAUCUGCCACUGACCUAAUCCGCACUCAUUUAAUUAAAAAAGAAUUAAAAGCAAAACUAAAAGAUACAAAUUGCGUACAAGUCUAGGAGCCAUAUCAAAGGCGUUAUAUAACUUUUCCAAUUAAUAAAUUCUCUUAAGGGCCAUACCGUGCUCAUCAUUUCAAAAGCAAUUAAGGAUAAGAACUUUCAUCAUUAAUUGAUAUGGCCAGUGUAGAAAAAAUGAAAAAGCCCUCCAAGAUCAAAGCACAAGGAUCAGUUUAGAAUUACACUUUUUAAAUUUUGGUUAAUAAAUAAACGUUUAUAUGAAAAUAGAAAAUCUUUUUGGAAUAACCUUUUUUUUUCUUUUUUUAAUGAAUGUGGAUAUAAAAUUUUAAAAUCGCCAAACCGAAAAGAAAAACAGGGGAAUGAAAAGAGAGCCCACGUUUCUCCUCUCUUUUGUUUUUAUUGUUAUCAAACAGGGGAAUGAAAAGAGUGCUCUGUUUCUCCCCUGUUUUGAUUUUUUUAUUACUAAACAGGGGAAUGAAGAGAUCAGCUCUUGUCGCAAGCGCAAAUUUUUGUUUCUAAAUGCAGUUGGUUGUAACUAUAUUCGCAGUCCCUAGUACUUAGAAGUAAAGGCUCUUGGAAUUUCUAUUGUAGUACAUGAGAUGUUUCCCGUUCAAAUAGCUCGCCCGAUACCAUUAGCAUGUUCAUCUCUCUAUAGAUUGAUGUUGACAUAGAUGUUAUUCUACUUUUGCUAGUGGAGUUUUGGGCCUUGUCGUAAUUGGUGGAAUUACGACAUCGGUGGCUGACAUGGCUUUCCUUGUACAGGUAUGUAUGAUUGUUUUUUUUGCACGUCUAAAUGGCACUGUUGAAAAGCUUAAAAUUGAACUGAUAAUUUUGUUUGGAAGCUCAGAAAAUUCAUGAGAAAGUGAAAUAGAAUAUUCUGGAUUUCUUUUCUUUCCAUAACAUACAAAUGACAAACGUAGCAGUAUUUAUACUCGUUGCUUACAUCAUAAAAACAGAAUUAAAGCAAGUUAUACAACUAUAACAUAAUAAAAACCGUGCUUAACUAAUUGGCUGAGCUAGCAUAUACUUCUUUAACUAACACAUGCUUAUCGUGCAGCUACUCUUUAGUUCACACGUGCUCAGUGUGCUUCCUUAACAGACACAAGGGAAAAGACAUGAUUUUGAGAUAUAACGCUUGAAUGUUCUCGGAAUGGCAUAACGCUUUGUGUGUCUCGGACCUGUUAAGAAUAACAUAUGCUGAGUCAGCUGCUGAGUCAUCAAGCCACGCUGGAAGUUAGUUUUGCAGUUAGUUAGAGAGCUUAUCAGCUUCCCUCCAAAAGUUUGUUAUGUGUAUUAGAAUCUGGGCUCACGAGUUUUGUGAGAUUGUAACCUUAAGAAGAUUCUCACACUACUAUAAAUUGUAUUGUGACUCAAUUAAUAAAAUAAGUUGAAGCUUUGCAUUUUCUCUCAGUCAAAAUUUUCUCUCUGUUUUUCUAACCAAACAAGAUCUACAGAGCAUCUUGUAUUUUAACUUGGUAUCAGAGCUUGAAUCCAAUGGCCUUAAUCGGUUCCAAUCAACAGUCAAGCAACACUUCCAUAACUUCUUUCACCUUCACAAAUCCAAUUAAGCUUGAUCGUGCAAACUAUACGAUCUGGAAACAAUAAGUACUUUCUUCAAUUCGUGGCAAUGGUCUUGAAGGCUAUAUUGAUGGAUCAAGGAUCUGUCCUAGUCAAUUUCUUUCUCCAGAGGCUAGAUCUGAAGGUUCUUCUUCUUCUAACAUCGAAGGUCAAGAGAAUCCAGAGUAUGCAGCCUGGAGACGUCAAGAUUAGCUCCUGCUCAGCUGGAUUCUGUCGUCCAUGAAUGUAGAUAUUCUCAGUCUUGUGGUAAGCUCUAAGACUUCUUUUGAGUUGUGGAAAAAUCUAGAAAAAUAAUUUGGAUCUGAAUCUAUGGCUAAGAAGGUUCAUCUAAAAAUGCUUUUGAGUAACCUGCGAAAAGGAUCUCUAACCAUGUCUGAGUAUUUUACAAAGCUUAAGUCAGUUACAGAUGGUCUUGCUUUAGUUGGUAGCCCUGUGCAUGAUUCGGAUUUAGUCACUCAUCUUAUUACUAGUCUAGAUCAGUCAUAUUAUCCUGUAGUAGUCUAUAUUGAGGCAAACAUGUUGAAAAUGGAUCUUAGUGAGGCUUAUGCUAUGCUUCUCACACAUGAAGCUAGACUUGAGAAUAAUAAGCUUCAUGAUAGUAAGGAAACCAAGAACAAUUAUGCAGCAAAUGUAGCUCAGGCUGGAAAUUUUUCAAAGAAAGGUAAUAACAAUAAUCAAAACAACUGGAAGGCUGGAGGAAACAAUUGGAAUAAUAACUCUGGUGGAAGAGGUGGUUUUGGUGGUAAUGGAAGAGGUGGUUACCAAGGGUUCAAUCCAGGAAGAGGAAACUAGAAUAAUAAUAAUUUCAGAGGUGUUGCUGGUGGAUUUAAUAGUGGAUUUCCUGGUCCCGGUGGCUUCAAUAACAAUUAUGGCAGAGGUGGUUUCAACUCAGGAGGUGCUGGAAAGAAUUUUGCUCAGGGAACUGGUGCUGCUUGUCAGAUAUGCUUCAGGUUUAAUCACACAGCAGCUGAUUGCAGAGACAGGUUCAACCGAAAUUUUAUCCCAAAUUUUCCAGCUCCAGCUCCAAAUCACUUCUGUAAUCAGCAUCAAGGACCAAGAGCAGUCUUCAUAACAACAUCUGAAGGAGCUGCUGAUCAGGGAUGGUUUCUGGAUAGUGGUGCAACUCACCACUUAACCAACACAGUUCAGAAUCUGAGUGAUGGUAAAAUCUAUUUUGGCUCAAACUUACUUACUGUUGGUAAUGGCCAAGGUCUUAGAAUUACUCACAUAGGUUAUACACAACUUCACACUUCUUUUGGCACCUGUUUACAACUACAUAAUAUUUUGUGUGUCCCUCAAAUUACCAAGAACCUCAUUAGUAUUUCCAAACUCCUCACUGAUAAUGAUAUAACCAUUGAAUUUUUCUCUGAUGUUUGCUUUCUAAAGGACAAGGUGAAGGGCACUCUGUUGGCUCAGGGGAUAGCCUAUACAAGCUACUAUCAAAAGAGGAAUCUCUCUCUUCUUCCACUUCUGUUCUGCCAGUGUCUCAUCCUAGUUCUAUGAUGUCAACUCUUUCCUGCAAUAAUGUAGUUACUUCUGUUCAAAGUUCAAAUAAUGACUUCUGUUUUAAGUCUACAUUUCCUGUAAGCUUUCAAACUUCAAGUUAUGUGUCAGCAAAUAUGUUGCACAAUAGACUUGGUCAUCCAAGUAAACAUGUCAUACAAACUAUUCUCAGAAACAAUUGUUUAAUGUCAGCCAAUGUUAGUAAAUCAAAUUUUCUUUUCUGUGAUGCCUGUCAAUUGGGAAAGUUACAUCAAUUACACUUUCCUGCUACUGAAAUCAAAACAAAAAACCCCUUAGAAUUAAUACACACAGACUUAUGAGGACCAGCACCAGUUUUAUCACUAGAUGGCUAUAGAUACUAUAUUUCCUUUGUUGAUGACUUCACCCGAUAUUGUUGGAUCUUUCCUUUAGUUUUAAAAUCUGAUGCUCUUACUACUUUCAAAAACUUCAAGAGCUUAGUUGAGAAACAAUUCAGUCUGCCUAUCAAAAUUCUGCGGUCUGAUAUGGGAGGUGAAUUCAAAGCUUUUCAGUCCUUUCUUCAACAAGAAGGUAUCCAAGCUAGAUUUAGUUGUCCCUAUACUCACCAUCAAAAUGGUGUUGUUGAGAGAAAAUAUAGACACUUAGUAGAAACUGGAUUAACACUCCUUACUCAAGUAAAAAUGCCUAUUUCUUUCUCGUGGGAGGCUUUCCAUACAGCCUCCUAUCUCAUUAAUAGAAUGCCUACCACUACACUGAACAACUUAUCUCCCUAUCAAAAGCUUCAUAAUCAGCCACCAAACUAUCAACUUCUCAGAGUUUUUGGUUGUGCUUCCUAUCCUUUUCUCAAGCCUUAUAAUGAUCACAAGCUUGAUUUUCAUUCCCAAAAAUGCUUGUUCUUAGGUUACAGCCCUCUUCAGAAAGGAUAUAGGUGUCUAACAAAGUCAGGUAAAGUAUAUGUUGCUACUCAUAUUGUUUUUAAUGAAUCUGAUUUUCCCUAUUCAGAGUUGUUCUCUUCAUCUGAGUCUUCUUCCAAUUCUCUAUCAUCAUACUCUCCAUCUAUUUGUAUCCUUAAUGACAGUGGCUUGCAUCAAUCAUCAGCUACAUCUCCUACUUCAGCAAAGUUACCAACUAUACAUUCACCUCAACAUCCUCACCAAGCCCCACACUCUCCUUGUCCCUCUCCAGUCUCAGAUUCCUACAGCUAAUCAUCACCACAUUCUUCAUCACAUAAUGCUUUAGCCAAUCCCUCUGAUGAAUUACAACCAUCAUCUCAACCUGUCAUUUCAACUCAUCAGAUGGUCACUCGAGCCAAAUCUGGUAUUUUUAAACCAAAGACCUACCUUACAGCUACCCAAGACCUUGAACCAGUGAGUGUUAAAGCAACCCUAAUUGAUACAAAGUGGAAAAUGGCUAUGCAAGAAGAGUAUAAUGCCUUGCAGAAGAAUGGCACCUGGACAUUAGUUCCAGCUGAAACAGCUACAAAACUUGUUGGCAAUAAGUGGGUUUUUCGAGUUAAAUAUAACCCAGAUGGCAGCAUUUCCAAGUAUAAGGCUCGGUUGGAUGCAAAAGGUUUUCAUCAAACCUAUGGAGUAGAUUUCUUUGAAACUUUUAGUCCAGUUGUUAAACCCUGCACUGUUCGUAUUGUUCUCAGCUUAGCAGUCAUGCAUUGUUGGCCAGUUCGGCAAUUAGAUGUUAACAAUGCCUUUCUUAAUGGCAUGCUUACUGAAGAUGUGUUUAUGCCUCAGCUAGAAGGCUUUAUCAGCUCUCAGUUUCUCAAUCAUGUCUGCAAAUUACAAAAAGCCCUUUAUGGUCUUAAACAGGCUCCAAGGGCUUGGUAUGAUAGAUUGAAAGGGUCUUUAGUUCAGUGGGGUUUCAAAUCUUCAAAGUCAGAUACUUCACUGUUUUUCAAGCAUAUUGGCAAUAAUGUUCUCAUCAUCCUUGUUUAUGUAGAUGAUAUCCUGAUAACAGGCUCUAGUGAUGUUUAUAUUUAAGAGGUUAUCAGUCUACUUAGCUCAGAAUUUGCACUUAAAGAUUUAGGAGAUUUUAACUACUUUCUUGGGGUAGAAGUGACUCCAUCUGCUGAAGGAUUACAUCUAUCUCAAACUAAGUAUGUUGGUGACAUCUUAAGAAAAGCUCAUAUGCUUGAGAGUAAAGGUUGUAAUACACCUAUCAGUGUUGCUGAUAAAUUGCAGAAGGACAAAGGCUGCUCAUUUACAAAUCCCUCACUUUACAGAAGCAUCAUUGGUUCUCUGCAGUAUCUGACACUGACCAGACCAGAUAUUGCAUUCACUGUAAACAAAUUGAGUCAGUUUUUAGCUGCUCCAACUAUCUUGCAUUGGCAGGCUUGCAAGAGGGUAUUACGAUAUCUACAAAGCACAUCACAUUUUAGACUGCAAUUCUUCAAGUCAGGUUCUCCAAGUCUCAUAGCAUAUUCUGAUGCAGAUUGGGGGUCUGAUCCAGAUGAUAGAAGAUCUGUUGGAGGGUAUUGUGUUUAUCUUGGAUCCAAUCUUGUGUCUUGGUCAUGUAAGAAACAGAACAUUGUUUCCAGGUCAUCUGUUGAAUCUGAGUAUAGAGCAUGGCCUUAGCUACAUCUGAGGUUUUGUGGAUUACAUAUCUAUUAAAAAAGCUCAAAGUAUCACUUCCCAAACCUCUUGUUCUUUACUGUGACAACAGCAGUGCAGAAGCUUUGGCUAGCAAUCCUAAGUAUCAUUCCAGAACUAAACAUAUAGAACUGGAUUUACAUUUUUUCAGAGAACACAUUGCCAACAAGGAUCUCUUCAUUGAACAUGUGUCUAGUUCUGAUAAGCUAGCUGAUGUGCUUACCAAACCUCUGAGUUUUGAUCAUUUUGCCUAUAUGCAAACUAAGGUCAAUGUCUGCCCAUGACCUUGAGCUUACGGGGGCAUUUUAAGAAUAACAUAUGCUGAGUCAUCAAGCCAUGCUGGAAGUCAGUUUUGCAGUUAGUUAGAGAGCUUAUCAGCUUCCCUCCAAAAGUUUGUUAUGUGUAUUAGAAUCUGGGCUCACGAGUUUUGUGAGAUUGUAACCUUGAGAAGAUUCUCACACUACUAUAAAUUGUAUUGUGACUCAAUUAAUAAAAUAAGUUGAAGCUUUGCAUUUUCUCUCAGUCAAAAUUUUCUCUCUAUUUUUCUAAGUAACCAAACAAGAUCUACAGAGCAUUUUGUAUUUUAACUGGAGCGGCUGAUUGGUGCUGUACGUGUUACAUUUUUACUUUUUUAACUCAAGUCUGCUGUUGUCCCAAAGUUGGAACUAGAGAUAUCAUUUCACCUCAACUGUGUUUUUUUUUUAAUUAAAAAAAUCAUUUGUUUUAGGUAUACAUACAUGUAUUUUAAUUCUAUUUUCCUUGUAAUUUCUCCUUUACUUUGAAUGAAAGUCAUUGGUGUUUUCGAAUGGGAAUUUUGCAUUAAAAAAUUAAGAAUAGUUAAUAGGAAAUUUCCUGAUUCUUUAGUUACUAUUUUUGGUAUGAGUGUAAUUAGUAGUAAAGUUGGUUUCUACUCGCAAACAAGUGAACUGCUCGAUUCCCAAGUGCUAUUAACCAGUUUCCAACUUUUUAAUAUACACUAAUUGUUCCUGUUUAAUAGCUACUACUAUUAAAACUCAACAGCUAACAAAAAUACUAAAAAAAAUGAUUUUUUCUUAUGAUGCUGUGAAAAAAAUUACGGGUUUACUUAUUUCCACGAGAUCUUGUAUAGUGUUCUUGUAUAGUGGAAUUAAGAUUGUCUUCCCGAUGGUGCAAUUCACCCUCUUCCUUUACAGUCACUUGCACUUUGUGCAGCUUUGGUGUGGAUAAGAUUCCCAGGGAAAAAGUCUUCAUGUUCGGACAAUGUGUCACAAAUACUCGUUCCAAUGAUGGGAAUUCAAGAGGGUAAUUCUCCAAACAAAAGCUGGUAAGCCUUGGUAAAUACGACUCUCCUUCACUUCUUCUCCAGCAUGUCCUACGAUUUCUUCUAAUUUUUUGCAGUUCCAUACAUAAAGAUUCACCAGACUAGUAGGAAUUCCAACCUGAAAAUAAGCAGAGUGUGUGUGUGUGUGUGUAUAUAUAUAUAUUAAAAAAGUAAAUAUGUAAGAGUAUCAUUCAACUAGGCUCAAAGAAUGUUUAAUCAUACAAUUAUACGUUUUAUGAACAUAACAAACUGUGAAAUAUCUACUAGAUAUUUUUUGUUAAACAAAAAAGGUAACAAGAUAAAUAAAUAAAUAAAAGCCAGAUAAACAAAGAUGAUAAAAAUGUAUUUACACUAUUUAGUAUUAGGGACGUAGAAAGAAUUUAUGGCAAUUUCUAAAUAUUUUGGACUUAUUUUGCAUCUUGAUAUAAGUUUUUAAGCAUAAAUUUGCAAAUUUCAACUAUUCCUUUAAAAAAAAAACUCAACUAAAAUGCCUCUUUUUCCCUUUUCCUUGGUCCCUAUUUUUUAUGUAUAUAUAAAAAUGGAAAAAAAAAUUUUGGAAAAGACUUCCCAGUACUGUCAACAAGGGAUUGCUGUAAAGUGGAUCUUUAUUAAGUACUUCCAGACUCGAGGAAAUUUCUUUACAAUCAAGGGUCAGUUGUAAACAAUCAUGAAUUUGUGGUUAAUUAAUGGCAUAAUCAAUUCUUAACUAAACUGGAGAUAUUAAUUAAAUUUGAAGACUUUUUUUUUUUCCAAUCGAAAUGUGAAGAAUUAAGGAAAAGAGAAAUAUAUAGAUGAAUUUGUGAACCUAUAAGAUGAGUGACUAUCCUUUAAUUUUUGAAAAUUGUACUUAUUAAGACAUGAGCAGAAACAAUUAAAUUGAAUUAUAUUAUGCUGUUGAAUCGUGAUUAAAAAAAUUAUAUUGUUGAUUCUAAUGCUGGCGAACCUAAAAACUGGACUUAAAACGUAGAUUUCAGAGUGGUGGUUUGAAGUACAAUACUUGAAAUAAAUAAUCAGUGGCUAAAUAUCAUUUGUAAACCCAAAAAUGGUUAAAAUAUUGUUGAAUGUUAUUUGAAAAAAAAAAAAAAGAGAUUCAAAAUGAAUAUUCUUACCAAUGGAGGAAAAAUAUUCUUUAGGUUAUCACACCAAGAUAUCUCCAAAUUCUUCAAUUUGCUGAAAGACUCCGAAGCAAGCUGGUGGUGCCAUAUUUUUCUCAAAUUAUCCAUCCAGUCAAUACGUAAUACCUCCAACCUAGGAAGUCGUACCUGACAGUUAAAGAUUAAAUAACUAAUUAAUCAAUUAAUGGCAUAAUCAAUUGAUAAAUAAAUUAGAGGCGGAUAUUAACUAAAUUUGAAGACUCAAGGAAAAGACAAAUUAAAUAUUGUGACUAAAAUAAAUUUAAAAAAAAAAAAAACCUUUUCGUCAAAGAGAGGAGGUUGCAUUUCAGAAUGAAUGGUGUCUUCUGGUGAGCUCGUGGAGAUGAAUCUUAACAUAUUCCAGCAACUCUGAAUCUCGAGGUUUAGCAAAGAAGGGAAUUCAACAACUAAAUCUGAAUGAAUAUGUCCCGUAUUGGCAAAGCUUGUUAGUUCUGGAAGCCAAUAGAGCCGCAGGAAGUGUAGUUUAGGAAAUACCUUUAAUUCAAUCAACUUUCCUUCAUCUCUUUCUGACCAUCCCGUGGUGUCGACUACCCCUUCCAUUGACUCACAAUAGCUUAUCUCAAGAUGUUGGAGCUGCAAAAGGCUAUUAACCAUAGAAUAUGAAAACAGAUACUUCAUACGAUGACAACCGACCACGUGCAGCUUUGUUAGAUUUUGACAACAGUACAUUCCUUGAUUAUGAUCGGCCCAUAAUUUUUUCAUGUUUCUCAAGUCCCUGAGAUUCAAUUCCUCUAAGCUCGGAAGAAUAACCUGCAAAGAAAACCCGUACAUUUUUGUUCCUUCAAGUACAACCGUCUAGUAUAAUAUUCUUUUGAUGAUCGAAGAUUAAUCGUGAUAAUAAAUUAAUCAAUUAAUUAUUGAACAGAAAAUUAUCACCUUUGGAGCAGGAUCAUCAUCAGAAAUGAUUUCGUUGAAUCCCAAAGAAGUUGUUGGUUUGUCCAUGUCGGGUCCUAUAAACAAACAAAAACAAUAUACAUAAUUAAUCUUUGUCGUUGUCUUUUUUUUUCAAAAUAAUUGAGGCGAAGUCCAUAAAUCCACCAACACUUAAUUUCAACACUUACCAACAAUCAUUUCCAGAUCAUCGCAAAAAAACACUUCUACCUUUUGAAGCCACAGUAGGUUUUUGGCCAUGGAGAAUGAGAAAAGAUGCUUCAAUUCGUGACAGUCUGAUACUUUUAUAAUCCUUAAGUUGCUGAAAGAUUGAUCUUCUGUGAGUUGGCUGUCACAUAUUGUCUCCAAAUUUAUCAAACGACGAAGAGACAAUGACUCCAGCAAGGGGAAGACUUUGCGACGAACCCGUCCAACUGAACAGACAAUAUGCAAAAUCUCAGACCAACUUUUUACAGCAAGGUGCUUCAAUCGUGGAAAACCUUCCCCAUCAUCUAAUUCAUGAACAACAUUCUGAACACCCUUCAGUUCUUCUAGAUAGAGAUAUUCAGUUCUCUUCAACAACAGUUUCAUCCUGUAAUUCUGCAAAAGAAUGCCAAACUUUUCCAGCCUCUGGAGCUUCAUCAAUCUUGAUAAUCCAGAUUUAACGGACCAGCUGCUCCCCCACUUAUUUCCUAUACAUAUCCUAUAGGUAGAAGUGUUCUAGCUAUUAAUUUUAUACAUAUCUUCUAUAGGUGUAUUCUAAUUAAUUUCAUACAUCAGAUUUUUAGAUAAAAAUAAAGAAGUAAAAAAAAAAAAUCUUCACAUCAUCUUAAGAAAUUCAAAGCCAUGAUACCACAUCCAAUCACGAGAAUCCAUUUUCCUAUGAUCACUGACCUUUAGGUGCGGUGCUUGGUUUGAAGAAGGGAAAGGGGGUGAGGAAAGUAAUUUGAAUUCCUUUCUUAUUUCCGUUGUUUGGUCGGUCAUAAUAUAAAAGAAUUUAAUUUUCAUUAAAAUUUAAUAUAAUCAUAAUGUGGAAUUUAGAUUUCUCAAUAAAGAGUGAUGAAUCUUGGUUUGGGUCUGUUUUGAGUUUAUUUUCAUUUAUUUGGCUAUGUUUUGAUAGCGAAUUUUGAUAUGUCAAUAUAACGUGUAAUUGUUUUGGGUUGAGCUGGUAAUUAUGCUGGAUUAGAUUGGUUUGGUUUUGGUGCUUCUCUGAUGGAACACUGUUUUUUUUAGAAAUUUUGAAUGUAAUAUGAGACUACAUUUAGUUUAAUUGAACACUGCAUCUAGUCUAAUUACUAGAAGUGCGGCAUUUGGUUUGGUUUAUCCUAUAUUCUCCAGAAUUUCACUUGCAUCUGGUUUUGUUGCAUAUGUUUGCUUGCAUUUGAUGGCAGUAGCAGACUGUUUGGUUUUGUGACAUUUGAUGGCAGUUUGGUCUGUUCUUGGUGUUGGUUUAAGAUUGUUCCUGUUGUGCUGAUGUUAAUUGCAGGUGCUUGAAUCAGCUAGGGUUGCUGGUUUAUUCAGAUGGUUGACUCAGGCGUUGUUACUGGUUAAUUCAGGUGGCUGACUCAAGUUGUUCAUUUAAUGUUAGGAAGCAAAUUAAGAAUUAAUGAAGUAUUCAUUAAACUAUAAUUAUUGUAGUUAUUUUAUUUCAUAACUGAAUUAUAAUCUAUGAUACUUGUGAACAAAUUAGAGAAUUUUUAUAUAUGAAUUAUAUAUAUGUGUAUGUACAUUUUGCUAAUAAUUUAAAGAAUAUAUUUCAAUUCCCACAAAAAAAUGGCUCCAAUUUCAAUAAUUCCCGCCAAAUAAUUAAAUUUUUUUAAUUUACCACCAAAAUAUAUCUUAAAGAAAUUUUAGUUAUUCUUGCUAGAUUUAACAAAAAUGAUUUGUAGGAUUAACAUUUAAUUAAAAUAAUUAAAUAAUUUUAUUAUUCCAAUUAAAUAUGUCAUGUUUAUACGACAGACAAUAUUCAUGAAUGGGAAGUAUUAGUUACGUAUUUUUCCUUGGGAUUUCAGGCAAAUGAAAAAAAGAUUGAGAAUGAUUUCAAGAGGACAGGUGGAUGAUAAGUAUUCAUUUUUGUAUAUUUGUCUAAUGUCCUCAUUAGUGGAUUUUUAUGGUAUUGAUCUUUUUUUUUUUUUUUUUAAUUUUCAAUUAGUUGCAGCCCUAGAGGAAGAGCAGGCUGAUCAAAUUGAUUUGUCUUGUUUUUCGGGCAAUCUACGACAUGAUGACCGUGAUAAUGCUCGUGACUGCUGGAAACUUUCUGAUGGAAAUAACUUUAGAGUUCGUAGCAAGCAUUUUUGUUAUGACAAAACAAAGGUUCCCCCAUAAUUUGUUUGUUUGUUAUGGUAUUUAUAUAUCCUGCAUAGGCUAGGUAGACAAGUUAUGAUGUACGUGUUUCUCAUAUAGAACUCAAGUCUGCUGUUGUCCCAAAGUUGGAACCAGAGAUAUCAUGACUCUGGUUUCAUUUCACCUCAACUGUGUUUUUUUUUUUAAUUAAAAAAAUAUUUGUUUUAGGUAUACAUACAUGUAUUUUGAUUCUAUUUUCAUUGUAAUUUCUCAUUUACUUUGAAUGAAAGUCAUUGGUGUUUUCGAAUGGGAAUUUUGCAUUAAAAAAUGAAGAAUAGUGAAUAGGAAAUUUCUUGAUUCUUUAGUUACUAUUUUUGGUACGAGUGCCAUUAGUAGUAAAGUUGGUUUCUACUCGCAAACAAGUGAACUGCUCGAUUCCCGAGUGGUAUCAACCGGUUUCCAACUUUUUAAUAUACACUAAUUGUUAUUGUUUAAUAGCUACUACUAUUAAAACUCAACAGCUAACAAAAAUACUUAAAAAAAAUGAUUUUUCUUAUGAUGCUGUGAAAAAAAUUACGGGUUUACUUCUUUCCACGAGAUCUAUAACAUGGUCUUGAUUUCACGAAAUUCUUUUAAUUUAAAGCGUGCUGGUGUGAGAAGGUCAGUUUGACUGAUUAAUUCUUUUUAACAGUGGUCGAGAUAAUUUUACUAUACUCGAAAAUAUUCUUAUUCUGAUAAAGCCAUAAAUGUUAUGCUGUUUUCUUCGGCUAAUGAUCUUCUAUCAGGAGAGGUUAGAAAUCAAAUGCUUAAAAGACCAAUUGAACGAAUAAUACAGAAAUUUAGGCAGAAUCUAAUCGAAUAUUGUAUGAAACAUGAAACAUCAAUUCAAGUCCUUUCUUAAACAAAGAAUGCAUCAAACAAAAUCCAAAGUGUCUUGCAAGUUUGUAGCAUGAGCAAAAAAUUGUAAAUAUGUAGAACCAAAUUAUUCAAGUACAGAAGAACGAGCAAGCUAAAUCAUGUAUAAGAGAUUGGCCUGGUUCAGGAUAGCUUCUUCACUGUAGCUGAAGGGUUGGCUCAAUCUCUUCUUUAGAAUUCUGCAGAUUUUGUAAUUACUCGUGUAAGCAAGCAUACAUUGCCACCAUAAGAAUAAUAAAGCAAGAGUAAUGAUAUGACCACCACCUCUUGUGCACAAACAAUAUUGUAUAAACUAAUGCGACAUAAUAUGAUUGGUUAAAUAAAAACAUUACAUGGCCCUCAUAAUUUAUUUAUUUAUUUAUUAUUAUUAUUAUAUAUUUUCAAUCAACCAAUCAUAUUAUAUCACAUUAGUUUCUAUAAAAUAAUUUGCUAAAUAGCACCGAAACUUAAUUGAUACUCACCAUUUCAUUGAACAAUUUUUUUAUGGUGUCAUUGAGGUUGCCUUCCCAACAUCCUUCAUCAUCAUCAUCUUCUUCAUCAUCAUCAUCUUCUUCUUCAUCAUCUUCAUCAUCAUCAUCUUUUUCUUCUUCGGUGACGUUCACUUUGUUUAGCAUUGGUGUGUCUAAGACUCCUUGAGAGAAGAUCUUCAUUUUUGGACACUGUCUCACAACUACUUGUUCCAAGGAUGGGAACUCAAGAGCGUAAUUACCCAAACAAAAGCUUGUUAGGCUUGGCAAACAAUCAAGUCCCAAGUACUCCAAUUUCCUGAAAACAAUGCAAUCGUCCGCUUCUUCUCCAACCUGCGACUGUAUAAUUUCUUCCAUCAUUUUGCAAUCAGUUAUCUUCAUUCUUUCAAGAUUCACUAGACUUUCAGAUGUUGAGAGCGUCAAUAAAUUUAUCAACCCAUGACACUUCGAUACUUCCAGAGUCGCAAGAUUUUCCAAAUGCCACGAAGCUGGUACUAAUUUCUGCAACUUACUACAUUCAAAUAUUUCUAGACUUUUCAAGUUUGCAAACACUUUGUUGGAUUUGGCAUUUUCCUUCCAGAGAUGCUGCACUUUGUGUAAUCCAGAUAGCUUUAACUUCAUCAAUUGAGGGAAUGCAACCUGGAAAUCAACAAAAUUAAGUUGUAAAUGAAAAUAUGUAUCCAAUCUCUGCAGUCUUCCCCUGCAUAUUUUAUGGACAAGAUUAAUCACGGCAUUUUAUAUUUUAUUUCCAAAUUAGUAUGCUUUGCAGUAGGAUCCCAAAUAUAAGUAUCAAAUCGAUUACCCUUUGAAACACAUAAAUGAAAUCUGAUCCUAAAUCCAAUAUGAAUUAGCUAGGAAAACAGAGACCUAACACGCAUAAUCGAUAUAGUUCAUCACCUCCUGUCACUAGGCAUCUAAUUAAUUUGAGACAUUUUUUUAAUUCAUACUAUAAAGUUAGUUAAUAACUACGGUUAUAUUGUUAAACAUGUAUAAAUUAAGACGACGUGCAAAAAGAUGAGUCAUUAAAUUUGAUUUGAUUCUAAUGAAAUUAUAUCUGUGUGAAUGAAAGUGAAGGGAAAAAUAAUAAUAAUGUUACCUUUUCAUCGAAGAGAUGUUGUAUUUGAUUAGCUACCAAGAGGUUCUCUUCUUAUUUUAAUUUUUGAGCUUCCUUAUUAUCUGUUGUCAUGUGCAGUACAGAUGUAGAAUUGGACAUGAAUGUUUCCAUAUCAGGGCAAUUCUCAAUAGUUAGAUAUCUCAACUCAGGCAGUUCAAUUAUAUUCCCAGUGAAGUUGCAGAAUCUUUUGAGUUUUGGAAGGUCAAUGAGCCUUAGCUCAAAAAGCCUAGGAAACAGGGGGCCUAUAUGUUCUUCCUUGGCAUUUAGCUCUUCCAAAUGAAGCACCUCUUCUAGUGAAUCACAAUUCCUCACUUCCAGCCAUCUCAAAUUGUUCAAGCACCGUAUCAGAUUGGCAGGAAUAGCACUCGACAUAUUCGUGCGGUCAUCCACCACCAGGUGUCUUAAAUUGUUGAAGAAGCUGACAGGCAGUGCUUGGCCAUGCGAGAGUUGCAAAUGGUUUAUAUCAAGGAAUCCAAUCUGCACAAACCAAAACAAUUGCACUGGAUAUAUACAAUUUUUUCUUUCUGAAAGGCAUAGAUAUAUGUACAUUAAACUUACAUGUUUUCUGCUUUAACUUCUAAAAAUAUAUAUACAAGGCAGGUGUAUAUGCUUAAAUGUGCAAGUGCAGGGGAGAUGCAUGAACAAUUUGGGUGAAUCGAUUAACACAUACCAUCUUUUUGUAACAUAUGUUUAAAUGUGCAAGCGCAAGGGAGAUGCAUAAGCAACUUGGAUGAAUCGAUUAGCACAUACCAUUUCUUCGUAACACUUUUGUAUAGUGGAAUUAAGCUUGUUGCCUUCCCAAUGGUGCAGUUCACCCUCUUCCUUUUCAGUCACUUGCACUUUGCAUGGCUUUGUAAUGGAUAAGAUUCCCUGAGAAAAAGUCUUCAUGUCCGGACAACGUAUCAUAGAAACUCGUUCCAAUGAUGGGAAUUCAAGAGUGCAAUUCUCCAAACAAAAGCUGGUAAGCCUUGGUAAAUCAUCAAGUAUCAAAACUUUUAAUUCGCUGAAAGCAAUACGAUUCUCCUUCACUUCUUCUCCAACAUGUCCUACGAUUUCUUCUAAUUUUUGGCAAUCUGAUACUUAAAGAUUCACCAGACUACUAGGAAUUCCAACCUGAAAAUAAGCAAAAGUGUGUGUGUAAGAGUAUCAUUCAACUAGGUCCAAAGUAUGUUUAAAACAUACAAUUAUAUGUUAACAUAACAAACCAUGAAAUGUCUACUAGAUAAUUUUUGUUAAACAAAAAAGGCAACAAGAUAAAUAAAUAAAUAAAAGCCAGAUAAACAAAGACAAUAAAAAUGCAUUUACACUAUUUAGUAUUAGGAGCGUAGAAAGAAUUUAAGGCAAUUUCUAAAUAUUUUAGACUUAUUUUGCAUCUUGAUGCCAGUUUUUAAACAAAAUUUGCAAAUUUCAACUAUUCCUUCUGGGAAAAAAAAAAAUCAACCACCAACAAAGUGUUGGCUCCAUUGGCAAUGGAGUCCCCUUAAGUGGUUUGACUGGGUUUGCUCCCCAGUUCGAGUCGCAGGGAAGUCGCCUUUGUUGGGAGAACUUGUGCCUCCCGGUUCGAGCGGGGACUUCUAGUCUGGGUUGUGGUACGGGCUUAAAGGUGCCUUCCACAGUUGGGGCCCUCCCCAGGAUACCUCGUGAUUAAUAUAAAAAAAAAAAAAAAAUCAACCAAAAUGCCGCUUUUUCCCUUUUUCCCUUUUUCCUUGGUCCCUUUUUUUUAUGUAUAUUUAAUUUUGGAAACAAAAUUAAAGUGGAUCUUUAUUAAGUACUUCUAGACUCGAGGAAAUUUCUUUACAAUCAAGGAUCAAUUGUAAAUAAUCAUGAAUUUGUGGUUAAUUAAUGGCAUAAUCAGUUCGUAACUAAACAAGAGAUAUUAAUUAAAUUUGAAAACUUUUCUUUUCUUUUUUUCUUUUUCCAAUCGAAAUGUGAAGAAUUAAGGAAAAGAGAAAUAUAUAGAUGAAUUUGUGAACCUAUAAGAUGAGUGACCAUCCUUUAAUUUUUGAAAAUUGUACUUAUUAAGAUAUGAGCAGAAACAAUUAAAUUGAAUUAUAUUAUGCUGUUGAAUCGUGAUUAAAAAAAUUAUAUUGUUGAUUCUAAUGCUGGCGAACCUAAAAACUGGACUUAAAAUGUAGAUUUGAGAGUGGUGGUUCGAAGUACAAUACUUGAAAUAAAUAAUCAGUGGCUGAAUAUCAUUUGUAAACCCAAAAAUGGUUAAAAUAUUGUUGGAUGUAAUUAAAAAAAAAAAGAUUCGAAAUGAAUACAACAACCUUACCAAUGGAGGAAAAAUAUUCUUUAGGUUAUCACACCACCAUAUGUCCAAAUUCUUCAAUUUGCUGAAAGACUCCGAAGCAAGCUGGUGGUGCCAUAUUUUUCUCAAACUAUCCAUCAAGUCAAUACGUAAUACCUCCAACCUAGGAAGUCGUACUUGGCAGUUAAAGAUUAAAUAACUAAUUAAUCAAUUAAUGGCAUAAUCAAUUGAUAACUAAAUUAGAGGCGAAUAUUAACUAAAUUUGAAGACUCAAGGAAAAGACAAAUUAAGUAUUGGGACUAAAAUUAAUUUUUUUUUUAUUUUAAAAAAAACCUUUUCGUCAAUGAGAGGAGGAGGUUGCAUUUCAGAAUGAAUGGUGUCUUCUGGUGAGCUCGUAGAAAUGAAUCUUAACAUAUUACUGCAACUAUCAAUCUUGAGUAUUUGCAAAGAAGGGAAUUCAACAACUAAAUCUGAAUGAAUAUGUCUCGUGUUUGCAAAGCUUGUUAGUUUAAAAAGCCCAUAGAGCUGCAGGGAGUGUAGUUUAGGAAAAACCUUUAAUUCAAUCAACUUUCCUUCAUCUCUUUCUGACCACCCCGUGGUGUCGACUACCCCUUUCAUUGACUCACAAGAUCGUAUUUCAAGAUGUUGGAGUUGCAAAAGACUAUUAACCAUAGAAUACGAAAACAGAUACUUCAAAUGAUCACAACCGUCCACGAUCACCUUUGUUAAAUUUUGACAACAGUACAUUCCUUGAUUAUGAUCGGCCCAUAAUUUUUUCAUGUUUCCUAAAUGAAAGAGAUUCAAUUCCUCUAAGCUCGGAAGAAUAACCUGCAAAGAAAACCCGUACAUUUUUGUUCCUUCAAGUACAACCGUCUAGUAUAAUAUUCUUUUGAUGAUCGAAGAUUAAUCGUGAUAAUAAAUUAAUCAAUUAAUUAUUGAACAGAAAAUUAUCACCUUUGGAGCAGUAUCAUCAUCAGCAAUGAUUUCGUUGAAUCCCAAAGAAGUUGUUGGUUUCUCCCUGUCGGGUCCUAUAAACAAACAAAAACAAUACACAUAAUUAAUCUUUGUCGUUGUUUUUUUUUUCAAAAUAAUUGAGGCGAAGUCCAUAAAUCCACCAACACUUAAUUUCAACACUUACCAACAAUCAUUUCCAGAUCAUCGCAAACAAACACUUCUACCUUUUGAAGCCGCAGUAGGUUUUUUGCCAUGGAGAAUGAGAAAAGAUGCUUCAAUUUGUGACAGGAUUGUACUCCUAUAAUCCUUAAGUUGCUGAAAGAUUGAUCUUCUGUGAGUUGGCUAUCACAUAUUGUCUCCAACUUGUUCAAAAACCAAAGAGACAAUGACUCCAGCAAGGGAAAGACUGUACAAUGAACCCGUCCAACUGAACCGACAAUAAGCAAAAUCUCAGAACAACUUUCUACACGAAGAUGCUUCAAUCGUGGAAAACCUUCCCCAUCAUCUAAUUCAUGAGCAACAUUCUGAACACUCUUCAGUUCGUUUAGAUGGAUCUCUUCAGCUUCUUUCAGCAACAUUUUCGUCCCAUAAUUCUCCAAAAGACUGCUAACAUUUUCUAGCCCAUCGAGCUCCACCAUUCUUGAUGUUUCAGAAUUAACGCCCCACAUGCGCCACGCUUCUCCUAUACAUAUCUUAUAUCUUUGCAAUUCCACAGAGACUAAAUCCUGCGGCAGAAUUUGGGCAUCCCAAAAUUGUAUCUCCAAAGUAGUUAGCUUUGACAGCCCCUUCAAUUCAGCAAGACUGGCGGUACUUCCUCCUUCAACCUUAUCCCACUGCGAAAAGCUGUCACCCAUAUAUAGUUCUUCUAAUUGAGAAAAUUUUGAUAUGAGAUUUGGUGCUAUCACUACAAGGCUCCUACAAUUGCUCAAAUCUAGCAAUUGUAACCGCGUCAAUUGUCCAAUUUCAAGUGGUAACUGCUUAAUGUCGGAAUCUCGAAAGCUAAGAAUCUCUAAUUUCUUUAGCUGUCCAAUUGCAGCUACAUCUUCUAGUUGGCACCAGUCUAAACACAAUGUUUGAAGGUUAAUGAGGCGACCAAGUGAUGAAGGUAAUGAAGAGAAAGGAAUUCUAGUAAGGCUUAAAACUUUGAGUUCUUUCGUCCCUUCAAAAAAGAGGUCUGAAAUUUGCAUACGGCCAUUACCCUCUGCAGACAACAAAAAUAACUGGAGAUUGGGACAUUGCAACCUUUCAGGGAGCUCUUGAAUAUCUCUCUGGGGUAAUGAAAUGGCAAUUGGAUCUUUCCGUAUUGUCUCUUCCAUCUUUUUCUCUAAGUCGGCAACAUUUGGAAUAUUAAACAUGCGCUUCUCUGCGGCAAUUGAUACGGCAACAACAUGAAUGACGUCAUGCAUUUUAGCUUCAUCUUCAGCAUCACCGUCCAACAAUAAGCAUGAAGAUUUGAGGUUGUCGAUCAACCGAUGCACUCUACUCCUUGCUUCUUCCAAUGUGUAAACAUUUUCAAACAAACCCCAACCCACACCAUAUCUCAAUAAGUCAGAAACUUGUAUGGCAUGACCUUCACUGUAUAGACCACAAAGACGGAACAGAGAUUUUGCCUCCUCACUUUCCAAGAAGUCAUGACUCAAUUUUAUGGAGGUGUACACAUUUGCUUGCAUGCCAUGAAUUUCUCUUGCAUCCGAUCUUCUUAGCUGAUUCAAUGCAUCUUUCCAAAAGUCACGCUCCUUAGUUUUCAGAGCAUUUGCAACUGUACUCAGUGCAACAGGCAAACCUCCGCAUCUUUCAAUGAUCUCAUUUGCUAUACUUUGAAAAGCAGAUAUUUUAGUUGAAUCACCCACUAUCUUCUCAAAUAACUGCAAUGCUUCUUCUUUUGAUAAAGCAUCGAUCCAGAAAUUUUUCUGAGAAUUCAUAUCAAUGCACAAUAAAUCUCGACUUCUAGACGUCAAUAUUAUUGUGCAUCUUCUCUGAUCAUCCUCUCUAUCUUUCUCAUCAACAUCUCCAGAAGGAAUUCCAACCGCAUCUAACUCAAGUUUUGUCCAAAUAUUAUCCAAUAUAAUGAGGACCCGCUUCUCUUGCUUCAACCUUUCACGCAGUCGAGAAGCUCUAUGGUGUAUACUAUCAUUCAAGUCAAAUUUCAUGCCUAAAUCAGAAGCGAGCUUGUCUUGAAUUUUCUGGGGAUCUGGGUUCUGUAUUACCUCAGCCAUAACGACCUUAUCGAUCAACUUAUCUUCCAUCACUUUCUUAGCAACUUGCUUGACUAGCGUGGUUUUACCCACGCCGCCCAUGCCGUAGACCCCAAUUAUGUUGAGCUUAUCAUCCUUCAACGCCUCCAUAACAUCCUGAAAUACUUUCAUUCUUGAAUCAAAGGCCUCGUUAUCUUUCCCGUCAUUAAGUCCUGUGCUCUUUGGAGUAGGACGGUAGGAAACAUUAGAGAAGUUGCCUUUUCCCACGAGACCAGCGGCAGCUUCUGCGGCCUUUGCUGCUUGUUUACUAAGCUUGUAACGGGACAUCAAAUUUGGGCACAAUCCUUUGAAGCAGAACUUUUUAGCUCUUUCUUCAUCAUCAAUGAUGGAUUUUGCAACCCCUUCACUGAUGAAUUCAUCAACGCUAUGUAGCCAGUCUGUGACACCCUCAUAAAGCUCAUCCCCUUGUAGCCUAGCAUGAUUAACUGGUUGCUGCACCAUUUCUCUCUUAUAUCCCAGCUGCUUCACUUGAACUUUUAGCUCAUCUAUGUAGCUCUGGUACUUGAACACAUCAGAUAUCUGCCGUGUAAUCGGGUUGAACAGUGACUUUGCACCUUCUGAUACACAGUUGGUUAAAAAAGCCAGACACGCUUCUAUAGCCAUUGCCGGUUGCUUAACAAUAUAUAUCUAGUUUUUGGCUGUUGAAAAAAAAAAUGGAUUCAAAUAAAUUAAAUGAACUAGCGGGGAAGAAAAAGAAAGAAACGACAACAAACAACUUUUUAGAAAAAGGUUUCAGGGGCCUGAAUGGAAAACCAACAAUUUUUUGAGGAAAGAAAACUUUUUUGGAAGAUGGAUGCAAAUUAACCAUUAAUAAUACUGCAUAAGAACACAGAAGUUAACAAUAAACAGUAACUUAAAACUCAAGAAAAUUAAAUGACAAGAUUAAGACAAACAAGAGAUAGUUUUUGUCGGACAUUAAGAAACAACUGCUAUCAAGAUCAAAGAUUAGAAAUUAUGCUAUUGAAAGAAAUUAUUAAAGUAAUUAGAACAAACGCACCUCUUCAAUUAUCUAGGAUCACAGAGUUUAUGAGCUUCACUCUUGGCCUUCGAUUUAUAAGAAAAAUUUUAAUGAGCAAAAGAUCACUGUUGACUGCAGAAGAAUGUGAGUAAGCAAUACAAUUGAAUUGUAAAAGAACAAGACUUAAAGCGUGCACCCCAACAGAACACAUGUUCAUUUUUAACAAAGUGAUCAAUAACUAUAUUCGUUAUUUAAUUGAUAUUGUAACCAAUUCUAAGAGAAUAUAAUAAUCAGCAAACAAACAACAUUGAUCUUAUGCCUACUGAUAUUUAAACAGAGAAUUCUUUCUUCUUUUUCUCUUCAUGGAUUAGAGUUUUUGCUAUUAACAGAAUGGUUUCAAGGGUCUGAAUAAAAUCCCAGACUUUUUUUUAACUUUGUUUUCUGUGGGAAAAUGGAUUCAAAUUAACCAAAGCCAAUAAUAAGAUCACAGACUUUAACAAUGAACAAUAACUUAAGCAAAACCAAUGACAAGAUUAAAACAAACCAGAGAAAUUUUUUCUCGGAAAGUAGAUGAAAAGCAAGUAAGAACUGCUAUUAAAGGAUAUUAUUAAAGGAUUUAGAACAUGUAUACCUCUUUAAUUAUAUGGGAUCAGAGAAUCGAUGACCUCCACUAUUCGCUUCGGAUAUUAAGUAAGAACUGCUAUUAAAAGAAUGAGUUGAUGAGAGUAAUAACAAUGAAUUGCAAAAUAGGAAGACUCAAUCAUGCACCCCUUUUAUACCUGAUCAUAUUAAGAAGUCGUUAAAGAAUAACGACUAAAUUAGGAAUUAAUUCUGAAGUUCAGAAUCAAGAACAGAGACGAAGCUUUAAUAAAGCAUGCAGUGAGAUACAAGAAAUGGAUCUGAUAAAAUACAUUAAAAAAAUUUGUUCAACCUAGUUAAGCUGAUGAAAGCACUAGUUGUUGGCUCUACGUUUCAUAUGUUCUAAUGAAAUAAUUAAGUUGAAGUUUUCAACGAAUAAAUACCUGUUUCGCUUGAAUAGCUUUGGCAUAUACAUUACUUGUGUCCUGUGAAAUUGAAAAGGUUAUUGAUUUACAAAGCUUAUUAGUAGAGAAAAGCUACGUAAGAUGCCUGAUAAAAGAUAAAGCAAGAGCUUGAAUGAAGAAUGACAUUUUAGAAAGAAACUAAAGUGUAAUCAUCAAAGUAGGAUCAAUAAUGUACCACUUUCCUUGCAAAUCUGGUGGGUUUUCUGAAUAGAUUUUUACAUUAUUCUUCUAUUUAACCAUUUUGGCUUUACCCUAAGCAUUCUUGGUUGGCAUUGUCCUGUAAUCUGCGUGCCCUGGAUACGUGAGAGGGAAUGAUGAGGGUAGAUAUGCAAUUUCAAGAAGCGAUUUGCUUGUAUAAUUCAAUGCAUGGAAAGAGAUGUACCUGACCAGAAAAAAAAGGGGACCAUCCAUAUCUGAGCUUGACUUUUUAGAUAGAUAAAUAUUCUUAUUACUGUUGAUAAUGGAGAAGGGUUCUACUUUUACUUUGCCAUCUUUGAUAUAAAACAGCAUGAUUCCUUUUUUUCAAACACUUGCCUAAGUCUAUUUUUUAUUUUUCUUAUUUUCAGAAAGAGAUUAGCUUAAUUUAAAUUAUAUUCAAGUACAAAGUGUUAUACACUCAUAAAACGACAAAUAGGCAUGUAUUGAUCACGCGCAAUCUGUUUUUUUUCCCCCUUUUUUUUUUAAUCCAGUCUUCUUAUUUAAAAAAAAGAAUUUAUUUGCUUUAUUUUAAAUUAUUUUUUCAUGCGGUAAAUGCAAUACUGAGUAAUGGGUGAGCAAAAUAUUUACAGGCACACCCCCUUUUAAUGAUUUCGUACUAAAAUUAAAAAUUGACGAUUCCAUAAUAAAGUUCAAAGAGUAACUGAAGACCCAUAAAUGUUUUUUGGUCAUGAGCAAUUUUUGAGUUGGGACAGCACUCCUAUGAAAAAAAAUAGUUUUUUUUUUCUUUAAGCAUGAGCAUAUUAAUUCUUUUUUUAUAAAUCAACGUGAAUAUAAAAUUAAAAAAUAGUUUUGAAUAACUUCUUUUCUUUUUUCAUAAAUAUAGAUAUAAAAUUUUAAAGUCACCAAACACAAAACCAGGAAAAUGGAAAGGAAGCCCCUGUUUCUCCGCUGCUGCAAGCACAAAUUCGGUUUCUACAGGAGUACCUUCUAAAUGCACCAUUUGUAUUGCUUUGUCUCCACUUGAGCUAAUGGAAUUUGAUGAAGACAAAAUAGAUAUGAGUCGUGCUAUUCACACCCCUCGAUAAUUCUUUCAAAAUCCCUUUUCUAAUUAUACCCCGUUAAUACCCUUGUUCGCUAUGAAAAUAAAGCAAAUGCCUGUAUAAAAAGCUGGCUCUAAUAAUCUACUUGAAUUUACAUCAGAAAAGAGUGGACUUUGAGAAAUAAGAAGUCAAUAUGGAGAAUUUUACCAAAAUAAUCCAUUUUUAUAUACAGGGAAUGGUAUUUUCUGAUAUAGGGAGGAGUGGAGAAAUUAAAUUCAGCAAAAUAAAGAACCUCCAUCGAGAAGCAAAAAUGAUGAUAUCUUUGUCGUGAAGAGAUUUCUGCCUCAUACAAAUUUUUUAUUCUAGAAUGCUUGAAACCGAAAAGUUCUGUAGCUGUUUCAAUUCAAUUGCAUACAUUGACGAAACAUUAAAUACGAAAAAAACAAAAAAGAAAUAAUAGGACAUGGGGAUUUAGAGAACUUCUAAAGAGAGAAAUGUAUUUAUUGUUGGGAAAAUAUGCUCUUUAAAAGCAUAUGUGUUUAUUUAAUUGUAAUAAACUAUUUUUCUGAUUAAUAAAAUAAAUGAGGCAUUUUAUUCAAAUAUCUUAAUUGCAUUAAUACUUGUAUUAAAGUCCAUUUAAUCAUAUUAUAUGUAUUUAUGUGAUCACCAUGUGGAUUCACAGAAGACAUAAAUACAAGUUAUCUUAUGAUUAAAUAAAUUUAGUUCGCAGUUGAUAAAUAAAGUUGGGCACUUUAUUUAGGUAUAGACUGUAAUAAAUUCAUUGAAUGAUUUGUCUUAAUUAUGUAUGAAUUUAUUGAUGUAGUACGACUACAUUGAACAGGAUCACAUAUGAGAUUUAAUUAACUUUGUAAUAACUGUCAGACUUAUUAAAUCUCAUAGGCAUUGAUUUUACUGUAAUCUUAAUCUUGAGUUAAUUAUGAUUUCAUGAUUGUAAUUGUUAUUCCAUUUGAGUUACCAAUGGGCAUGACACAUACUUGUAGUCUACAUUACCCGGUAUCUUGGUGGGAACAAUUAUGAGUAUUGGAGUUAUGGAUUAACAAUAUAGAAUUUGUACAACACAUCUCUUGAUGGGUUUUCGGUACUUGAUCAUAGAAUUCUCUGGCCAGAGUGUGUCAACAUAUUUAGUAUGUUGAAAAUGAUCAUUAGAGAAAACCAGUAAGGAUCAAGGAAUAAGAUGUUAUUAAAUUGAUUGGACAGUUGAGAUAUCAAUUUAAUUAACGAUGUGGUACAAAGGAUUGUGCAGUAAAGAAAUCAAUGUGGCUUGGGACGAAUUAUUAUUCGAGCAUACAAUUAUGGAAGUCAGUUCCAAUCUUUUAGUGGAGUAGAUUUGGAAUUAAAUAAUUAGGCUAGUUUAAUUACAGGUAGGGAUGGCAAUGGGGAGGGGAGGGGAGGGGACCAAUCUCCCUAUACCCAUCCCCGAUAUUUUAUUAUGUCCCCGUCCCCUCUCCGUCCCCGUCAGAAUUGCUUAAGUGAAUCCCCAUCCCCUCCCCGAAUAAUAACAGGGGAUCCCCGAGGGUCCCCGGUUCCCGAAUAAUUAAUAGUCUAAUACAUUUUUUUUUAUUUUCGAUUUUAAAUUAAUCAUAUUAAAAUAAAAAAUUCAGAUAAAAAUAAAGUUCAAAAUAUAUCUUGCAUUAAUAUUGAUCAAUUUCAAAGUCACAUUCAAAAUAUAAAUUAUUAAAAUAAUUAUCUUUGUCAAUGACUCAAUCUUCAUAAUCCUACAAUAAAAAGAAAAAAAAUUAUUUUUAUAUCGGUAAUAAAAUAAAUGUAGAUACUUAAUUAAUAUUUUUAAUAAAACUAUUUACUUCCUGCUCCUCCUGUUCUUCCUCGAGAAAUGUGGCAAAUUGAGAGUUAGCCUCAGAUUUCAAACCUAAAACAAUGAAAAUGAUAUGAGUAACGUAACUUAUAAGCGCAAAUAUUAAUAACUGUAUAAUAUAAUUACAAUGUAAAAUAAAUUCAUACUGCUAUUGUAAGCUCGUAACCAACUUUAACAGCACAUUAAGGCCUCCAAUGUGCUUGGAUGAAGUUUGUUACGGUGUGGGCUCACAAUUCUAGCACUAGUGCGAAAAGCUGAUUCAGAAGCAACUGUUGUAAUUGGAAUUGCCAAAAUAUCUCUAGCAAUUCGAGCUAAUGUAGGAUACAAAUUAGGAUUAGAACUAUUGUAAAUUAUAAUUAGGCAGCUCUCUCCUGUAUCAUUGUGGUUUGGAUUAAAAAUUUAAGACUUUAAUUAGUUAAUUAAGUUUAAAAGUUUAAUAAUAUAACUAUUUUAAUAUUUAUUAUUUUUAACAAUAUUUAUAAUUUUGUUAUUUAUUUAUUAGUAAUUUUAAAAAUAAAAAUAAAAAUAAAAAUUAAAAUGGGGAAAUGGGUAGGGGAUGGGGAUUCCACCUCAUCCCCGUCCCCUCCCCGAAUAAAAAAUUGGGUAAAAAAUUUUCCCCGUCCCCUCCCCGAAUAAAAAAUUGGGUAUAAAAUUAUCCCCGUACCCUCCCCGAAUGGGGAAAAUCCCCGAGGGUACCCGUCCCCGUGGGGAUUUUUGCCAUCCCUAAUUACAGGCCUAAUUAUUGUAGCCACUAUUGUAUGUUCCCAAAUGAUCCCCGGGUUAGCUCAUUUAAUUGAUUGCACCACUGCUGGACUAAUAAGCAAGAUAACUAGCUAUUUGGGCCAAAAGCCUAAAUAUAUCAUUUAGUGGGAGGCUCCAUUUAAUAAGCUUAUGUGUAAGGGGCCUUAUGUUAUUUUACAUGGUGGGUCCCCUAUUAAAUGAAAAGUAACGUGAGUUUUAUUUUGGGGAAUCCUUGGAGCCUAGGGUUUUCACUAAAGGGAGAUAUAUAAGGCUUAUUUUCCCAAAAAAGAAAAAGAGAAGCCACUUUAUACAGAUCUGAGAAAAAGAUUUUUCUCUCCAUUGUUGAGAGAAAAAUUUUCUCGUGCUAGUUGCUUUGGUAGUGAUAAAGGCGCCCACACGUCAAGUGCAGAUCGAACCUGAGUCAUAACCUGGAAGAUCAUUGGAAACAGUUCGUGAUCUAACAAGCGUGGUGGUGACGGAUCGUGAUCUAACAGGAGUGGUGGUGGUGGAUCGUGAUCUAGGAGCCUAAAUCACUUCAGCGGUAAAAGCCAACUCAGAUUUUCAAGGUACGAUUUCUAGAAUACAAAUUCUUAUAUAUUAUAUGAGAGCGAUCUUCAAAAGGUUUUAUAAAAAUUCAAAAACCUAAUUUUUCCCCAACAUUUAUAAGCAUUGAAAAUUAGCUCAUUAAAUUUGAAAGAAUAAUAUACAAUCUCACUGUUGGCCAGAAAAUAAUAGAAGAACUUGUGAACAUAUAUAAUCAAUUGCUUAUUACUUAAGCUUUUUCUCCGUUAUUUUGAAUGGGUGCAAAGGAGAGAAGUUUUGUACCCAAAUCCAACCCGAAUUGUGUAGGCUGCUUGCAAGAGCUUCAUUAGAUUUUUAUUUGUCUUUUAACUUAACUUCCUUCGUGGUUAAAAUUGUAAAAACAAAUGCGGUUUUAAUAGAAUUAUUGAGGAGUGCCAAUAGUGCUACUCAAUAAAUACAACUAUCUGUCUUUUUUGUUACUGGACUAUAGAUCAAUUGACAGUUGAAGUUAUAUUAAUUUGUUGUACUGGAAUUGAAGCUUGUAUCUUAGCCAUUUCGUGAAGUGUCAAAUAUAUUUUUAAUUUCCUUAAAAUUGUUCAAAAUAUGUUUACACUUUUAAAGUCACUAUUAUACAUGAGUGCCCUAAAAUAAGAGAAGGCGAUUUGCCUGACAUUACCUGUUUCCUGUCAAAUCUAGCAGGUUUACUGAUUAGAUUUUAACAAGUCUCUUGGCAAAGUUUGCUAGAAAUGGAAUCAAAUUAUUCUAUUUAAUCUUACUGUAUAUACCCUAAUAGUUCUUGGUUUGCAUCACUGCAUCGUUCUAUAAUCUGUGUGCGUUGGCUUAUAAGGGCUAGCAAGGCUGACCGUUCGUAGCAUAGUUUUUUUUUUUUUUUUUUUUCCCACAAUGAAAUUCCCAUUGAUUUGACUCAGUAUUUAGAGGUGUUAACGAGGGCACUAUACUAGACAUGGAUUUCUACCUCUUUUGGUUGUACAAUUGUUGUAAUCCUUGGCCAUCAAAUCAUUUUUACGUAGCUUUCUCAGAGUUCAUGCCAAGUGUACAUUAAUGUAUUUAUGUUUUGGGUGCAAGUGGGAUUCUAGUUCUCUAUGGCAGUUGAAGAGGUAAAUGGGCAUAGAGCUAUGCUCUAUCAUAGGCUUCGGCCACUACAAGAAAUUUAAUUUUUUAAGACGAUAUUUUUUACAACAACUUUAAAUUUGGUCACAAAAUGAUAUUUAUUGUGACAAAUUUUUGAAAUCGUAGCUAAUAAUCUUGUCCUAACUUAUAUUGUUUUUUGUAACCAAUUGUUUUUAUUUUGAGACUUGUUCAUAUAUUGGUCAUUAAUUAAAUUUUUUUAUGACAAAAAUUAUUUUAGUCACCAAAAGAUAUAAUUUUUUGGCACAAAAUCUUCUCUCCAAAAGUGAUUAUUUUGAGACAAUAUUUCACUAUUUAUGACAAAAUAAAUAGUCACGAAAUAUAAUUAUAGGCGACCAAAUUAUUUGGUAACUAAAAGAGGGGUGUAAAAUUGACUAAACAAUCUAUGACACAAAAUAUUAGUAGCCAAAAUUAUUGUUCUUUUGGCUAAUUUUAAGACCAUUUUUUUGUCAUAUAUAAUUACCUACAGUGAUAAAAUUAAAAAAUAGUCGUUGAAUGUUUUGUCUUGAAUAAUUUUAUAUUUGAUAACCAAUUUUUUUUCUUUUUGAGACAUAUUACUUGGUCCCUAUUUCAACUUCUUUUUGACGAACUUUAUAAUAGUCACAAAAGACUUUUUUUUUUUUUUUGGGCAUAAAAAGUCUGUCCAAAGUUAGCUCUUUUGGGACAAUAUAUAAUCUUUUAUGACAAAAUAUAUAGUGGCGAAAUAUAAUUAUUUUUUACAAAGUUAUUUCGUAGCUGAAAAAGAGGUGUAAAUUUAGUUAACCUAUUUGUGACAUAAAAUAUUAGUCUCCAAAACUAUUAUGCUUUUAGCUAAUUUUAAGACCCUAUUUUGUUGUCAUGGAUAAUUACCUAUUUUAAAAAAAACUAAGAGAUAGUAAUCAAAAGUUUUGUCUUGAUUGACAUUGUAUUUUAUGAGCAAAAUAUUUUGUUUCAGUGACACUUUACUUGGUCUCUCAUUAGAGUUGUUUGUGAUGAUCAAUAGAAUUAUAUAAUAACCACUAAAUUUUUUUGGGUUAAAUUUUUAUAGAUACUAUUAAUUAAGUUGUUGACGAAAAUGAUCAACCAAUACUAAUAUGGAAUACCAUCAACAGCCGUAAUACUUAUGAAGCGAGAAAUUAUAAUAUGUAGUGAAAAAGUUUUCACAGUAGUCCCUAGUAUUUAGAAUUAUUUUGACUUACUUUAUUUACUUCCAAAACAUAAAAUUCUCAACCCAAAAUUCCCCGCAUUGUGUUUUAUUUUGUCUCCUCACUCAGUUAAGAGUAACUCACGGCUUGACAAAAAAAAGGAAAAAAAUUCUCACAGCUUGAUGUUCUCCUCUCUUUAAAAAUAAAAAUCCCUAGUUACUAUUUGUUUCCACCACCAAAGCAGCCACUCGUAUCUUUUAUUAAGCAUAAUAUUUUUCUUAAAACCUAAUUGAUCAUUCUUUAACGUCUCCAGGAUUAUAUAUGGCUCGCUAUUUUUCUCCUUCAAUUGAAUAGAAGUCUAGAAUUUUUUUUUUUUUCGCAAUUCACUUUUGCUGUGUUUCGUGGUUUGGACGGAGAUCAUGUCAAUAAUUGAACGAUGGGGAUAAAUAUCAAAGAAGGAGCUUACAUGCCCUAUAUAUCUCUCUUUGGAUGAAUAACGAUGGUGAGCUUUCAAAGUACAGAGAUUUACAUGUUUUAAUUGUCAUUUACAUUGCUGCAUGCCAAUUGUUUGAUAAAAUAUCGCAACAAAUACGCAUUCUCGAUUUUCUCAUAAAUUUAUUUUCUUAGUCUGAAAAAAAUUGAAUGUUUAGAGAAUUUUGAAGGUUUUGGUGUAUGUAUUAAUAUUUUGAUUCUAGCCUCAUUUUGCCCCUUGUUGUUUUUAUUCUUGUUUUUUAUAUACGGUUCAAGUGUGAUACACUUUAGUUUUUCUCAACUGUUUGUUAGUUUUUCCCGAAGCAAAAUUUGUCAGACUUUGAGUUCAAAAGUUGAAAUCAUAACUAACAUACUUCGAUUUUUUAUUUUCCUUUUUUCUUCGGUGUCUUUCUAUAUGGCAUUGCUUGAGAAAUUGGUGUACUUAGAUCGUAAUAUUCUGUAGAAAUAAGCCAAUAUUUCAUUGGGUACAUUGUUUAAUAUGAUAAGUACUGUAUGGAAGUUUUACAGAUAAGCUCCUUAUAUAUUAUGCAUUAUGUUUUUAUCAUAUUGUUGCUUGGAACUUUGAAGGAUUGGCCACAGGGCUUUAGUCCUACAUGGACAUUUUAUAUUUAAUAGCUGGUUAGGCAUUUUAUUUGAUGUUAUUUGGACUUGUAGGUCUUAAAAGUUUUGUUCAAUAAUUUUAUAAAGCUUAAUUUCAUAGGUGCUGAUUAGGCAUUUCACGAGGAAAUAGCUGUGCUUUUGGAAAUUAAUAUGCUGUGUUGUCAAUGUUGUGUAAAAUCCUUUUAUUGGUGUCUAUGUAAAGUGUUUCAGAUUUCAGACCUGAGAGUUAAUCUUCGCGUACCAGUUGGCUUUUGGGUUUAGUAUUGCUGCUUUUAACAUAUUUGACCUAUGGCCCAAAUCAUUUCUAUAGGGCGAAGCAUAUGAAUGAUACAUAUUAUCUUUUUUUGGCCUUAUGUAUUGUUAUUUGCACGGUGAUUUGGUCUAGCUUAAGAGCUUAAGCUUGCAGGUUGGAUUUGUCUGACAGGGAACAAUUUAAUUUGUUCAUCGUGAUGUUUAUAUCCAUUUUGUACUACUAUCAAUUUCAAUCAUGCCUAAUUUUUAUAUGUAUUUCUCGUGGACUCUCAGGUUCAGUGCACAAGAGGAUGAAGACGAUGGACACCCAAAUUUGAUGUGGAGAACAACUAUUGCAAAUGGUCCUUGAUUUACUUCUCCAAUUGACUUGAAUUGGUUUUACGCAAUUUAUAGUGUAUUUUUGUCAUCUUUGUAUGACUUGCAGGUCGUCCUGAUUUGGUACAUGACUGGACACAGGAAUUGGACUCAUAUUUUUCAAACCAGAAUGCCAACAAUCAAGGAUUUUCUUUUGAAAGCACUGGCGUCUUCUUCAAUGCCAAAAAGGUUAGAGAUUUUCUGUAUCCUGUUUUGUAUUUGAUCAGUUUAGCAUGUGGGUGGCAAUCAAGAAAAGUUAUUAUAACAUUUUUGUGUUCCCGAAAAACUGCUGAUGAUGUGUGACUUCUUUUUAUUUGUAUUCUUUCUUUUUUCUUUUCUCCCCAACAGUAUUAUGCAUUUCGAAGAGCUUCUUGAAGUUGAUUACCAUGUAUGCCACUUUCUUUACUCUAUGCUCAGGAUGUGAUUUUGCCAAGCAUUAAAAUGGUUUAGGUCAGAACCAUCAUCUAAAGUUUACUUAAAGUUGACGGAUUAAUUCCUUUUAAUAAUGGUCGAGUUAAUUUUACUAUACUCAUAAAACUAUUCUUAUUCUGAUAAUGCCACAAAUGUUAUGAUGUUUUCUUCAGCUAAUGAUCU